AUGCCCAACCUACCCAUUAUCCCUAUUAUACAUUUGGAACCCCUCAUAGCCCCCCCCUCCCCUUAAGGAACACAUGCUUUGGGCUUUCACCCCAAGCCUCCCUUAGUAUUAGGAGUUAGUCUUUGGGACAAGCUCGAAACUUAUUAAAUAUGGAAUAUUUUUAAAUUGCGAAUUUGAACACGGGACAAACACCAUUGUGUUCAGAACAAUCUCUACAUUCCGUAGAUAUGCCAAAUGAGUAAAUCUGGACACUUUCCAUAAAUAGCAUUUAAGACUAAAAUGAGACUAACACAAAGGGCAUGGAAGGGUGUUUGGCAGACAUGGUAAGCUAUCAUCUAGUGAAUAUUGAGGGACCAAUCUCAAUAUCGCGGGAGUUCCCAACACUAGCAAGUGCAAAUUAACAACAUGAGUUUCUCGUCACCGUGCCAAAUAUACUUAACUAAAUGACAACAUAAGAUUUUCUUCUUUAGUGCCCUUCCGGUCUAAGUGCACAUGUGAUGACCAAUUUCUCAACUAGCUUAGACAGAGAUUGAUGACGAGUCCAGCAAUACCGACCUCCUGCCAUCGUGGCAGUAAGGAAAGAAUAUCCGAAAGGACUAGCUGACAGGUAACUUUCAAUACCCGAAGUCACAUUUGCAACACUAAUAUCCCCUUGUUGAGCAUAAACAAUGAAAGGCAAUGUCCAUAAAGCAAUGUUUGUAAUAUUUACUUAGCCUCUUUUGAGCAAGAGAAUGGAGACACAAGUUCUAGGAGACAAUGUCUAACUCUCUCAUUGAGCUUGACACCACAAUGGCUCUCUCUACAUCCCUAGCAUGGGCCUAGGACACUAAGAAGCAUUUGAAGGAGUCUAGACAAGAUGAUGAUGUAAGUUGGUCUCUCUCUCAUCAAUAAGAACUUUGAUAACAAUAGAAAGAAAAAAGUAAAAAAAUGAAGAAAAACAAUUUUAAAAGAGAACAAGGAAAAAAAAUGACUAGUGAUUUAGUUUGUGUAACUUCUUUGCUUACAACUCUACUUGUUCUUUGAUCAUCAUGAAGUUGCUCAAAUACUGGUGGUAAAAUAUGAAUGGUGGUCACUAUUAAUUAAAAAACUUCAAUAGCUACUACUAGUAGUGGUGGUGGAGUUUAUUAACUAAUGAGAUUUUGUAGCGAUGGUAUUGUUGGUGGUGCUUGGUUGGAGUAUAUACAUGAGAUAGGUUAGACUGAGUGAUUGACAAUCACUAUAGAAAUGAAAAUUUUAAAUAUUAGGUAAUAAUUUCACAUCCUCUUCUUGUGUUCUUGGUUUUUUUUUGGAAAGUUCUAAAUAAUGAUUGAAAUGUUAAUUAGCCAGGCAUCACUAAACUAAAGCCAUCUUUGAGAUAUUUAAGCUUCCAUUUUCACUUCUUAUUUUCUCUUCCUUGAUUUCUGUUACCCAUACUUCUAGGAGGAGAUGUAUUGAUAGAUUGGAGAGUAGUGGCUAUACUCCAAAUAAAACUCUAGAAAGAUGUAGAUAAAAUUGAUGUUUAGAGGAGAGGAUGACAAUGGUUGAAAAGAGGAUUGGAAAAAUAUCUUUAAAUAUUGUGUUUGCAAGAUGGGAAGAAAAGAAUAAGGUUUACAUAAAGUGAAUUAAAGGGGAGAUCAUUUUGAGAGAGUUUUCUCAAUGUCCUUAUAGAAAUAUCAUAGUGUACAUUGGUAGCUAAUUUAUGAUGCAAUAGAGAGCUUUUUUUUGCAUUGGAAUGGCUAUAAACAUGAAAUUCUAUGACAUAUAAGAUAUUUUAAUACUAUAUAUUAUUGUUCAUACUAUUGAACAAUCAAACAUUCCAAAUAAGAACCUUUCUAAUGAUGGAUAGUAAUUACAACUUCCAAGGGAUCAAGUGAUUUACAUUUUAUAGCUUAGAAUUAUCUCAUUGGAUUACAUUGCUUAAAUUUAGAGAUUUGCAUUGGCUUGAAUAGGUACUAAAAUAUAGGCAAUACAUUGUCUAAUUUUACCAUAGGGUUUGGGACAUAGAUGAUUUAAAAAACAUAGUAGCCACAAUUUCUAAUCAUGCUCAAGUGUGUGUAGCAAAAGGAGCAAGAGUAGCUAUUCAGGUUGCAAUAGCUAUUACAUAGGCAAUAUGGCAAUCAUAAAUGUGUAAGCAAUCAAAAGAAACUACUCGAAAGAUAAUUCAUUAAGGUUUAAAUAUAAAAAGAAAUGGCUUAUGAAUUAAAAUAAGGGUCUUAGGAUAUUUAGAGUUGAAGAUAAUUGAGCUUUAGAAAAAUGCAAACAAAAUCAAUAAUUUAGAGAAGAGGAUAACAAUGGUUAAAAAUGGAAUUGGGAAAACAUCUUCAAAUAUUACUUUUGUAAAGUGUGCAGAAAAAAACAAGUUUUAUAUGGAGUGGAUUGAAAAGGAGAUCAUUUUGAGAGAGUUCUUUCAACAUCUUUAGGGAGAUAUCAUAGUGUAUAUUGGUAGCCAAUUUCUGAUAUAAUAAGGACCUCUUUUUUGGGUUGGAAUGGUUAUAAAUAUGAAAUUCUGUAAUAUAUGAGAUAUCUAGAUACCAUAUGUAGUUAUGUGUGUGAUUAGACAAUCAAACAUUCUAAAUAAGAACCUUCCUAAUGAUGGAUAGUUUCUAAUUUCUAGUAGUGGUUUUUAAAAUUGCAACUUCUAAAGGAUCAAGUGAUUUACAUUUUAUAGCUUAGGAUUAUCUCAUUGGAUUACAUUGCCUAAGUUUAGAGAUUUAUAUCAACUUGAAUAAAUACUAAAAUAUUGGUAAUACAUUGUCUAAUUUUACCAUGGGAUUUGGGACAUAGAUGAUUUAUAAAGCAUGGUAACUAUAAUUUAUAAUUGUACUCAACUACAUGUAACAAAAAUAGCGAAAGUAGCAAAAGUACCAUAUGGUGAGAAUUCCCAAUCAUACAAGGAGUUGAGUAUUUUAGCCCUCCAAACGACACUCUUAAAUUUCUUUUUUAUGCAAUGCUACUUUUAGCAAGUAAAAAUUUUUCACUUUUAUGUAAAAGAUGUUCCCACAAAAAUACCAACAAACUAUAUACUUGAUUUAUUUUUGGUUCAAUUGGCCUUCUAAAAGUUAUCUCAAACAGUCUAGAACAAACAAGAAAAAGGAAAAUAGCAAAAAAGUAUAAAAAGUAAAAAAUUAGAAAAAUAAAGAAAAAAAGAGAAAAAAGAAGACUACCAAUCUAAGAUGAAAGUGCUAAAAUAAUGGUGGUGAAAUAUAGGUGGUGGUCAUUAUUAAUUAAAAAAAUUAAAUAAUUACUAGUAAUGAGCUUUUGUAGCAAUAGUACUGUUGGUGGUGAUUUGCUGAAGUAUAUAUAUAAGAUAGUCAUAGGAAAAGUGAUUAGACUAAGCAAUUGAUAAUCACUAUAGAAACAAAAAGUUAAAAUAUCAAGUAACAAUUUCACAUCCUCUUCCUCUAUUCUUGGUUUUCAUUUGGAAAUUUUUAAAUAAUGAUUAAAACACUAAUCAACUAGGUAACUUUAGAUUAAGGCUCAUCUUUGGGACAUUUGCUAUUUCCUUAGUUUUUAUUUUUACUUCUUGUUUUCUCUUCCUUGGUUUCUCAUACCCAUACUACUAUGAGGAAAUAUGGUGAUAAAUUGGAGAAUAGUGGCUAAACUUCAGAUCAAAUUAUAGAAAGAUGUAGAUAAUAUUAAUGAUUUAAGAGAGGAUGACAAUAGCUGAAAAGAGGAUUGGGAGAAGAUCUUCAAGUAUUGCUUUUAUAAGGUGGAUAGAAAAAAAUAACUUUAAUGUAGAGUGGAUUAGAAGUGAAAUCAUUUUGAGAAAGUUUUCCUAAUGUUCUCAUGGAGAUGCCAUGAUGUACAUUGAUAGCCAACUUAUUAUACAAUAGAGAACUUUUGUUUAUGUUGGAACGACUAUAACACAUAAAACAUCUCGAUACUAUAUACUUUUAUUCAUGUUAUUAAACAGUCAAACAUUCUAAAUAAGAAUCUUCUAUAGCUACCAGUGGUGGUUUUUAACCUGCAACUUUCGAGAGAUUAGGUGAUUUAUAUUCUAGGGAUUAGGAUUUUCUCAUCAAAUUACACUGCCUAAGUUUAAAGAUUUAUGUCAAUUUGACUAAGUACUAUAAUACAUUGUCUAAUUUUACCAUAUUUAAUAGGUAUGGAGUUUAACACAUAAAUAGUUUAUAAAGCAUGGUAGCCAUAAUUUAUAAUCACACUUAACUCCAUAUAGCAAGAGCACUUAUACAGGUUGUAGCAAUUACUAUAUAAGCAGUAGAAUGGUGAUAAUUGAUAUUAUAUCUUUUGGCAUUGGAAUUCUCACAUUAAAUACCAUGUAGUGAGGAUCUUUAAUCAUAAGAGGGGUCAGGUAUUUUAGCUCUUCAUGUAAUGCUUCUAGAUUUCCUUUUUACAUGAUAUUAAUUAUAAUAAGUAUAAUUUUUCACUCUCGUAUAAGAGGCAUUCUUGCAAGCACUAGCAAACUAUACACUUGAUUUAUUUCCAAUUCAAUUGGCUUUCUAGAAGUUAUCUCAACCAAUCUAAAAAAAAAAACUAAUGAAAUAAUUUUUAAAAAAACUAAAGAAAGAAAAAAAGCAAAAAAGUUUUAAAAUAGAAAUUAAAAAAAAAUUGGAUUAACGAUUUAAUUUACUUAAUUUCUCUGUUUAUAACUCUAUUUGUUCUCUGAUCAUCAUGAAGUUGCUAGAAUAUAAAUGGUGGAAUACAAGUGGUUGUCAGCAUUAGUUAAAAAGCUUUAAAGGCUACUAAUGGUAGUGGUGGUAAAGUUUCUCAACUAACGAGUUUUUCAAAAGAUGGUAUUGUUGGUGGUGUUUAGUUGAAGUAUAUAUAUGAGAUAAGUAAUUCUAAGACACAUGAUUGGACCAAAUGGUCAAUAAUUACUUCAAGAGUGGAAACUUUGAAUAUCAAGUAAUAACUUCACAUCCUCUUUUGAUAUUCUUGGUUUUCAUUUGGAAAGUUCUAACUAGUAACUAAAAUAAUGAUCAACUUGUUGUUCUAAGACUACAUUUACUCUUUCUCUAUAUUCCUCCCUCACUUCUUGUUUUUGCUUCUUUAGUUUUUCAUACCCAUAUUUCUAUGAGGAGAUAUGGUGAUAGAUUAAAGAGCAAUGGCUAAGCUUUAUAUCAAGUUCUAAAAAGAUGUAAAUAAAAUUGAUGAUUUCAAGGAGAAGAUGACAGUGGUUGAAAAUGGGAUUAGGAUAACAUUUUCCAAGUGUUACUUUUGCAAAGUGUGUGUUAUUGGACAAUUAAACAUUCGAAAUAAAAACCUUCUUAAUGAUGGAUAGUUUGUAGUGGUGGUAACUUUUGAAGGAUCAAGUAAUUUACAUUCUAAGGCUCAAAAUUAUCUCAUCAGAUCACCCUUUUGAAGUUUCGAGAUUUAUUUAGCUUGAAUAGGUACUAAAAUAUUGGCAUCAUGUGAGAAACAUUCACACAGGAACACUAGCAAAUUAUAUAUUUCAUUUAUUUCUAGUUUAAUUUGCCUUCUGGAAGUUAUCUAAACCAGUCUAGAAAAACAAAAAAAAGAGGAGAAAAUAUUAGCACCAUUGUACAAGGAAGCCAGAAAUAAAAACUCGUUUAUCCAAGCUACACAUGCAUCCUAGCAGCAUCCCUAUGGUUUCUACAUGCCACUAGCAGGCAAGUCCACUCAAGUGAAUCAGCCACAAAUGGCAUGGCAUUGAUCAAGUCUUCGGCAUCUCCCAGCCUGCCUGAUCGUCCCAGGAUAUCGACCAUGCAGCAGAAAUGAGGCUUGGUGGGAGGCACUCCAUAAUCCAGGCUUAAAGACGUGAAGCACUUCCUUCCAGCGUAGAGGCCCCCACUGUGGUUACAUGCAUGAAGAAUCCGGAUAAAGCAAAUCUCAUCAACUCUCUCGGCAGUGGCAGCCAUCGAGUGAAACAAAUCGAGCACCGAGUUGGCUUGCCCGACCUGGGCAUAAGCUCCCAACAUCGAGCUCCAGGACAUGAGAUCUAGUGAUGGCAUUGUGUUGAAGAUCUUGUGUGACACUGCGAGCUGUGAGGUGUGGUGAGCGUGAGCUGAGAGAAGCGCAUUCCAGGAGACUUGGUUCCACUCGGGCAUCUGGUAGAAGACAAGCUUUGUCUCGACGAGGAGGCCGUGCUGGGCAUAGGCGACAAGCAUCGCAGUCCAAGAUACCAGGUCGAGCUUAGGUAUGGAGGCGAAGAUUGCCGCAGACUGGUCGAUAUCCCCGUGCUGGGCAUAAGCAACGAGAAGAGACGUCCAUGAAGCAAUGUUUCUGUGCGGCAUCUCGUCAAAGACCUGCUUGGCCUCCUCGACACGAGCAGACUGAGCGAGAGCGUGGAGAAGUGAGUUCCAGGAGACGAUGUCCUGCUCUCUCAUCGAGCUUGACACCAUGAUGGCUCUCUCGGCGUCCCCGGCCUGGGCAUAUGACGCCAAGAGGGUGUUCCAGGAGAAGAGAUUGUGUUCCGGCAUCUCGGUGGUGAAAAAGGUGAGAGCAGCGUCGAAGUCCGAGAGCUGGAGGAGCCCAGACAAAAUGAUGUUGUACGUGAUCAAGCUAGUCUCUUUCAUCGAUGAGAACUCCUCCCUAGCUCUCUCCAGUCGACCACUCUGGGCAAGGGAAGAGAGCACCGCAUUCUUUGCGACAGCGUCCCACUCGGGCAUCAUCAGGCACAGAGCUUCCAUGGCAGGCAAGUCGAUCUCGUCCCUCUGGAGCAAGAUCGCUAACAGAGUUGUCCAGGAGACGAGGUCCCGGAGCGGCAUGAGAUCGAAGAGGUGCAUGGCCUUCUCGACAUGCCCGGCUUGGGCAUAUGCAGCCAGCAUGGUGUUCCAAGACACAAUGUUCCUCCAAGGCAUCCGAUCAAACACAAGUAGAGCGCCGGAUAUCUGCCCAAUAGCGGCGUGUGCAUGGAGGAGCGAGUUCCAAGACGCCGUGUCCCAGGCGGGCAUCUGAUCAAAGAUAGACUGUGCUUGAUCCAGAUGCCCGGCGUGGGCAUAUGCACCGGCUAUAGUUGUCCAGGAGAUAAUGUCGUGAUCGGGCAUGGAGUGGAAGAUCUGGGUGGCGUUUUGGAGUUGGCCGUGGUGAGCGUAGGCGGAGAGCAUGAGCGCCCAGGUGAAGAAGUUUUUGGUGGCGGUGGUGUCGAAGAUGUGGCGAGCGUGGUGGAUUGCGCCGCAGCGAGCGUAGGCGUGGAGUAGUAAAUUGGAAAGGUAGACAUCGUUUUUGUUGCGAUGGUGGUGGAGGAGACGAGAGUGUGCGCUUGUGACUGCCGCGAUGGUCUUGCACGAGCGGAGGAGUUUGGCCCAUUCGUAAUGGUUGGAAGGACUUUCGCCCAUUCACAAGGACUUUCUAAGCCAUGUCACACCAUAGCUCAAAGUUUCAUCUCUAGUGAAAAAAACUGAAGAAAUGGAACAUUUGCGUAUAUGGAUUAUAUGGUAUCCAUCUAAGUAUGGAUGGAUCGAGAAGGACAUUGUCACAAAACUUGAGAAAGAGAGAGGUUACCCCGAUGGUUGAUCACUUGGAGUUUGACGAUCGCCCAAGCAGCCUCCUGACGUUGAGCAGCACUAGAACGCUCAAGAGCCUGACCGGGACGAAGAACACGCACUCGAGCAAGGUGGUGACGAUCGAUUCGGAAGGAAGCAAGCCUCUGGACAGCAUCACAAGGACACCGCCAACUCUCCUGGUGGCGACGAUGUACUCGCCCGCUUUGAUCGCCUCCACCGUCCUGGCCGCCACGUCCGCCGGGGACUCCGUGUCUCUGGGAUCGUAGUGGCACACGGAUUUAAGCGUCUCGAGAACCUGUUGAUCAGUGGUCGCUGCCAUGAGCGAGCACUCAAGUCAGCUACUUUCCCGACAAGAUCUUUGUGUGCUCACCAUCGCCGAGCAGUGCCGUGUCGGUGAAUCCCGGACAGAUCAAGCUCACCCGGAUGUUGUGAGGCAGCAGCUCCAGUCGCAGCGUUUCCGCCAGGCCUCGCAGCGCGUACUUGGUAGCCGCGUAGAUGUUCGCACCGUAGAGCGUGUACUGUUGAAACGCACGUAAGUUUCAUGACCCAAAAGAAAGAAAAAGAUGAUUUUGGUCACCAUUCCAGCCAGUGAUCCGAUGAGCACGAUGGAUUUUCCAUGGCUGCUCUUGUUCUGCUCCUGCUUCAUGUGUGGAAGAGCGGCAUGAACCGAGUACGCGCAGCCCAGGAGAUUUGUUCUCACCACUUGAUCUAUGUCCUCGGCUCGGCAUUCCCCAAAGAGUCCAGAUCUCACCAGGCCGGCGUUGCACACGAGAACGUCGAUCGGCCUCCACCUCGAUGCCUGCUCGAUCACUCGCUUGGUUGCGGCAAAAUCUCCCACGUCCAGUUCCUGGAGACAACCAAAGUUUCAAGACGCUUGUCAACAAAAGUCUUACCUCCGCUACGAUUUGCGAGGGGCUGCAAACGCAUUCUUUGAGAAGCGACUCCUUGGCAGCGGCCAGCCUCGCCUUGUUGCGAGCGACGAUUGUCACAAACGCACCCUGGAUGAGGGCCCGUUUGGCGAUUUCAUAGCCGAUGCCGCUCGAUCCUCCAGUCACAAAUACGUGCUUGUUCAUCAGAGACUCCAUCACCUUCGUCUUCCUCCUGCACAAGGCAGCAAGGAGUAUGAUUCCCACGACAAGAAAUAGCAUUUGGAUUGGAUUGCUUGAAAUUCUCUUCAACCAAGAAAAAGGAGGAAGAAACGGAUUUAGCGGCAGCGACGAUGCAAUAGUCUUUACGUGAGCAACAAAAACAUGCGGAACCAACCAAGCAUACUUUUUUGCGAGCUCACCUAACACGGAAAACCAUCUACAUCUUCGUCAAAUCUUUGUUCCUGCUCAGCAAGAGUGUCGGUGGGCUUGUCGUCUGUGUAGAACCCAAGCGUUUGGUCAGUGAAAACUACAAAGACGAAUGCUGGUUUAAGCUUACGUUACGUCCAAACCGUUCUCUUGACCGUCUGGAGCUAAGUUUCAUACGCUUGAAUGUUUUCCAGCCCUUGCUCUCCAGUUCUUCACAGCUAAACAACCUAAAGUACAGUGCCUUCGUGAUCCAGAAUCUUCCCUGUGUGAUUAUCGUAGAAUAAUGUCCUGGGAGGCCUGCUCAAAGGAUUGAAACCCAAAAGAUAUGGUCUGGAUCGCCCGAGCACGCUGCUGGCUAAUAACUCACUUCAGUGACAAUCCCUUGAGCUCUUCCUCCAGGCCAUCCUCGCCAUCCUCGUCGCCAUCUUCCUCAUCGCUGCCUGCUUCGUCGUCGUUGUCUUCCAGCGGCCCGAGACCUGAGAUCCCCACUCCGCUCUUGAGCACGCUCCGGACUUCGUCCAAUCCAAAGCUGGAGAUGCGGUUGCCAUCCAUGCCGAGAAGCUUGAAUCCUGGUUUCCCAGCCACUGCCUCCGCCGCAGCCAGCGCGCCAACCCGGCUCAGUGAGUUGGAGCUCAGAUCAAGCUCCUCCAGCUUUGAGCAGCUCGCUUUCACCGCCGCCGAGACCAUCACAGCACCCUUGUCACCCAGCUCGUUCUCGGAUAGAUUCAACUUGGCCAGCUCCUUGUUCGCUGCAAUGAAAGCCGCCAGCGCCUUGGCGGACGAAUGCGUGAUCUCGUUGUUUCCGAACUCGAGCACCUUGAUACUCCGCGUCCCGCUUGCCAGCGCCUCGAGAAUUGGCGUACUUCCAGCGUCCUCCAGGCUUAGAUCGCUCAAGUAGACGUGCGUCAAGCCGCCAUGUUGCCGCAAAGCCUUCCCAAGCGCAACACCACCUCCAGGACCAUACAUGUUGUCUCUCAAGUCGAGAACUUUGAGCUUGGAUCCACCAGCGAUGGCCGAAGCCAGUGCCACCGCGCCUUCCUCCCCGACUCUAGUCGACGAGAAGCGGAAGUUUUCGAGCUGGACAGCCUUCUCGACGAGCUUCGCGAGAGAUCUGGCUCCUUGAUCGCCGGUCAUGUUGUUGUGGAAGUGCAAGAGCUUGAGAGAGCUCCCAGUGGUGACGAUCUCGCAUAUAGCACGAGCAGCCUCCUUGGAGAUCCCAUUGUUCAUGAAGGAGAGCUCCUCGAGGGAUUCCUGGGACUUUAGCAGCGGCGCAAAGGCCCUCACACCCUUCUCCCCGAGAGCAUUGUCCGAGAGGUUUAGCGAGCGGAGCUUGCUCCCUUCCAAUGCCAGCGCGAGUGUACGCAUCACCUCCAGCGCCUCGUCCUCUGGCCGCCCAGCAACAAUGUCCGAGAAAUCCACGUCCUGUAGCGAGGAUUUCACCUUCGACAGAAACCUCGCCACGACCACAGCAGCGUCCCUGCCGAAGCUCUUGUUGCUGAAGCAAAUCUUGGAGUAGCGCGACGUCUCCAGCGGCAACAAGAGCUCCUCCGCGAGCUCCUUGGUGAGGAAAGCUCUCUGCCCGGCCGAAAUAUCGAAGCACUGUUCAUCUUUUACAGUACCUGGAGCUUCCAUCGCGAAUCCCAGCGCUUCCAGCAUCAUCCGGCUCACCUCUCGAGCAUAGAUCUUCACCGCCGCCACGGGAUCCCCGCCAUCGCCGGAGCUUGCUACCUGGAAUGCGGACUCUUCGAUCCUGGAUCCCAGCUCCUUCGCAUCGCCGUCGAUCGGCGCCUUCCAAAAGAAUGCCAGCGACGUGAGAUUCGUGGCGACGAGCUGCGCCGUCGCGUCUCGCUUCGGGGGCCAAUCCUCUACCACCGACGCCGCCGCCAUUUCAAAUCCAAGAACCCUAGUCCUCUGUUUUUAGGGUUCUAGCAGGUUUAAAUAAACCCUAAAUGCAGAUUCUCAUUCGUUGAAAGAUUUUUGUUUCCUUUUUUUUCUUUUAUUUCUUGAGUUAUACAAAAUAAUGCAAGAUUUAUUUCAAUGAUUUUAUGAGAUAAAUGGCUUACUUUUUCCUCAUUAUGGCAUUUGUAGCCGCAUUUUUUACCAUGCUUCUGGUUGAAGGCUUAGUCUCUUUUGGGUUGAUGGCCUUUCUGAUCUUUGAAACAACCCAAGCAGUGGACAACACAUGCCCAAUCGAAGAUAGCCCUUCGUGAGUAAAUUCCCCGGCUUGCUCUCCAAAUCUGGCAGAAAUAGAAACAAAAAAGAUAAUAAAAACAAUAUACAAAUAAAUAAGCCAAGAUAACUCACUUAUGAGCCACCACUCCGGUUGUGAUCAGUGUGCCAGUAGACAGAAUGUUUUGGGUGGCCAUUUCCACUGCAUCAAACACCUUGCCUGGAAGAAAAAUAAGAGAAAGUAAAGUUGAUUGGUCAUGGAACAAAAUUUACGUACUGAAUGCAUCCAGAGACGCAAGAGCGACUUCACCGGGCAUCAUCUUGAAGACUUUCUUCCCAACUUUCGAAGUCACCGCGGCGCUGGUGAAAUAUCCAGUUGCAGUCACAAUUCCCGUCAAGAUCCCUCUUGCAACUCUCUCGGACAUUUGUGUAACUCUUCGCACUCUACAGUAAAUCAACCUUGGUGAAAACUAAGAAAGAGAGAGAGUGAAAGGAAAAGAACCAACCUUUUGAUGUUUCGCAUCGUCGUGGGACUGAGUUGCACGGGCUUCUUAGCUGCUUUGGUGUGUUUCCUGACAUACUCGCCACCUUUCUCAAGUUGGGCCGCCGUGGAGUUACUGCACCAAAACAGGGAUCGAAUUACGUGACCAGUGCCGGUUGCCACUCCUCUCGCAAUGCUGCUGUUGUAAUCCUCCACGUUUGGAGCUAUGGCGGUCCAGUACAAUCUCGACUUCGUCUCGGACGGCCUCUUGUUCAUGUCCUGCGCGAGGCUGGGAGGAGGAACCAAAACCUGGCCUUGGAUCUCGUCCGGCUUGAUCAUUCCCUCCGCCUCGAGCUUCUCCCGGAUCUCCCCUUCGUCGCCUUGCAUCAUCUUGGGCUUGGAGAAGAAAGUAUACGUCUUGAGCAACUCAUCGAGCUUGGAUAGCUUCUCCUCGUUGCCUUUCACCUUGAAUGUCACGCCAUAGCUCAAGUUUUCGACGCUCUCCUUCUUGGAAGGAUUUUCUCUUUCGCUAUGGCUCUGGGAGAGAAAAUUCAGAGAAAAGAACGAGAAGAACUUUCACUUACAUCGUCGCGAUCGGUGUGAUCGUCUGGAUCAACUCUGAGCGAGAAGAAGUAGUGCCCAGCAUCAAGCUUGGUGACGACCUCGUCCUUGAGAAUCGGCCAUUGCAACUUCUUGCCGACUCGCGCAAACACGGCCACCUCUUUCCCAUUUUGCGUGAGCCGGACGAGAGAAAACGUACCGGAACCCAACAGCACACUCUGCUCCUUGUCGAUGAGAUGCACCAGGGAGUGACUAAUCUUCACCAAUCCCUCCUCGCCAGCGACGAGCUCGCGCUCCUCCUCGGCGUCCACUGGGAAAUCAUCCGAGGCCCCCUCGGUUUGCUGCGGUGGUUCUUGAUCAUACUUUGGAAUGGGCCUAUCUGGUGAUCUUACUCUGAGUUUGCUGUUGGGAUCCAUGCGGACGGAGGGAUCUUCGUCGCCUGGCGGUGGCGAAUUCGCGUUCUCGGCCGCAUCUUGCUUGCUUUUGCUGGAUUUGCCACCCAUUUUGGCGAUCACCUACGAUAGAACAGAGAAUUCUUCGCUACAGUUUAGUCCCAAGGAUUUAGAUCAGUGCUGCCGUGCCACGUUCACAAAGACACUUGUCAGGAGAUGCCGGUAAGACGGUGAUCUGUCAAGAACUUUUGGAUCUAUUCCUGCUUAAAGAACAAGGAACAUUUAAGUUGCAAGCGUCCAAAGCAUCCUGGAUUAUUGUCAAAAGCAUGGUAUAAGUCCAAGCGUAAGCUUAGAGCCAAGUAAAAGUACCUUAUCCACGAGGAUCACUUCGCUUGGCCACCUAAGCACGGAUGGAUCGAGAAAAUCAUUGUCCGAAGAAUAUAAAACUUGCGAACCGUGAUGAUCACUUGGAGUUUGACGAUCGCCCAAGCAGCUUCCAGCACUAGAACCAAGUUUUGAUCGCCUCCACCGCCCUGGCCGGACUCCUGUCUCUGUGAUGGUAGUGGCACACGGACUUCCCAGCACGGGAGGAAUAUUUUGAGUGAGCUACUUGCCCGACAAUAUCUUUUUGCUUACCAUCGUGUAGCAGUGCCGUGUCGGCGAAUCAAGGACAGAUCAAGCUCACCCGGAUGUCGUAGCUCAGUGUUUGCGCCAGGCCUCGAAACGUGUACAUUGUAGCCGCGUAGCUGUUAGCAGCGUCUAGUUACGAGCGACGAUUGUCACAAAGGCACAGAGCCGAUGACGCUCGAUUCUCCAGUCACACAACUACGUGUUUGUUCAUCAGGAACCCCUGAACAAAACAGCAAAGAACUAUGAAUCCCUAGAAAAGAAUGGAAUGCUUGUCAGAACCAAGACCAACAAAAAGAGUAAGAAUUCGCAAAAAUGCAACUUUACGUGAGCAAGAAAAACCAACCAAGCGUACUGUGCAAGCUCACCUAAUAGGAAGAAAAACCAUCGACAUCUUCCAUCAAUCUUUGUUCAUAGCAGCACGAUACCUCGAGUGUUCAAAGAAGUUUUCCGCGAGAGAUACAGCCAAAACCACAGCUCAACAGUAUCGAUUGACUUGUCGUUUGGGCACAGGCCGAGCGUUUGGUCAGCUCCUGUAAUAGAAACUGCACAAUCGAAAGCUCAGGUUAAGCUGACAACCGAGUACACCACAUCUCACACACCUCUGAAGCUGAUCAGGAGCUUUGCUCGUUGACAAAAAGAAAUCACGCUUUGAGCUGGAUGUCAAAGUUUCGCUACUCUCUUGAUGCGUGAAACGCAAAAAUUCCUGUUCAUCAUCCCACUGCAUCAGUACGUCCAAACAGUUCUCUUUACCGUAUGAAGCUUAACGCUAAGUGUUUUCCAGUCCCUGCUCUCCAGUUCUUCCCGUGGCUGCUGCAGUGCUGCUACCAACACACACACAAUUAAACAAAUCUAAAAGUGUCAAGUACAGUGCCUUCUUACCUGUGAAGGAUCGAGAAUCGCACACACUGUCUUUUUCUCCUCUGGAUCCCUGUGAUUGUCGUAGAAUGUCCUGGAUGUUGGUAGUAGGGAGGCCUGAUUGCCAUUCAAAAAGUUUGAAACAUGGUUUGAAAAAAAAAGAAAAGAAGGCAAGCGAGCUCUAAAGCACUUACUCCCCAUUUGAUUCUUUUCGACACUCGCAGAAUUCUUUUCAUUCAUUCCUCAGAUAAUAGCAUUCGAGCUCAGCUCCAGAUCAUACCUUCUCCUCUGCAAAUCAAUCCAGAAUCUCGGCAUUACAUCGCCGAUCGAGCGAAACCGUCACACAGCCCGCAGGAAUCAUGGAGCGCGACACCAUACCUCAGAAUUUCCACUGCCUCGCACGAUCCCGUCAAGCUCGGCAGCUAGCGCGGGCGCUCUCAACACAAAUGCCCCAAAAUUUCAAACGUGCCGUACAGUUCGCCCAAAAUCUAGUACGGAGAGAUUUGGCCCCUGUUUCGCCCUGGGCCACUUUAGGGUACAAUUCUAACAGUCUGAAAAUAUCUAGGCUACAUAGUAAAAAAAUUAACAUGUCAUGUCACCUCCACAUUAAUGGGUACCAGGCGGACCCCAUAGAUCUCCAAAUUGAAAAAAUCCAUGGUACACACUGGUGUGCUCACGUCACGUGCGAAUAUUCCCCGCACAACAGGCCAGCGCGUGUCCCCCGCGGCGCCGUCGGAUUCCAAUCGUAUGGUCAAUCGCCUCGACAUUAUUUUUCGAAAGGUGUGGUAGGUAUUCCCGGGCAUUGGGUGUUUAUGCGUGCUUUACCAUUUCUGGAAAGGCUUUGCCACAUGGUAAUUUAAGUAAAGCGCCCUUGUUACGUAAAUACGGUGCGUAAGAGAAGCACUGUAGCGCGCGGCUAUGGAGUCAAAGAGAGGCAAUGAUUCGAUGUGGGCAUUCAUCCCUUUGGUGGGAAAUCCCCCUACAAAAGCCGCAAGCUUAACAGCAAAAUCCAACAUCAGGAGUGACAGAACGGCAUUCCAAAUCCGGUUUUUGGCUUCGUUGUUCUUCCGGUUCCAUCCUUCUCGCAUUUGUGUGUUCUUGCCAAGAAUCUCGCAAGCCCGCCAGGAAUCGGAGGUCAUGGGUUGAUCGCACGUCGCAUUGGGUCUCUCGCGCUGCUGAUUUCCCUGCGAGAAGGUACCGCCCACGCCGUAGAAUCGAGCGAGACUAACUUGUGUGGUGUUCUUGUGCAGUUUGUAGCAGCAGGGCUCGGCGCUGGAUCGAGGAUCCACGGUUCUUUCCUUUCUGUGGAUCAGGACGGAUCCAAAUUCGAAUCUUUUGGAUUUUUUUUCUCUUUUUUUCUCCCUUUUGUUCUCGCGUGUGUGUGCUCGUUGCAGGAGGAACAGUAUAUCGUCUAGUUCUUCCACAGUGACAAAAGAAAAACUGUGAGAGGAGAGAACUUUUUGUUGGCUUCCUGUCGAUUUUUGUUGUUUGGAGAUAACCCACACAGCAGCUUUCUUCCAUUUCUAUCUCUCCGUUUAAUUUUUUUUUUUCUUCUUCUUACUUCGAUCGUGAGCGAGGACGAGAGUUUUUGGUUUUUGAGGAGAGGAGAGCAAGAGAUCUUCGCGAUGUCUCCGUGAGGAGUAAUGCAGCAGCCGGUAGAAGAUUGCCAGAGGGGUUCUUCCAUUCGCAGCGACAACACCUUCCAGAGUUCCAGUUCUCCAGCGCUCCCGAUCCAGAUGCAGCACCACGAUUUCAUGGGCCAAGGUACCCUGGAGCAUCCCCACGGCUUCGUCGAUCACCACUACCAUCUCUCGCCGGGGAUGAUCAGCACAAGAUACGGCGCUAUUUCCAACUCCAUGGUCGCCUCACUGCAGUCGCCAUACAACUUUCAGCUAUUAAGGAGAACGCUUCUUCCGGUAAGUGCCUUCGCAGAACAGCAGCGAGCACAAGUCUCUUCGUCUCCUCCUUCGCCGCUUCUCAGCGAUUCUCACCGCCAGAUCGAUCAGACGAGCGCGCAGCAGCAGCAGCAGCAGCAGCACGGCACUACCAAUUUGUCCACUCUCAAAUCUUUGCUGAGGCAGCCGCAAGAGAAUAGCCACGACGAUCAUCACGCAGCUCUUCCUUCCAUGGAUCAAAGCCACCACCAGAGCGCUAUCGUCAAUCACCAGUCGCUGACUUUGUCCAUGAGUUCCGGCUCACAGUCGAGCAACACCGAUUCGUCUUCCAUCGCCGCCCACCACGAUCACCAGCCGCUCGUGACCUUCCAGGACCAGGAGCUACCACCGCCGCCAUCCUCGUCCGCCACCACCACCGCCAUCAAUCUUCCAAGGACCACCGGUAGCAAGAAGAGGCUCGGCAAGAACAAGGCGCCCAACUUGCGCAAAUCGAUCGAUACUUUCGGGCAGCGAACAUCGGUCUUUCGGGGUGUGACCAGGUAAAAGAGCGAGAAAGAUGGGAUAGUUUCACAUUCUCUCUUUGUUCCCUCGGUUUGAGUUCUAAGUUGCUGGAACUGAAACACUGAUCCAAAUGUUUAAGCUAGGCAUCGCUGGACUGGGCGUUUUGAGGCUCAUCUCUGGGACAAUACUUGCCGAAAGGAAGGACAAACGAGGAAAGGAAGACAAGGUACUGCUUAAAAGUUUUGAGAGUUUUUUUUCAUGGUUUUUUUUCUCUCUUGGGUGAUUUUUCCGUCCCUGGAUCUGGAUGGUGUUUUUGGUAUGGUACUUGAUCCAUCCUCCAGUGUACUUAGGUGAGUAAUCUAUCGAAUUUUUCUCGAUUGUGGAGCUAAACUUUUGGUGGUUUUCUUUUCUUUUUUUCUUGCGUUUUGCGUAGGGGGGUAUGAUGCGGAGGAGAAGGCAGCAAGAGCUUACGAUCUGGCAGCUCUCAAGUACUGGGGGCCUACGACAACUACAAACUUUCCGGUAAGAACUAAUGUGACAACGUAAGUUCUUUCUUUGCAAGCUCACAGAUUUUCUGGUUGUGUUGAAGGCUGUGGAGUAUCACUCCAAGUUAACUGAGAUGAAGAGUAUGAGCAGACAGGCAUUUGUUGCUGCGCUCAGGAGGUGCGAAACUUUUUCCAUUUUGCAUUGUGCGAGUUCUAAAGUUUUGGGUGUUCUAAAGUUUAUAUGUGGUGUUCUAAAGCUUGUAUGUGUCUUUGUGUUUGGAAAACAGGAAGAGCAGUGGCUUCGCGAGAGGCGCAUCGAGGUUCAGGGGUGUAACAAGGUAAUGCUCAUGAUCAAUUCAUAUAUUUUUUCACUUCGGUCUUUUUUCCCAGGCAUCACCAGCAGGGAAGAUGGCAAGCUCGGAUCGGACGAGUUGCGGGGAAUAAAGAUCUGUACCUCGGAACUUUCAGUAAGUUUUCGAUCGAAAGCUUUCAAGUUCGUAAAUUUUUUCCUUUUUUCGAUGAAAGGUACUGAAGAAGAAGCUGCCGAAGCUUACGACAUCGCAGCCAUCAAAUUCCGCGGUGCAAGCGCGGUGACAAACUUCGACAUGAGUCACUACGACUUGAGGCGGAUUUGCUCCAGCCCGAGCUUGCUACUGGGUGACACCGCCAGGAUCAAGCACAAGGAAGCUCCCGACGCAGCGAACGAUCAGAGCGUCACCAUAGCAGCUGACGAACCGAUAUGUGAUGAUGGAGGAGCUCUCGUAACUUCUUCCGCUCCUCAAGACUCUAUCGCUAAUCAGGAACACAACUAUGCUGGUGCCGCGGGGCCGGGAGUUCUUCGCAACCUCAUUGGACUCGACACGUUCUCUUGUCAAGCUGAUCAUCCUGAAGCUGCCGAUACGAGCUCCUCGGAUGGUGGUGGUGGAGGUGGCGGAGUUCCAAGUUCCUCCGUAGCUCAGCACGACGAUCAGCUUUAUACUCCGGCGCCGCCAGAUUACAGCACCGGAUCCCUGAUGCCAUCACCGCUGCAAACUCUCCACGCGAUGAGGUCCACAAUCCCGGCACACAUGCCUUACUUCUCAGCCUGGAACGAGUCGGAGUGAUCGAUCACAUAUGCAACCGAUCAUCAGGAGAAAACUUAUUGUGUUGAAAGCAAAAAAAGAAGAAAAAAACUUUCAAUUCAAUUUGACGAGCUAUCGUUGUAUCGAAAUUCUCAAUACCACAUCUCGAGAAAACCAAAAAACAGUAACGAAUUUCGAUCGAGACCAUGGAAAGCGUGCAUCUAGUUAGUUGAUAAGGCGACUCUUUCGCUUCCUCUCUCGCUGGAGAACUAAGUGUUUCUUAGUGUUCUAAACUAACACAGGCUUGUUCGUUCGUUUUGGCUCGAUCGAAUGCUAAAAAAGUGAGCUUGGAUCGGUUGUCGUGCCGAGCGAGAGAGACUGAUGGACACGAAUGGCAGUACAAUUCUGCUGUUCCUGCUUCUGAUCGCUUCAUUCGUCGCUAUUGUUGACCAAAAGAACCACACUCCAUUUCUCUUUCAUGUUUGUCACUUUCACUGGAGAGAGGGCUUGAAAGAUGGAUGGAUAGAAAACAAAGCUUUCCAUAGCUAGCUUGUCUCUUCUCCACCAUGUUCUUAUUAAUAUUACCAAAUAUUAUUUAUACUAAUUUUAAUGUUAUCAUAGUGUACAAUAAUUUAAUUACCAUUAUAAAUACUAUUACUAUAUAAAUAAUAGAGAAUAUAAAUAUUUUGUAUUGGUGGUGGCAAUUAUGUAACGGUGUCAAUGUCAACACCACAAAGGAGCCUCCUGAAAGCUACUGCUCGCCAAAGCUUUUGAUUAAAUGGCAUAGUUUGGAUCAUAGGUGUAGCGAUGUGUAUGAGAGUAGUAUAUUCUCGAAGCUUAGCUGAGAUUUUUUGGUGCAUGAUCGGGCUGAUGAUUUCAUACUUUUAAAAAAUCGCAGCUUUAUACGAUCUUUCGGACAGAAGCACUUGUUUAGAAGAUUCCGUGUAGUAUAGUCUCAUUUUCUGGCUCUCUCUCUAUCUCAUAUGUGCUCAUGUGGAUGCCCCACCCAGGGAAGGGAUUUUAGUCGAGAAAAAUAACCUCUUGUCAACACCAUGGACAAGAACGCGCAAACACACAACUCUAUCACACCUCUUUGUGCGUGUGAUUGAGCAAAGCCCCCGUGUCGCCACGUCGGCGCCCGCGUGGCACGGGCCCUGUACGAAAUAUCCCGGGAUGAUGGCCAUGGCCGCCGCCGGCUGGGGCGCGUGGGGGCCGUACGGGCGACAAAGUAGUGGCCCGGUUCCCAACGCUCCUUGUAGAUUCUGCCGCGAACGUCACGCACCGAAAGCCACACAAACCAGGUGAGAUAAGCAGGUUUUUUAGUUGGGCAAUUAGCAGCAAAGUAUGUGAUUGCCGUACAGACAAAAGAGACACCAAUAAGAUCCCUGUCUGUCUGUUCCCUGCGCUGUGAUGUUGCUGUGAUGUUGCUUGUGGGUGUUGUUGCUCAUGUCUCACUUAUUGGCGGGUGUACGGACCUUGUCAACGCGGCCACCAAGUAAGUAGCGCCCACCACACCCAACGUGAUGACAAUGCCACCAAAUACAAUGGAAAAUAUAUAUAUCGUCCCACUCGAAUAUCACUGACCCAUCAUUCUUUGGUCUCAAUCAAGGGCGACAAAAGACGCAAGGGCAUAUUUUUGUCAAGAAAAAGAUAGAUGACGUGGCAGUGACGUGCACACAUGUCAUCUUUUGCGCAUUGACACGUCACCGCCAAGUCAACCUUAUCCAUUGACACGUCACCGUCCGGUCAACUUGCCCAAUAACACGUAGGCGGAUUCGACCACGUCACUGCUGCCGGGUGCAACCAGCAGGGACCGCAUUACCAAGCUGGCGCGCUCCACGUCACCCCAUUUCUGACACGCGGACAAGAUGGUAAACCACGUCAGCGCAGUCGGAGGCAGUGACAUGGUAUGGACCAUUGCCACGGCGGCGUCCAGCUGGUUGGCCCGCCCGAGCGCGUCAACCACGCAGUGGUAGUGCUCCAUGCCAGCUGGGAUUCCAUACACGCGCGGCAUUGCGUCGAGGUAGCGCCGGGCUUUGUCCCAGAGCCCCGCGUGGCUGCAAGCCGUGAGAAGCGACACCAAAGUUACACCAUUUACCUCCAAGUUCUCGUCUCGCAUUUGAUGGAACGAGGAGAAAACCAUCGCGAUGGAACUUUGGUGACUAUAUCCCGCGAUCAAACAGUUCCAAGUCACGGUGUCUCUCGUCGCAAGAGCGUCAAAGACGAGCUGGGCGUGGAUCAUGCUCCCGCAUUUGCCAAGAACAUCCACAACAGAGUUAGCGACGGUGUGGAAGUUUUCAGCUCCAUACCUGACCAUCACGGCAAAGAUCUCCCUGGCGGCGUCCAUGGAGGCCAUGUUUCCACACGCCUUUAGCACAGGGAUGAAAGUUCCAGCGUCCGGUUGACAGCUACCUCGAGCUCGCAUCGCAGAGAACGCUUCCAAGGCGAGCUUCUCCUCGCAGUUUUCGACGUAGCCGAGUAGCAGCGUGUUCCACAGCACCACGUCUCGGUCGGAAGCGGCGAUGCUGUCGAAAACCUUACGAGCAUCUGUGAGGCUCCGGCACUUCGCGUACAUGUUGACAAGCGUGCCUGUGAUCACUCCCACGGAGCCAUAGCCAUUCUCCACGACUGCCGAGUGAAUGGCCUUGCCUUUGUCCAAACUGUCGACUUUGACAAGCUUCCCAUCGACUGGUUUUCCUUCCUCUUUUGCAGCUUGAGCGGUGCAGGCCUUGAGAGCAGCGAUGAAGGUCUGAGCAUUCGGCUUACAACCUUCCAAGGCGGCGGCUAAUAACUCCAAAGCCAUCUUUUCUUCCCCGUUCUCAACAUAGCCGAGCAUCAACGCGUUGAGCGAGAGAACGUUAUAGCGAGGCGUUUUCUCGAAGACUCGAAGAGAAUCGACCAAGCUUCCACAUUUUGCGUAGCAUUCGAUCAGGCUGCUCGCCAAGAAAACGUCCGAGCCACAGCCAAGCUCCGCCGACUGGCGAUGCAAGGCCAGAGCUUUGUCCAGUGACUCGAGCUUAUAAAGCUUCCCAUCAACCUGUGUCCCAGUCUCUUUCGCGGCCAAAGCUGUGCACGCUUUCAAUCCAGCGCUGUAAGUUCGCACGUCCGGUGAAAACUGCAUGGACGAUAUAAGUUCCAAAGCCAACCCUUCCUCCCCGGCUUUCGUAUAGCCCAGUAAAAGCGAGUUCCAUGCUACGACGUUCCUGUUUUCCAUGCCGUUGAAAACUCUCCAAGCAUCCACCAGGUUCCAGCACUUGACGUACAUAUCGACCAGAGUGUUUGCCACGAAAACAUCUGAAUCCAUUUCACACUUGGAAGCUUGACGAUGGAUAGCCGAUCCUUUCUCUAAAGCCCGAGCUUUCACCAGCCUUCCAUCAACCUCCUUGGUAACCUCUUCUUUCACCGCUAGAUUGGCGCAAGCCUUCAGAGCAGCGACGAAAGUUUGAGCAUCUCCUUCAGCUGGCAUAGUGUCUAGCAGAUCCAAAACCGCUGCUUCUUCCCAGUUCUCAACGUAGCCGAGUAACAAGGCCGUCCAGAGUGCCGCAUUAUGAGCGGGAAGCUUGUCGUAAACCCUGCGUGAAUCCUUCAUGCUCCCACAUUUUGCGUACGUAUCGAUCAGCGUGGUCGCCAAGAAAACGUCGAGCUCAAAUCCAGCAUUUGCAGCUUCGAGAUGGAUGCUCAUGGCUCUUUCCAAAGCCUUUCCCGCAGUGCCAUCUUGCUGCCGAGGCUCUUCUUUGAGUGCCAGGAAAGAACAAGCCUUGAGUGCCGCAACGUAAGUUCGAGAGUCCCGGCAAUUCUCCGCAACGCUUGCAAAUAACUCAAGUGCUGUAGCUUCCUCCCCGUUGUCCACAUAUCCCAGGAUUAAAGAGUUCCACACAACGGUGUCUUGCUUGUGCAUGCCGUUGAAAACUUCUCGAGCAUUGUCCAUGCUUCCACACUUCACGUACGCAUCAACCAGUGCGCCGAGCAGAAUGAUAUCCGAGUCCAUCCCACCGUUCUUCGUGCGAGAAUGAAUAUCCAUGACAGCAUCCAGAGUCGCCGUCUUCACACACUUCCCAUCAGCUUUUUCUUUUGCUGCACGCCCACUGCAGGCUUUCAGUGCAGCUACGAAAGUCCAGACGUUCGGCGGACAGCCUUGGCUCGGCAUGCGGGAGAACAAAUCCAAAGCCAGAUUCUCACUGUCGUUCUCUGCGUAACCGAGUAUCAGCGCUGUCCAGGAUACCACCGUGUGAAGCGGCAUAGUAUCGAACACUUUCCGAGCGUCCUCCAUGCUCACACACUUCGCAUAUGCGUCGACUAAAGCGCUUGCAACGAAGAUGUCAGUGUCGCAGCCAGCUUUUUGUGCCUGAGUGUGGAUUCCCAUGACUUUUUCCAGCGAGCAAACUCUGACGAGCUUUCCCUGGACCUGCUUUCCGCCUUCUUUCCCUGCGAGACCGCUGGAAGCCUUCAGAGCGGCAACGAAACUCCGACCAUCUCGGACGUGGCCCACAGUGCUCAUGCGGGAGAAUAAAUCCAGCGCCUGCUCUUCGUCCUUGUUUUCCACAUAUCCCAGCAUCAGAGAAUUCCAGGAGACCGGGCAGUGACUUGAAACCAUGUCGAAGACCAGGCGAGCAUGGCGCAGACUCCCACACUUUAUGUACAUGUCGACCAGCGUGCUGGCAACAAAGCCUUCAUUUUCGUACCCGAGCUUGGACGCUCGAGCGUGUAUCGCCAUGCCAAUCUGUAAUGCCUCCUGUUCUUCUUCUUUUUUCGCCAAAGCGCUGCAAGCUUUAAGCGCCCCCACGAAACUUCGAGCGUUUGGUCGGCAUCCUCCUGCUUCCAUCCGGGAGAAUAACUCAAGAGCUCUCCGUUCUUCCCCAUUGUCGAUGUACCCCAGCAUCAAAGCGUUCCAGCAAACUUCAUCACGCUGUAGAGCUUUGGAGAAAACUCCAUCGCUGUCCACCAUGCUUCCACACUUCGCAAACAUGUCGAUGAAGGUGCUCGCGACGAAAACUUCCGAGUCGCAUCCCACCUUUGCAGCUUGGGCAUGAAUCCCUCGCCCGACCUCCAAAGCCGCCACCUUCAAGACCUUCGUUCCAAUCUUCCUCCCAGCUUCUUUCACCGCCAAACCGGAGCAAGCUUUACCAGCAGCAGCAAAAGUUCGAGCAUUCGGUCCAGGGCCUUCGCGUUGGAUGCGGCUAAAGAGCUCCAGUGCCAGUUCUUCCUCUCCAUUCUCGGCAUAGCCCAGCAUCAAAGCGUUCCACGAAACCACGCUGCGAGUCUGGAUACCAUGGAAAACUUUGGCCGCCUCUUCCAUGAGCCGGCACUUCGCGUACGUGCUGAUCAGCGUGUUGGCCACGAAGAUGUUUGCGUCGAUUUCUCCUUGAGCGGCAUCGCUGUGGAUUUUUCUCCCGAUCUCUGAGUCUUUGAGCUUGCUGCAUGCUUGUAGUGCCGAAAGAGAAACACCGAUGUUUGAUCGGAGUGCCUCCGGAGAAUGGCUGUGGCGUCCCCAUUGCUUGAAAGAAGAGCACAAGUCGAUAGCUGAUAAACUGUGGAUGAUCUGCGUGGCGAGAAAGAAGAAAAUGUGAUCGAUCGAUUGCUAGAUCAGCUAGUACCUGCGAUCUUGCGCUGGAAACCAAUGCCGCAUUGCAGCGCCUCGAGGCGCUUCGCAUCCCAUUGCCCUAACGCAACGAAGAGAAAUAUUUUAGGGUUCUUGGAGAAAUGCUCAAAGUGAUCGAGCAAUGGAUCUUUCGCCCGGACCGGGGCACCGAGGUACGCUCCCAGUGGAAUCGCAGUCGCGCAUCUUCGGAUCGCCAGAGAAGCAAGCUCUUGCCGUGAUUUCUGGAUUGAAGGCGUGCAUUCGAUCCAAGAAUGCCGAGCAAGGGCGGAGAAUCCACGCCGACGCAGCAGCGCGUGGAAUCGACUCGAAUAUCUUCGUGGCCAGCACGCUGAUCAACAUGUACUGCAAGUGUGGCAGCCUGAUCGAUGCUCGCCGGGUCUUCGACGCCGUGAAAUCCCGCAGCGUCGUCCCUUGGAACGUGAUGAUACUGGGAUACGCAGAGAAUGGAGAUGGAGCUCUAGCUUUGGAUUUGCUCGCCGCGAUGGAGCUCCAGGGGUUUUCCCCGGAUUCCCAGACGAUAGUGGCUGCUCUCAAGGCGUGCGCUAGCUUGGUUUCGCAAGAACAAGGCAGGGAGAUUGGUGGAAGGACUGUGAAGCUGGCUACUCUGGAGAAAGCUUUCGCGAUUCACUCUCGAGCCAGGGGAUUGAUCAAGAACAGUUUUGUGGCGAGCAGCUUGGUGGAUCUCUACGCGAAAUGCGGAAGCAUGGAGGACGCAGAGAGAGCUUUCGAGGGGAUGGACUUUCGAGACGUGGUUUCGUGGAACGCAUUGAUGCUUGGCUAUGCCGAGAACGGUGAAGAAGAGCUGGCGAUGGAAGUCUUGAGAGCUAUGGAGCUCCAGGGAUGCCGGGCAAACUCCCGGAGCUUUGUGGCGGCUCUCAAGGCUUGCAGCGGAUUGGGAGAGAAGGAAGCUGGGAUAGAACUCGAUGGAGUGAUCGUCAAGGUGAGCUCCAUCGAGAAAGGAAUGGCUUUGCACUCGCGAGCAGCGAAGAUUGGCAGCGACAGGGAUAAGUUCGUGGCCAGCGCUGCGAUGGACAUGUACGUGAAGUGUGGGAGCAUGGCGGAUGCGCAGAGAGCUUUCGAUCGGAUGGCUUCUCGCGACGUCGUCUCGUGGAACGCUUUGAUCCUCGGCUACGCAGAGACCAACGACCGCGAAAGAUCUCUCGAGCUCCUCCAGCUGAUGAUCCAAGAUGGUGGCUGCGAGCCAAACUCCCGGACGUUUCUAGCCGCUCUAAAGGCCUGCCAGAGCUCUCAAGCGCUCGACUCGACGAAAGUGAUCCACGCCCUUGCGGCGAGACGCGGUUCUUCCGAGAAAGAUGGAGUUCUCGCAAACUCGCUCGUCGACGUCUAUGGAAAAUGUGGCAGCUUGCUCGACGCGCACCAGGUAUUCGAUUCACUCCAUUCUAGUGACUCCAUAACUUGGACCUCGCUUCUCGCAGGAUACGCUCGCAAAGGCGACAGCCAGCGAGUCUUCGAGCUCUUUCGAUCCAUGCGAGACGAAGCCAUCGAACCAAACAGCGCCACUUUCGUGUGCCUCCUCACGGCUUGCAGCCACAGCGGCGCAGUGGAUCGAUCGAAGCAGCUGCUCGAAUCGAUGCUGCCCAGCCAUGGAAUUCGCCCAAAGAUCGAGCACUACAUUUGCGUGAUCGACUGCUUGAGCCGGGCCGGGAAGCUGGAAGAAGCGCUGCGCGUGGCUUAUGACAUGCCUUACGUGGCGGACGACGUGGCGUGGAUGACGGUGCUGGGCGGCGCAUGUCAUAACGGCGAGGCGGCUGGGGCGGGCGGUCACGCGUUCGAAUCCGUGGUGGGGCUGGGCCAUGGGUCGCUGGCUCCGUACGCGCUCAUGGCCAACAUUCUGGAGGGCCAGGGCGUACGGUAGGGCUUAAUAUCCCCGUAGCCGUGAGAAGCACUUGAACGUUUCCCAGGGAGGAGACGCAACGCUUACGGGCUACCGCCGGUGGCCUCGCGCGAUCGAUCAGUGGCGCCGCCGCGCCGCCGCGCUGUCUGGCCAAUCCUCCGGAUCUGCGACGAGCGGGCAUCGAUCUGAGCAGCAGCGCCGGGGAUCUUGGAGCCGCGCGAUUUCCAGGUGCUUGUUCUUGCAAUUAGGGUAGAGAUUGUUGGCAAUAAUCCCCCUUCUCUUCGUGGAUCUUGGCGCAGAUGCGAGCGAGCGAGCGAGCUAGAGGAGCUUGCGCUCUAGGCGCCGCGCGGCCAGCGAGGGCAUUUUCAUUCUUGCCUUGUCGGUGAAGCGAAGCUCUUGCCGACUGAGGAGGGAAGGAAGAACAACGCGAAAAAAGAGGAUGCCGAAGGAUGUGAGCAAUCGAUCGUCACGAAAAUCUCGCCCGCCACACUACCAUCCUUACCAGAGCUCCUCUAAAGAGGGUGGCGACGAGGCUCUGGUCUCGAAAGAAUGGGAGGACGCGACAUGCCCGAUUUGCAUGGAGAUCCCACACAACGCAGUGCUACUCCUUUGCAGCUCCCACGACAAUGGAUGCCGGCCUUACAUGUGUGAUACGAGCUAUCGCCACUCGAAUUGCCUGGACCAGUACAAGAAGCUCUCGGGAAGAGGCGGCGGGCAGUGUAGCAGCCGAGGCGAGGAGGUGAUCCACGAGCCACUCUCGUCGGCCGCCGCUGGAGGAUCGUCCAGCGCUAGAACUCGCGAGCGAUCGGCCGUGAGGAUGAGACCUCUCCGGGAGCUCUUGCUCAUAGGUGACAGCAACAGUAGCAGCAGCUCUAGACGAGGUGGUGGAAACGGUGGUCGUGAUGGGUCUGGGACUCCGGGGCGAGCUCUCAGAGGAGUUCCGGGUGUAGGGGUCGUAGAGGAGGAGCCCGAGGCGGAGGUGGCCGACUUCCAGGAGCAGUCCGAGGCGAGGGAAGCGUCCGAGGAGCAGCCGGAAGUAAGGAGCAGCUGCAGUGGAAUGGGGGAGUCACUCGACUUGAUGUGUCCUCUGUGUAGAGGCAAAGUUGUGGGGUGGAAGGUGGUGGAGCCGGCUCGGCGGCAUCUAAACUGCAAGUCGAGGAACUGCGCACAGGAGUCGUGUGGAUUCACCGGGAGCUACGACGAGCUGCGGAAGCACGCUCGGUGUGUGCACCCGUUUGCUCGGCCCUCGGACGUGGAUCCGGCCCGGCAGAGGGACUGGAGGCACCUGGAACGCGAGCGGGACAUAGGGGACGUGUUGAGCACCAUCCAGUCGGCCAUGCCCGGAGCUCGGAUCCUGGGUGACUACGUGAUCGACGAGGACAACGAUGACCAGGAAGAUGAGGGUGAUGACAAUGAUUUUCCUGGCGACGAUGGUAAUUGGUGGACAGUCUUUUUGCUUUUUCAAGUGUUUGGUCCUGUAGCAGCGACUGGAGCGACUGCAGGUGGUAGUAGCAUCCCAAGCAGGCUUAGAGGACUUUCGUCCAGGGUGGUGGCGGCGGCCGCGGCGUCGUCGGCUGCCCCGAGGGAAGCUUUGUGGGGGGAGGAUAUCCAGAUGAACCGUGUUGUUGGCGGUGACGAGGGAAGAACAGGGACUGUGACUAGUUCUUCGUCUGGAAGCGGUGGUGGAGCUAGCUCGAACUCCACUGCUGCUGCUGCUGCUGGAGAGAAUGGAGGAGAGAUUGUUGGGCCUUCGACAACUCGGAGACGACGAACCAGGCACCACCAUCAGCACCAGCAGCACCAUCACCAGCGGCAGCAGCACCAGCAGUGAAAAGUUCUUCGUCCGGAGGAGAGAUUUGCUCGUGAAGUGAUCGACAUUUGCUCGACGUCGUAGCGAGAUCGAAUUCUCGAGGUUGAGAAGUGGUUUUCGCUGGAGAGAUCGCUACUUUGCUCCAAAUGCCGAGGAGGAAAAGAUCGAGCUCGAAAGACUCUUAGAACAAUGGAGACUCGCAGGCUCUAAAGUAUGAAUUUUUUUUCCUCGUGGUUAAAGUUAUGUCGUUCUUUGGUCUCUUCCUGACCGUCGGAUUCUCGGCUUGGGUAUCCAACGGCCGGCGUUGAAAUGUAUGCCGUACACCUUUUUUUUUGGCCCAGGUAGGGUUAGGGUCCUGUGCUAGUGUUCUUGGCGGAGGAGAGGAGCAGUGGCGAUGCGGCUCGCCCGGAUUCGGGCACAUUCCCUGCCGUAAGAAAGCAUUUCCUUGCAGGAAUGGUCCGCGUCGGGAUGGCGGAGGAGGCGGGGCGAUUCCGGCACAGGCUGCGGCAUUCGGAUUUCUACUGGAAGAAGCGCAAGGGAAUCAGGCGUAGGGAGGGCUGGAUCGGUGGCUGGAGCUGAGAUUUGGGGGAUAAUGCAGGGGUAGAGGCGAGAUUCUGGCUAUGUCGUGGUUCCUGUGGCUCCUGCUGCUGGCUGCCUCUCUCACUCCGUCCCUCGCACAGCUAUCCGGCGACGGCAUUGCGCUCCUGGCAGUAAAGAAGGCGCUUGACCCCUCGGACGCUCUCUCUGGGUGGAACGCGGGCAGCGUUGAUCCGUGCUUGUGGGCGGGUGUUAGUUGCGCACAGGAUCGUAGAGUCACGUCUCUCAACUUGACAGGGGCCUUCUUGGGCACUUGUAGCAGCAGCCACAGCGACUCUUGGGAGAAUGUCCAAACGCAGCAGCCGGGAUCGUUGGCUUGUUUGCAAGGAGGGUCUUGCAUCCUGGAAGGAGUUUUGGCACCGGAGAUUGGCAACUUGUCCGAGUUGAGGAGUCUCGUCUUGGGGUAUAACAGGUUCAGGGGUGGAAUUCCCAGGGAGAUUUCCAAGCUGCGCAAGCUCCAGGUGCUCAGCCUCCAGGAGAAUUCCUUUUCGGGUGGGAUACCGGCAGAGCUUGGAGCUCUUUCCAGCUUGGAGGUGUUGGAUCUGGAAGGGAAUUUGCUCGACGGCCCAAUCCCGCCAGCCAUCGCAAGCUGCCGCAGCUUGGUCCACAUCAGCCUUGGUAGAAACAAGCUCUCUGGGGGGAUUCCAGCGAGUUUGGGAGGACUGUCACGCUUGCGUCACCUUUCUUUGACGUCCAACCAGUUGAGCUCUGUCAUUCCUCCGGGGCUACAGGGUCUUUGUGGAACAUUGGAGUACUUGGACCUGGGAAGUAACUUUUUUAUUCGCGGCAUUCCACCUUGGCUGGGAAACUGCUCGAAGCUACAGGUUCUCGUCCUCGAAUCGAACUAUCUGCAAGGAUUUAUUCCUUCCGAGCUCGGCCGUCUGGGAAUGCUUCAGGUGCUCGAUGUAUCGAUGAACAGGCUAACAGGUCAGGUUCCGGCAGCUUUAGGUGACUGCUUGGAGCUCUCCUUUCUGGUUUUGACACAUCCGAGCUCGUGUGUUUCGCCCUUCAACUGUACUACUGGGGAUGGUGUCCGGGGUGUUGACAAGGCAGAAUUUAAUCAGUUCGAUGGUCCGCUUCCGAGCAGCAUCUCGAAGUUGCCCAAGCUCCAAGUUCUCUGGGCACCUCAUGCAGCGUUAACAGGAGGUAUUCCCGACGGGUGGGGGGCCUGUGAGAGGCUGAGGAGCCUCAAUCUUGCCGGUAACUCGUUCACGGGUGACUUUCCUCAGGGCCUUGGAAAGUGCUCGUCACUCACGUACUUAGAUCUCAGCUUGAACAGGCUAGAGGCUCAGUUACCACCACAGCUGCCAACUUCUUGUAUGAUCGUCUUCAACGUAAGCAGGAACAGCUUGUCCGGAGAUGUUCUACCCCGAAGGAGCAUCGAGUGCAAUGACACGCAAGAGCCAGUGGUUUACCCUUCGUUUUGCUCGGGAAGACCGUUUUGCGGGAAACGGAGAAGCGAGACGUGUCUCAGCUCUGGGUUAAUCGUUGUGCAUGAUAUAAGCGGCAACAAUUUCUCGGGUCCUGUUCCAGCACCUUUAAUAGGCGACGAGCUGCUGGAACAAGAACCGGUAUACGAGCUCCUCAUGUCGGAGAAUAGGCUGGCCGGCAACAUCCCGUCCUCCUUUUUUGCCUUCUGUGGAAGGUUCAAGGCGUUCAUGGCAAACUUGAGCGACAACCAGAUUUCGGGCGAGCUGUCCGGCCAGGAUAUAGGAGGAUGCAAAUCCCUGGUACAGUUCAGUGCUUCGAACAAUCUGAUCGAGGAGGCUUUGCCGAAGGAGCUUGGGACUCUAGGCAACUUGAGCCUCUUGGAUCUUUCGCGCAAUCGGCUAAGCGGCAGCAUUCCAGGUGAACUCGGCGAGCUCCAGAUGCUGACGAGCCUUUUCCUCGCGAAUAAUUCUCUCGUGGGAGAUAUUCCGGAGAAGCUGGGCCAGGCGUCCUCUCUGAGCCUGCUCGACCUCUCCGGCAACACUUUGAACGGGACCAUUCCUUCCUCCCUCGCCAACCUCAGUCACCUCGAGUACUUGCUACUGAACAACAACGACUUCUCCGGGACAAUACCCCCGGUGCUCUCCGACAUCACUUCCUUGGUGGCCGUCAACCUCGCCUUCAACAACUUCUCCGGCUCCGUUCCAAGCUCGGGAAGCUGGGUGGGGAUGUGCGACAAGGAGCACUUCCAGGGAAAUCCAUAUCUCAAGCCGUGCCCGACGUCGCUGGCUGCUUUCGGACCCGGAUACAUGGAGGAAAAUCUUGACCCGGUCGCGGCUCCACAGGACCCUCCGGCCGGUGGCGGACUGAGCGUCGUUGUGAUCGUGGCGAUCACGUCAGGCUGCGCUGUUGCCGUGGUGCUGCUGGUUCUCGUACUCCUGGUCCAGUGCACGAAACAGCGAGUUCCCAGGCCACCUGGAAACCGGGGUGGCAGGAAAGAGGUGGUCAUUUUCACCAACAUCGGUUUCCGGUUCACGUACGAGAACGUCGUCCGAGCGACUGGGAACUUUAGCGUGGACUACCUGAUAGGAAACGGUGGCUUUGGAGCAACUUACAAGGCGGAGAUGAUGCCCGGCUUGGUGGUGGCCGUGAAGCGGCUCUCCAUUGGGAGGUUCCAAGGCGUGCAGCAGUUCGACACGGAGAUCCGGACGCUGGGGAGGAUCCAGCACUCGAACCUGGUGAAGCUCAUCGGCUACCACGCGAGCGAGGGGGAGAUGUUCCUCAUCUACAACUACUUCCCGCGGGGCAACCUGGAGAGCUUCAUCCACAACCGGAGCCGGGGGGAGAUAAGCUGGGCGGUGGUGCACAGGAUCGCGAUGGGCAUCGCAGAAGCGCUGGCCUACUUGCAUGACGAGUGCCAGCCACGGGUGCUCCACCGGGACAUCAAGCCGAGCAACAUCCUCCUGGACAACAACUUGACGGCGUUUUUGGCCGACUUUGGGCUGGCCCGGCUGCUCGGUGCGUCCGAGACGCACGCCACGACGGACGUGGCUGGGACCUUCGGCUACGUCGCGCCGGAGUAUGCCAUGACGUGCCGGGUGUCGGACAAGGCAGACGUUUACAGCUAUGGAGUGGUGCUGCUGGAGCUGCUAUCGGGGAAGAAGGCGCUGGAUCCGGCCUUCUCGGACUAUGGACACGGGUUUACCAUCGUCGGGUGGGCGUGCUUGCUCAUCGGACAGGGACGAGCUCACGAGGUGUUCAUCGUGGAGCUGUGGGAGAUGGGCCCCGAGGCGUUCCUCCUGGAGACGCUCAAGCUGGCGGUGAUGUGCACGGUGGAUUCGCUCACGGUCAGGCCAACCAUGCGGCAAGUGGUGGAUCGUUUGAGACAUAUGGAUCAAUCGAGCCUCCCAUUCUCGUGACGCUACUACUCCAUCCAUCCCAUUCCAGGUUCUCUCUUUUUUUCCUGUUUUUCUUUGUUUCUUUUUAUUUUCUCUCUUUUUUCUCCUCGGACAUUUUUUCUUUCUUGGUUAUUCUUUUUCUUUUCUUUCUUUUCUGGUUAUUCUUGUUUCUUCCUGGGGAGUGAUGGAGGAGAGAGUGUCAAGCAAAACUUGCAGGAAGUUUGUCUAUAUAUGAUUUAUAGAGCAGGGAAGGAUUCCUUCUUGUGUUGUAUAUUGGAAAUAUAAAGAGGAAAACGCACCUCUUGAGUUUCUAAAAGCAUAAGAGGCCGAGAGAAAUUCUAAACAGAUCAAAAUUUCGUUUUUGGAAAAGUAAAACUCAAUUAUCGAAAUCCCACUUACAUAGGUGCCUUUAUGCCUAUAUAAAGGGUAUAAGUGAAAUAGGAGGCUAUAAGUGAUAAAUGUUCAAUGUUAUCUAUAUUGUAUAUAUCAUUUGUAUGAAAGAAAGACAUUGAGAUUGGUAUACACAAUUUGUAUAUUAAAGUUUUAAUCUGUUGGUAGCUAACUAUUACAUUUUCUUUUAUUAUCAUUUGACACAGGCAUUGACCAGCAGUAAUGUUGUCUAGAAGGCUCUAGAAUAUAAUUUGUUUAUAGUCCACUUGCCCUAUCUGCAUGGAUGUAAUGCAUAAUUCAUUCUUUGGUCCCUUAGUCUUACUCGGAGUGUGGUUUGAUCCCGCAAUGGCUUAUAACUCGGGCAUUAAUAGAGGAUGUGGAAGACAUCCUCUACUUGGCCCAAAUUACAUUUUUGACAUCGCCUUUGCUCCCAGGGGUUGUGUGGCAUCCAUUUUCUACUUGCAACUUGUAUGCUCCACAACAGUAGGUGGCUAGUGUUGUGCACACCCACGGUGCUAUAGGUAACUGGGGAAAUCCAGGUGGGCCAGUUGGAUUUAUCAUCGUGCAGUAAAUACCAUAGCAGAUGGCACCUAUGGUCAGUGCUAGAUCCAUCCACCAUCUGGUAGUCAUCAGACGGGUCUGACUAGCUCCAUGCGUCCUAGGUUGUGCCAUAUAGAAUCGUCUAUGGCACGAGUAGUUACUUGGUCUCUUCAUAGCCAACCAAGAGCUCAAGUCUAGAGAAUCUUGGUGCUGGAAAGUGGAUUAUUGUCUUUGUUCAAAUCCUCAAACAUAUCGCCUUUUAUACAACUAUUAAGAUCUUAUUAAGCAUAAGAUUGAACCCAUGAACUCAAUAGAGAAGAGUCUUUGAAGGGUAUCUAGAUGAUGUAUUUUAUGAUGGUUUUUAAGGAUCUUUUCACUUGGCUGUAUUAAGGUAUAUUUUAGAGUAAUCCAGAACCAAGCUAAAGAUAAAGAGACAUACUUACUAGCUCUUAAUUUAUUGGUAUGAAUAUACAUGCAUUUUUCUCAUCAAGAUUUUAUUAAGGAAAGUAUGAAUUCUCUCUAUUUCUUGGUGGUGUUGGUUCUCUCCGGUGCUUGGAGGAAUUUCAGGAGUUAAACCUCAAGCUAGGACCUCAUGCCUCCAGCUGGGCACUAAUGAGUAGCACUCUGAUGUAAUAAUAAUAAUUAGUUUUUAUAUUGUUUUAAAUGUGGUUGCAUACAUAUGAGGUUACAUGCUAAAUAAUGCUAACUCCUUUAUAGACUUGCAUAGUAUGAGUUGAUAUGGUUUAUAAUGAGUUGAACUAAAUGCAUUAUAUAACUUAUUUGCAAGCUUGUAUUUAGAGAAGUUCAAAGUUUAUGUGGUCAACACGGACAAUUUUUACUUUUAUUGAACUUGAAUCCAAUUAAUCUUGUGUUUAUAAUAAACUUUUCUAAACACCUCCUAAAAUAUUCGUUUACCCUUGUGACGUGUCAAGUAAUUCACCACCAAACGCUUUACGUGGUGGUCCAAAGCGGCCAAUAGGGCUGUUUUGCUUACUAAGCUGGACCGCUCUUGGAAGAUUCGUGAAGGUAAUAGCAUCCGAGUGCCUUACAAUCUUCUCACAAUCGUGACAUUGAGCUUGCUCUGAUACAAUGACAAGAUCAUGAACUGAGGUGUAUUGCAAAGAUCUGCAUGAUGGGACAGUAAAUCGUCUCUCCUCUAUCCACGUCCACGCAACACAACAAAGGGGAGUCAGUGUGGGGAGAGAUUUUCAGCCAUUUGGAAGAAAGGAGAUAGAGACCAACUGGGAAAGAGGAGUUCAAGAGGUUUGAUAGAAAUCCUAUUCCUUUGGUCAAAGUAAAGAUUGGGAUGGGUGUGGGAGCUUUGAUUCUACUUGGUUUGCUCGCGUUUGUGUUGUGGUGCGGAAUCCAGUGCAUCCGGCAGAUUGGAACUCCCGGGUUUAAGACUUGGCCCCUGUUCGGUGUCACUCUGGAGGUGGCCGCGAACUAUCACCGGCUUUACGACUGGCUCUCGUGGAAUUUCCAGGUCAAGGAGACGAUGACAAUGUCCGCCACCAUGCCCGGACGAAGCUUCCUCUUCACGGUGGAUCCAGCAAACGUGGAGCACAUCCUCAAGACCAACUUCGCCAAUUAUCCAAAGGUAUAGAAGAUCUUGUUUGAGAUCGCUCUCUUCCGAGAAAACUCAGAAAUGAGGAGAAUUUUCUUGAUCUUCUUUUCUUUGUUCUUCACAGGGGGAGGAUUUUCAAGAGAUUUUCCAGCCCCUGCUCGGGAAUGGGAUCUUCAACUCAAAUGGAGAGGCGUGGAGAUUCCAACGCAAGACUGCCAGCUUCGAGUUUGCGUCGCGGGUGUUGAGGGAUGUGAGCUGCAGGGUUUUCAAAGAUCACGCGCUCAAACUCGCCAGGAUUGUCCAUGGUAGUCAGGAAUCGGGAGGAUCUUUGGAAAUGCAGGCAAGGAUCAAAAGCUCUUCUUUUUUUAUUGAGAUCUUCUAGAAAAUUUAUCCAGGAUUUAUUCAUGAGGAUGACUCUGGACACAAUUUGCUACCUCGGUUUCGGCCUCCAUCUCGGCGUCCUCGCUCCAAAUCUCCCCCGGAACGACUUUGCCACGGCCUUCGAUGCCUGCAACGCCAUCAUCUCCUACCGCUGUGCAGACCCUUUCUGGAAACUCAAGAGGUUCCUCCGGAUUGGACUGGAGCGUAACCUCCAGCGCCAUCUCCAAGUCGUGGAUGAUUUCACUCACAGCAUCAUACAGCAGAGGAGGCUCCAGCUCCAAGAUCAGUACAAACACCACCAACAUGUAAGAGAUACUCCAUUCCACUUCCAAGGAUCGCCAGUCACGCUCGUAUUUAUUCGAUUCCUUCGUCUUUCUUUGCAGAGCAAACAAGAUUUACUGUCGAGAUUCAUGCUGCUAGACGAGAGCUUCUCCGAUGAUCAUCUCCGCGACGUGAUCCUCAACUUCGUCAUCGCCGGGAGGGACACCACCGCCAGCACUCUCUCGUAUUUCACCUACAUGAUAGCCUCCCAUCCGGAUUGCGCCACCAAAAUCUACCAGGAGCUCCACGAGUUUGAAGAACUCCAGCUCAGUGACAAUUCCCAUCGCCCAAGCAGCUUCGAGGACAAGAUCCACGGAUUUACCCAGCUGCUAACAUACGAAUCGCUGGCCAAGCUCGUCUAUCUCCACGCCGCGCUCAUGGAAACUCUCAGGCUCUUCCCUGCCGUACCUCUGGUGAAUGAGAGAGAAUCCCUUUGGAUUCUCAUUCGAAGCUUCUUGAACUAAUGAUUUUUCUUCCCAGAACUUCAAACGAGCUGCCACGGAUGAUGUUCUUCCAUCGGGUGCUGUGGUGAAAAGAGGAUCCACGGUUUCAUACGUGCCGUAUUGCAUGGCUCGUGUUGAAUCAAUCUGGGGCUCCGAUGCAUCGCAGUUUCGUCCCGAGAGAUGGCGCAGAGAUGGAGCCUGGGAUUUCAGCGUCUCUCCAUUCAAGUUCACGGCAUUCCAGGUACUCUAUCGAUCACGAGAUUGAGGAGCGAGCGAGCAACAUUUUCUUAUUGCAGGCAGGGCCCCGCAUUUGUUUGGGCAAAGACAGUGCCUUUUUGCAGAUGAAGAUCACAGCAGCACUCCUGUGCCGAUUUUUCGAGUUUCAACUUGUUCCUGGGCAGAUUCUGACGUACCGAGUCAUGGCCACCAUCUCCCUUGUGAAUGGUGUCAAAGUCACCACCUCCAACUGCACCUGAGAAUAAGAGAAUUGGAAUUUUUGGGUCCUUAUAUAGAAUAAGGAAAAAAACUGUCCAUUUUCUCUGUCUCAUAAGAUCAAUUGAAAGUUAGUACUUUCUUUGUUGUUAGUUCUUUUCCAGAACGGCUAGAAGGGUAGCUCAAAGUCUGGCAAGAAUGCAAUGGUCAGGUGGUUUCAAGUCAAGUAAAAGUCUACUACGUUUGCUAUUUGUGAAUAUGUGAUUGCACAUGAGUGGAUUUUUUAUUUACACAUGUGCAGAUAUAUUAUUUUGUUUUCAAUUGCACACAAGAUUAUAAUGUACAUAAUCACAUUUUGAUUGUAAUUAAGAUAUGAUUAUAAUAUUUUUAUGGGACAUGUCAGACACCUAUAAGAAAUAAAUCUAUGCAAUUUUCACAUGAUGUGUUCACAAAAGCAAGAUGCUCACCUAGAUUGAAACUAACAUUUUCACAAGCUUUUUCUGGUCACUAUGUCAAACUUGCAAGGAAAAAAUGAGCUCUUAUAUUCCCCAACCUUAGAGUGAAAGAUUAAAAAUGUUGCAGCAAAUAUCAUUAUACUAUAUCCUUCUUACGGGUUGUAAAUCAGAAUCAUUAUACUAUAUCCUCCCUAUGGGUUGUAAAUCAGAGGUACUUAAGGACCAUUGGUAUGUGGUUAACAAUCCAUGAAGAUUUGCAUCACAUUAUCAUAACACUUUGUUUGAAAAUGAAUGAGAUAAAAAUCUAAAAUAUAUCACAUCCCAAAAAGACUGCUAACAUCUAAGGAUUCCACAUAGCUUUUAGAUAAAGUGUGUGUAUGGGACAAGCACUCACCUUUAUAUUUGGAAGAUGUACAAUUUGGAGAACAAUGACAACCUUGCAAAAAACCAAGAGCCUCUUAUUGGGUCAGCAUGACUCAUUAGUAUAUCUUGAGCAAUCCACAAAAAGUUUAGAUGCUAGUAUAUAACCCACAAGACAGCAAAUAUGAUGUAGAAUGGUGACACAAACAUUGAGAGUAUUGAGACACUACCAAGCUCGUGAAGAAGCUGGUAAAGAAGUACCAUGCUUUCUUAGUUUAGGAGGCAGUGAUCAAGCAAAUCCCUUGGCUGGUUGGCUUGGCCUUGAACAAGGCAGCAAGUUCCCCACUCUUCUGUUGCACCAAGAGAGUUUGAAAAGUAAAUUGAAGGUCAAUGUUCAACUCAAUGCUAACUUCUUCAUCUUGCUACUCAAGAAGACCUGGCAGAACAUAAAGGUAGCAUUCUCUCAAGGUAUGCAAUGCAGUCCAUCUCCUCAAGUUUGUUAAUUUUUAAACGGCAAUGAUGUUGAGUGACCAUUCUUUCCAAAAAAAACUCUCAAACGUGUGCAGAAAGUGUUGUUAAUUCAACUUGUGUGCAAAAAUGUUGUUAAAUCAAAGAUUAAACCCUGUUGAUGUAAAUUGAGCUAAUAUGGAUUCACACAACACUCAGAAAAUGCAUAUGUGGCACUAACAUGGAUUUUGCAUAAGCUAGCAAUUGAAGAAUUUAUAUAUGAUAUACAUGCCUAUGAUUUGAAAAAAAAAAAGUUGCCCACUCCCCUUCUUGGGAGGUGCAUAAAACUGCCAUGGAUGCUUAUUUAAAUGAACAUAUAUUAUAUUAGAAAAAAAUCUUCACCUUAUUUACUAAAAAUAAUUACCUAGAGCUUAACAAUUCUAACUUAACCAACAUCUUUUCACAGAUGACUUUAUUCUUCUAAUUUUAAGUGCGAUUCGAGGUGGUGACUUUGACACCAUUGGCGAAGGAGAUGGUAGCCAUGACUCGGUACGUAAGAAUCUGCCUGGGAACAAGUUGAAACUCAAAAAAUCUGCACAAGAGGGCUGCAGUGAUCUUCAUCUGCAAGAAGGCGCUAUCCUUGCCCAGACAAAUGCGGGGCCCUGCCUGCAAAAGAAAAUAGUGCUCACUUGCUCCUCAAUCUGUUUGACCAAAUCUAUUACCUGGAAUGCCGUGAACUUGAAUGGAGAGAUGCUGAAAUCCCAGGCUCCAUCUCUGUGCCAUCUCUCGGGACGAAACUGUGAUGCAUCCGAACCCCAGAUUGAUUCAAUAUGGGCCAUGCAAUACGGCGCGUAUGAAAGUGUGGAUCCUCUUUUCACCAUAGCACCAGAUGGAAGAACAUCAUCCGCGACGACUCCUUUGAAAUUCUGGAAAUAGAGAAAAGAUCCAAGAGAUCAGCCCAAGAAGCUUGGAUUCUUUCUUUCAUCACCAGAGGCACGGCAGGGAAGAGCCUGAGAGUUUCCAUGAGCGCGGCGUGGAGAUAGACGAGCUUGGCCAGCGAUUCGUAUGUUAGCAGCUGGGUAAAUCCGUGGAUCUUGUCCUCGAAACUGCUUGGGCGAUGGGAAUUGUCGCUGAGCUGGAGUUCUUCAAACUCGUGGAGCUCCUGGUAGAUUUUGGUGGCGCAAUCCGGAUGGGAGGCUAUCAUGUAGGUGAAAUACGAGAGAGUGCUGGCGGUGGUGUCCCUCCCGGCGAUGACGAAGUUGAGGAUCACGUCGCGGAGAUGAUCAUCGGAGAAGCUCUCGUCUAGCAGCAUGAAUCUCGACAGUAAAUCUUGUUUGCUCUGCAAAGAAAGACGAAGGAAUCGAAUAAAUGCGAUCAAGUGAAAUGGAGUUUCUUUGUACUUGUUGGUGGUCUUUGGGCUGAUCUUGGAGCUGGAGCCUCCUCUGGCAUAUGAUGCUGUGCGUGAAAUCAUCCACGACUUGGAGAUGGCGCUGGAGGCUGCGCUCCUGUCCAAUCCGGAGGAACCUCUUGAAUUUCCAGAACGGGUCGGCAAAGCGGUAGGAGAUGAUGGCGUUGCAGGCAUCGAAGGCCGUGGCAAAGUCGUUCCGGGGGAGAUUUGGAGCGAGGACGCCGAGAUGGAGGCCGAAACCGAGGAAGCAAAUCGUGUCGAGAGUCAUCCUCAUGAACAAAUCCUGGAGAUAAAAUUGCUAUGAUCGAGAAGAUCUCAUUGAAAAAACGAUAAGAUCCUUGCCUGCAUUUCCAAAGGUUCUUGACUGCCAUGGACAAUCCUGGCGAGCUUGAGCGCGUGAUCUUUGAAAACCCUGCAGCUCACGUCCCUCAGCACCCGCGAUGAAAACUCGAAGCUGGCAGUCUUGCGUUGGAUCCUCCAUGGCUCUCCAUCCGAGUUGAAGAUCCCAUUCCCAAGCAGGGGCUCGAAAAUCUCAUGAAACUCCUCCCCCUGUGAUUCACAAGGAGCCAGCUCUCCUCUUUUCUCGGACGAGAAGAUCUUACCUUUGGAUAAUUGGCGAAGUUGGUCUUGAGGAUGUGCUCCACGUUUGCCGGAUCCACCGUGAACACGUAGCAUCGUCCGGGCAUGGUGGCGGACAUUGUCAUCGUCUCCUUGACCCGGAAAUUCCACGAGAGCCAGUCGUAAAUCCGGUGAUAGUUCGCGGCCACCUCCAGAGUGACACCAAUCAGGGGCCAAGUCUUAAACCCGGGGGUUCCAAUCUGCCGGAUCCGGUGGAUAGCGCACCACGACGCAAACGCGAGCAAACCAAGUAGAAUCAAAGCUCCCACACCCAUCCCAAUUGAUCAAAAAAAGAAUAGGACUCUGUCAAAGCUCUUAGAGCUUAGUCUCUAUCUUCUCUGUUUCCAAAUGGUUCCAAGUCUCUCUCCACAAGUCCCCUUCUCUCCAAAUCUCUCUCUUUCCAACUUGUUCCAAAUCUCUCUCUCUCUCUCUCUCUCUCUCUCUCUCUCUCUCUCUCAUAUCUUCACGAGCGUGGGCCUUGUGAUUCCUAGUGCUCAUCGCAUCCUCUUACGCAAGCCCCACGUAUAUGUGCUCAGAGCUGGCCAAGAACGCGACGAAAGAGGGUGUUAGAAAGAAAUGACCACGUCCAAAUUAUCACCUUCUGCUCUUUACAUGGUUUUAUUUCUCAGCUACAAAAUCUUACUCGAACGAACCACCAACAAAACAAACUCACGCUCUCCUUCUUCUUCUUCUUCUUCUUCCUUUUUUCUUGCACCUGAAUGGAUGGAUGGAUGGAUUCAUUAUAUACACUGCUUGCUUGCCUCUUGCCCCCAGCGACUUUACACCAUAUGGCUAUCAGUGGCUCCAAAAUCUCUAUACUUCCAUCACCCCGAGAACGCCAAACCCCACGUAAGUAGAAAAAGCACGAAAAUUCCACUGCUUGCCUCGACCAUGAACGAUGAUGACGAUGCUGCUGCGAUGGAUGAUCGUCGCUAGGAACUUUGCUGCUUCUGCUGCCCCUGUACGUAUCCCUGCUGCUGCUGCUGCUGCUGCUGCUGCUCCUGCUGUUGUUGGGUCGGACUUAUCUGUCCAGCAGUCGGCCUUGCCAGCGACAUCAUCAUCGACCGCAGCUCUCCGACGAUGGCUGGAAACGUUGGCCUCACUGCUGGAUCGUCCGCCCAGCAGCGCUCCAUCAGGGACUGCCACUCCGGGUCGCAGCUGCUGGGAACCUGGGGGCGCAGCUGAUUGCUCACGAUACCGCCUGGAGAAAGAAAAGCGACGAAAACGUUCGUUGUUGGCGAGCUACACUUGGAAAGAAGAAUCUAGAGUAGUUUACCGAUGAUUGCACCGUAGUGAAGGUCCGCGUAUGGCUCCUCGCCAGUCAGGAGCUCCCACAUCACAAUGCCAAACGAGAAAACGUCCACCUACACGCGGCAGAGAGCAUUUUGCAUCAGGCCAAGCUCAAGUUGGACAAACGUUUACAACCUUUUCCGACACCGAGAUGCUUCUUCCAUUAAGUAACUCCGGGGCCAUCCAUGGCAGUGUCCCUCUCACUCCGCCGGUAACCAUCGUCUUGUGUUUUAUCUUGGACAAUCCCAAAUCUCCCACCUGCGCAACACAUUUACGAAGCAUAAAUCACUAUUUGAGUCGUGACUGUAACCACGAUACCUUACAAACAGGCUUCUGUGAAUCCCGCAUGUUAACAAGCAGAUUCUCUCCUUUGAGGUCGAAAUGUAUAAUCUUCUUGUCGUGGAGAUACUCCAUACCAAACGCAGCAUCCAUGGCUACCAAGAGUCUUCGACGCCGAUCCAAGAUUCUAUAGUACAUUCACCCCAGUCAGCUCACAAACCAGCAAAAGCACAAGAAAAGAUCGCUCACCGCUCUUUUUUGUGCAGGACCUGCUUCAGCGAUCCAUUAACCAUGAAUUCCGUGACAGUAGCCAGUGUACCACCUGGACUGUCUGGUACCACUCCAUAAAAGGCAACAACAUUUGGAUGGUGCAGGUGAGCUAAUAUACACGCUUCACUCCAGAAAUCGUCCUUCUGGAAAACAAAUUAAAAACGUGGCAAUAUACCGAAAUGAUUGGACUAAGUACCAGCCGAUCCUGUUCCGAUGGAGGUCCAAAGAAACAACUAGCUUUGAUUCUCUUGAUGGCAACAUCUGUUCCGCGCCAUUUGCCAUGGUAGACGGUACCGAAUGUACCUGAUCCCAAUUCUCGUAUUUCCUCCAGAUCUGAAUGCUUAAUUACCUGCAAACGUGUUGGAAAAAAGCACGAGGAUUGUACAAAACAACUACUAACCUGUAAACCACGAGCACGGGCGGUAGCUUCCGACUCUGCGGCAGAAAUGGGACGCUCUUCAAGUUCCAGGUCCGCCAAAUCGAUCAGUGCCGCUUCUAUCCUGGAGGUAGUAACAUCCGUAACCUCCGUGACUGUGAUUUGAAGGUCACUGGUGUCAAGUGAUCUGUCGCACCUGUUACCCUCGGGUUCAGCUACCGCUUUCCUGUUACUGCUUGUCUCUGACACCGAAAGAUCGGCCAUUUCUUUCAUAAUGUGCACUUCAGCGGCAGAAGGCUGACAGGGCGUGUGGCCCGUAUCCCCAUCGGUGAGACAUAUCAGAAGACCUUCAUUGGAGUUGCCGUGCAAUGGCCUGGAGACGGGUGACGUAUCAGAGUAAACUUGUGCACAAGCCUCUAAAGCGUGUGACGACGUCGAGGCCGAGCUAGCAGCGAUGGACCCUCCAGACAUUGUUGAGGUGCAAGAAGUCUUGCAGAAUACUUCGUCGCUCGUGAGCAAGUCCAUAAACAUGUUGCUGGAGGAGUUCCCGGAAUGCACCAUCUGCGUGGUAGUGCUGCUGUCACUGCCACUACCACGACCGCUCUCAACCACAAGAGGUCGCUCGGUCCUUACGGCAUGGAGGCUGUCCUCGAGAAAAUUUACUAGUGCAUCCGGCAGCUGAGGCUCCAGCGCCUUACCCGUAAGUUCGGGCUCAGAUCUUGGAGCUAUCAACGUCGUCAAAGACGGAAGAGGUGUGGACCACCCUGGGAGAGUAGAUGUUCCAGCUCCCGUGCUAACUCCCUGAGUAUCCCUGUCCUUCCACUCGGAACUUGACGCUUGAACCAUAUGAUCGGCUAGUUGCCAGCUAACCCCCCCCUGAUGCAGCAUACUCUCCUUCAUGUUCACCUUAGAAGCAGGAGGCGUCUCUUGUAAGUCUUUUGGACUUGACCUCUCCUGAUAGUCAUAGGAUGGCUCCGUAGAUACUUGCUCAGGCAGUUGCGGAGGGUUUGAAUAUAGCUCAUUGUAAGCCGUAACCUGAGGAAGCACAGGGGAAAUUCCCAGUGCAUCAGAUCCUACCGCUGUCGACCAUACUUGCUGCUUUUGCUGAAAGAGGCUGUCACCUGCAUAAGUAUAAUUGUGCUCAGUAAAAGCAGCCUUCUGAGGUUGCGGCUCCACGUAUCCCUGAAACUGAGGAACCAAUACUGUUUUUCUCUGCACAUCUUGUAGCGUCGCCUGCGAAACCUGAAGCGGUUGUAUCACGGACUGCUGAACUUGCGGAGUCGCCUGAGAUACUUGAACGUGUUGCAUGACUAGAUGGUGACGUGCGGCAUUCUCGGAAUCGCUUGAAACACUCGGCUCGGUUAUAAUGUACUGACCAUGUCCCAACAGAUUCCUGUCUACCGGCUCCGAAUGCCCGUUGACAUAUCCAUAGUGAAAUCCAGAAGCCGGCAUCAUCGAAGGAAGGAUGGUGCCAUUGGCUAAAGCUGGAACCGACGUAUACUGAGCCAUGACGGGGACGCCCUGAGAAACCUGAGGUACUCGUACCGCAGCUGGAGAAACCUCCUGAAUGCCUUGCGGGCUCGUGCUUUGUGCUGAAGCGUCUGAACUCUUUCUCGAAGCCCCUUCCAUAAGACCAUUAACAGCGUCCAGAUACUGCUGCUCCGUGUUCUUCAAAUCACCAGAACUGUCCCCGAUCACAUCGUAAUCCAGUGACGUGAAAAGAAACACCCUCAGCCUUGCAUGCCCGUCCCCAGCUUCUAGCUUGUCAAACUCCUCCAUCAUAUUCUCGAGGUCCUCCUCCGAGGAAACGGAGACCAGAGCGUCCAGAUCCUCGUCGGGAAGCUGGUACUUGAUAGCAACAGUCUGUGGCUGAAUCUCGACCAUCUUGAGCAUCAAAUUCAGAUAGCUCGUGUCGCGGGUCACUGCGAUCAUUCUCGUAUCUCCACCGGCAUAUCUCAAUCUCCCAUCGCUGGGCCUGGGAAGAAUUUUACCGCCAUAACUGCACAGGAGCUUCACUCUCGUUGGCAUCUCUUCCGAUAAGUUUGACACAUGGUCUGCCAAGAACAAAAAACAACAAAGAAUUUUAAAAAAUGAAAAAUCAUAGAAGGAAGAGCAAUUGACCAAAACAACAAAACGUACCAUCGUCUCGGCUGGUGUGGGCUGAUGAUAUCGUCACGCCUUCCUGCGGCUUGGAAGCUCUCAUGAAAACAAAUCCUUCUUGGGGAACGUUCGCGGUUGCUUGCAAGUAGGGCCUCACCGACGGAGCUCCUGGAUCCAGCGGCGACAUGAAAUGGCUCAUAGCUUCCGUGGGGUUAGCCCCAGUCGAUUGGAUGUAGAAACUCAUCGGGUCGGCCACCGACACGAAAGAGGCUUGAUGGAGAGCUCCUGAAACCUCCACAGGAACUGACGGCGCGUAACCCUCGACCCCUUGAUUCGCGAAGGGCCAGGCCGCCAUGACUCUCUGAUCCAUCACUUGAGCUUCCACAACCGGCCAAGAACCAAAAUAUUAUAGCUCACCAGAAAUUCCGAGGCGACAUUUCCAAAUCUCGGGAGGAUGAGCGCCUAAAUCUUGCCGCGACGCCGACCCGACGCUCGCUAUCGAUCGAUCCACCGCUCGCUGGAAGAUCCCGAUGCGCCACCGCCUAGGGAGCGCAAUCCUGGCGCCGGCAUCUCCUGCGCCUCGCACAACGAUGCAUCAAUCCCAGAGCCUUCUUAGGGUUUGCUCCCCCUUCUCAUUCUGACGCUUUACCGCAUAGAAUAACCUUUUCCCCCGGGUAAUAAAUGGCCUAUAGGGUUCUUGCAAGAUCAAGAUUUCCUCCAAAAUGGCGAUCCGAUUCGUCCUUCUGGUGAACAAGCAGGGCCAGACGCGAUUGGCGCAGUACUACGAGCAGCUCACGAUCGACGAGCGCCGGGCGCUGGAAGGCGAGAUCGUCCGCAAGUGCUUGGCGCGCACGGAGAAUCAGGUAUGAGAUCUUGCGCCCUGCGAGAUGGAUCCACACAGCGCUUGUGAUUUCCUCCAGCGCAGUGUUCGUUUGUAGAGCAUCGGAAUUACAAGGUCGUGUAUCGGCGCUACGCCUCCCUCUUCUUCCUCAUUGGAGUGGACAGCGAAGAGGUAAAAAGAAAGUCUCUCUUGUUUGUGAUAUUUUCUUCUUGUCUGGCUCGAUUUUCUUCUUGUCUAGCUCGAUCUCACCCCCAUUUCUUGUUUUUCUUUGUAGAACGAGCUAGCGAUUCUGGAGUUUAUCCAUUGCGUGGUGGAGACGAUGGAUCGCUACUUCGGCAAUGUGGUAAGCACGAAUUCCAUUUUACUCACUUUUGGACAGUCUUACCGAUUUAUCGAUCGAUGGAAUUCGAUCGACUCUUGGCAGUGCGAGCUCGAUAUCAUGUACCACUUGGAGAAAGCCCACUUCAUCCUUGAAGAAAUGGUGAUGAAUGGCUGCAUUGUAGAGACCAACAAGAGCAAUAUCCUGGGGCCUAUACAGCUCAUGGACAAAUCCUUCUAGUAAAAAGUACGCGGUGCUUUUUCUUGUCUUUUACCCCGAGGUAGAUUUCACGCUGCCACGAAUUGGAAAUCUCGACGUGCUUGGUCGUUUUUGCCAGCGCCUGCUAAAUAAGUAUGGGGAUAAAGAGGGGAUUUUGUUUAAAGCAUGUUUAGGUCUUAGACGCACGCGUGGCCGUUGGAUCCCGUUCACAUCCAACGGCGGUCUGCUGGGGACGAAGGGCUGAGCUAUGGAGGAUAUGGGGUUUUCGCGCAGCGCCUAGCGCGGGGAGCGCGACCAGCGCGACGAGCUCUUGCGGUGCGAAAUUCUGGCAGGGAUGGAUUCCGAGGGCAUGAAUCCGGGGAGCUUCGACGAGAACGACGACGCCGGCAAUGGUCCCGAGGAGGAGCAGCAGUACAUGGCGCCGUGGGGGGAGGAGCCCGGGGAGGAGGCGGCGGCGGCGUCGCCGACGCACAGCGGAUUCCAGGCUGAGGAGGUGAGCUACGAAGGCAAGGAGCAAGAGCAUGAGCAAGAGCCCGGCGUAAGCCAGGAAGCGAAUGGCGUGGAGAAUGAGUAUAGCGGCGGCGAUGGCGCUGGGAACGAGCUCGCGGCGACGCAGUACACGGAGUCUUCGGCGCUGGACAAGGAUGGGAACCUGGAGGAUGGGUUUGCGGAGACCUCCGAGGACGAUGGCGAUGGCACUGUGGAGGAGCAAUUGGCAUUCGUCAAGGAGCUGGAGAAGUUCUUCCGGGAGAGGAGCAUGGAGUUUAAAGCUCCCAAGUUCUAUGGAGAGGAGCUCAAUUGCCUCAAGUAAGCUUGUAGUUCCAUAGCUUGUUCUAAAACUUUUUUUUUUUUUCUCUGGAUGUUUUUCUCUUUGCUGCCAGGUUGUGGAAGGCUGUGAUGAAACUGGGAGGAUACGAACAGGUUAGUCUCUAUAUCCCGAUUAUAUUUGUUUUGGACAAUGGAAAGUCGAUAGAUGUUUUGAUCGUAUUUGUGUUUACCAGGUGACCUCUGGAAAGCUUUGGCGUCAAGUCGGCGAUUCCUUCAAACCCCCCAAGUAAGUUGCUUUGCUUUAAGAGCUCAUGCCUUUAGCAUUGAUUCGUGUGUCUUCUUGCUCCUUUAGAACGUGCACAACCAUUUCGUGGUCCUUCCGUGGCUUCUAUGAAAAGGUUCACGUAUUCUUAUGUCUCGUGCAUUUCUAAAAGGCGAUACUUUUUCUUUUCUUCCUUGCUUUCUCAGGCACUUCUCGAGUAUGAGAAGUUCACGACGGGAGUUUCGGUCUACCAUGAUCAACCGGGCGAUCCUUCGAGGUCCGAGGACGGUUUGUCUUCGGCCCCUAUACAGGUGAGACUUAACUUAUCGGUUGGAGUUAUGGAUCCUGACGAAGGUCCUCGUUUGUUCUCGUUUGUUUUCUAAUGUAGCCUCCUGGAAGGGCGAGGCGAGAUGCAGCGGCAAGAGCUAUGCAGGGAUGGCAUUCUCAACGUGGGAAUGGAGACUUAGUAGAACUGCCCUCGAAGGUAUGUUCACGUAAGCUUUCGCUAAGCUAGCAUUUGUCUCAGAGCUUUUACUUCAGGACAAGAGCUCGGCUAGACGUGAUAAACGAGGUCAGCCAACAUACUUUCCUGUUUUUUUCCUUUGACUAACAGCCUGGUUUUGUUUUUGUCUCGAUAAUAGGCUUCUUGAAACGGAAAGAUGGUUCUGGCAAAGGGAAGAAGGAGAACAGCUAUGACGACUCUCAUCUUUCCGCAAAGAAGAAGCUCGCAAAGCACGAGCCCUUGAAAGGCAAGGCAGUACACAGCGGCCUCGAUCUGGACGUGAUUGACGAAGGUCCACAAGCCGACUGGGUGAAGAUCAAUGUCCAUCAAACGGUGAGUUCUUCCUUCCUUCGUAGCUGUUCUUCCUGGUCGAUAUGGCAUACAGUCCGUUGAAAACCCUUCGGGGUUUUGAGUUGUAGAACUGCAUUUAGAGUGGUAGGAUUAGUGACGACAUGCUCAGGCAGGAGCACUGCUCGUGUGGCAGAUGGUAAAUUGAAGUUGGCGCAAGUGACCCACUGAUCGGAACUUCUGGUUGGGCUUGUGAGCAGCGCGAAUGCUUUGAGGUGUAUGCUCUUGUUCCAGGACUAUUGCGAGAGGAGGUGUGUUCUUCUUUUCCUUGGGUUUGAUCUUGUUCUUGAUGAUCGUUUCGUUUGCUUUGUCAGGUAAGGAUACAAUGCGAGGCCGGAGGAAGGCUUGUCAUUGCUGGAGAACCCGAACAACCUGACAAUCCUUGGGGAGUUACUGCCUUUAGAAAGGUUUGGGUUUUCUUCUUUCAGCUACCGUUCUCUCCGGGAAGUUUUUUCUCAUCGAUUUGUGCAGGUGAUCAAUCUGCCGCUAAAGAUCGAUGCUCAUCAAACAUCGGCCGUUGUUACGCUCCACGGGCAGCUGUUCAUCAGAGUUCCAUUCGCUCAAUCUUCGUCGGAGCAGCAGCAGUCAUGACGAAAGUUCUAGCGGAGAAAAAAAAGAAUCAGAAACGAAAGAAAAGAAGAAUGAUAAAGCGCGAAAGAUUUGGAGCUGCUGUGUGAUUCAUUCGUGGGGAAGAAGGCGAAGGGAUGUAAAUUCUUUUUAAUGGAGAAACAACAAAGAGAAAGUAUUGCUAUGGGUCUACCGUACGAUGGGCCAUGGUGUGUACGGAAGCCAUAGAGGUCAUUUUGUGACCGUUGUGUGUCAAAAUUGUCCUCUUUCAAAGUAACAACACCUAAUGUGAAGGAAGGGAUUGUGAGAGGAGGGGCUGUGUUUCUUGAGCUAGGGCGGCACCUAGGGUUUCACUGCGCAUUGGUCGAGGCGCUGCGAGAUCGCGGGUAAUCGGCUUGGUUUCUAGCGAUGGUGGAGGCGCCAGAGGCUGUCCCCGAGGAGCGGCGAUGGAAGCUUGCGGAUUUCGACAUUGGGAAGCCUCUGGGCCGCGGGAAGUUUGGAAACGUGUAUCUCGCCAGAGAGAAGAGAGUAUGUGUUCUUGCAUUGCAUUUUGCGCUGCUUGAUGGUAGCUAACGUUUCUUACUCCCUUAUUGAUGUGUAGAGUAAAUACGUUGUGGCGCUCAAAGUGCUGUUCAAGAACCAGCUCCAGCAGUCGCAAGUCGAGCAUCAACUGCGUCGCGAGAUUGAGAUCCAAAGUCACUUGAGACAUCCCAACAUUCUCCGUCUCUAUGGAUACUUCUAUGAUCAGGUUGGGCAUUUCUCGAAUUUGUUCUCUUCUCUUUCCAGUAGUUCCUGAUGCUCUUGUUUUGAUCACACAGAAUAGAGUGUAUCUUAUACUCGAGUAUGCUGCCAAAGGCGAGCUGUACAAGGAGCUCCAACGGUGCAAAGUUUUCUCCGAGAAGAGAGCGGCGACUGUAAGAUAACGUCCAUAUGUUGCCCUGAUUUAUUGUUUCUUUCUGCAGUACAUCGCUUCUUUGGCAAGGGCAUUAAUGUACUGCCACGAGAAACAUGUCAUCCACAGAGAUAUCAAGCCAGAAAAUCUCCUCAUUGGGAUGAAGGUAAGCCUUUCUAAUUCGUAAAACGAGAAGUGGUUACUAGUUUUGUAUCGGCAGGGUGAACUGAAAAUAGCUGACUUUGGGUGGUCAGUCCAUACAUUUAACCGGAGGCGGACGAUGUGUGGAACUCUCGACUAUCUCCCUCCAGAAAUGGGUGUGUACUCUACUGCACUUCGUUUUCUCUCUGGUCGUUGCUAACUGGGAGUUCUCACAGUGGAAAAUAAGGAGCACGAUGCAAGCGUAGAUGUGUGGAGCUUGGGUGUUCUCUGCUACGAGUUCCUGUUUGGGACUCCUCCUUUCGAAGCUCAGAAACUGUCGGAUACCUACAGACGGUACAGAAGAAGACGUGUUUGAUUUCUAGCUAUUUUACUUUGAUCAUCCGUGUGCAGCAUUGUCCGAGUGGAUUUGAAGUUUCCAAUCAAGCCAGUGAUCUCUACAGCGGCAAAAGAUCUCAUAUGCCAGGUACUGAACUUCUCACACAAAGAUCUUUGCUGAUCCAUCGUGGUUUGCAGCUUCUAUGCAAGGAUUCUUCGCAAAGACUUCCUCUGAAAGAACUUCUCGCUCAUCCAUGGAUUACUGCUAAUGCAGAUCCAUCGGGGAUUUAUGCUGGCUGCGGUGGAGCUAGUGCAUAGCGAAAGAAAUAAAAUGGAAAAGAAAAAUCUAAUCUGUGAAAAGAUUAAUAUAAAAAACCGUCAAAGAAACUUUGUCUCCAGAUUUUUUAGAGUGUUAGUAUCUCAAUACUUGUUAAUGUAUGAGAACUUGUUAAAGAUCUCAUAACUUUAAUUUUUGAGAAAUAAAAUUGAAUUAGUUCAAUUCAUUAUGGGAUUAUUUAUAAUGUGAUUGGAAAAAAAAUAAACACAUAAUCUUAACACAUGUUUUCCCACAAAAUCCUAAUAUACAAUUAUAUAAUGCCCUUUUGUCUUGAGUUGUAUGUUACACAAAAACAAUUUCAAUAUAAGUUAUAUAAAUUUAGAGUUUAAUUAGUUAAUAAAUUUUGCAUUCCAUAGUGUAAAUUUUAAAGAAUUCAACUUCCACAAUUAAAUAGUUUAAACUUUAAUUAAUUUUGAAAUUUGACCACAAUUUUAAAAAGUUUUUGGUCAAGUGAAAUUUUUUUGGGUGGUAUAAUAAAUUUUUAUAUAUAAAAUUAAUUAAAGAUAUAAUUGGAGGAAUUAAAUAUAUAAUAAAUAAAAUCAAUGGUGUUUGUAUAAGAAAAAUUUAUAAAUAAAGAUGUAAAGAUUAUUGUUUACAUAAAUUAGGUAAUUCUUAAAUUCUUAAAAAUAAUAAAUCUUUAAGUUAUUAAAGUACUAACCAAAAAUUUUAUGAAACACAUAUUAAUUUUUUUUUGUGACUAGGCACAAUAUAAAAUAAAUAAUAAAUAAUUAAAAUAUAAAGAUAAAGUUUUUUUUAUAACAUUUACAUAUUUAAACAUUUACUAAAAAUAAGUAAAUAUAAAAGCUGCAUUUGGGUAUGUUUCAACAUCAAUCACACGGAUUCUUUUAGCUUCUAUGAUUGAAAAAGCUGUGGGUAUAUCAUUAGAGGAUAUCUACACCGAGAUUGGAGUGUAUUUAGAUGGAUAACAUAAUUAAAAUCAAUAUUCAUAUAAAUAAAUAAAUAAAUAAAAUAUAUAUAAUUAUUUUUUUAAUAAGAUAUUUUUAUUUAUGUUUUUUAUAAAAAUAUAUUACUCAUGAUAAGUGGGUUUAGGGUUUAACCAUUGUAACAAACAAUAUAUCAUAUUUCUAAACCUGUAUAUUGACCAUCAUUUGAGAUUAUCUUUAAUUCAAAUUUACAACUAUAAAUAAAACUUACCUUUGUGUUUUACUUUCGGUCAACCUGGCUUAUGUUAAUUUAAACUCACAAUAUUCAUUUUUUUGCAACAUCAUAUAUAGAAAGUUUGACUUACUUUAUUUAUCCUUUUUAUCCACUUCUCAAAAGAAAUUUUGAAGCACCAAAUUCUAUUCAGACUUGUUACAUUUGUCAUUGGUUAUCAAUUUUUAACCUUACUCCACUAUAAAAUUUAUUUGGCUUCACUAUAGUAAAGUAAAAUAUUCUAUUCGAACUAAUUAUAUUUAUCUUCACUCUAAAAUUUAUAUUGUUCAUCUUUGCUAUAUUACUAAAUUACUUAUCUUCACUUUAUCUAAACUCUUAUUUAUCACUCUCUCCCCUCCUCCAAAAGUUUGAAAUGUUAAAGCAAAAAAGAAAAAGUAAAUAUUGUGGAAAAAAAAAAUAGAUGAAGAAACAUUGAAAGAGGAAUUUUUAGUACCUAAUGGGGAAAUAACAAAAAGGAAAUGUGUUUAAAGCUUGGAGAAUAAAAACCUUCCUAUUUUAAAAUGUCAUAAAAUAAAUAAAAAAUUCACACUAUUCAAUCCUUUUAACACAUAACUCAACACUUGAGAUAUGAAAAUUAAUAAAAAUGUCCACAUUCUCAAGAAAACAUAUAAAACCAUUAAUAACAAUGAUAAAACAAAAACUUUUAACAUUACUCACAACUAAAGAUAUAUAUUUUACCCAAAACUCUAACAAAAGUAAUUUAACCUUUAAAAUAGAGGAUACUAACACUAGAAUUUAAAAAUAUGAUAACAUGGAAUAGAAAAAAGAAUUAAAAAAGGUUAUAAAAGAGUAAAAAGUAAAGAAAAAAGAUCAAAAGGUAAACUAAAUGAUACUUUGUGAAAUUUUUAACUUAUCUCUAAAUACAUUUUUAUAGUAAUCAAGCUCCUUAUCACAAUUUAGAAUCCACUUAAGAUCAUAUAUAUAGUAUUCCUAUGAACUUUAUCUUUAAACAUUCUUCAAAACUCAAACUAUAACUAUCCAAUUGAUAUUAUGAUUAUGCUCCACAUUAAUGGGAAAUAGUAGGACACUAAAAACAGAAAUAUCAUGUAAUCACAUCCUAUAGAAGUUGGAGAUUGAUAAUAUAAUUACACCCUAUAACAUAAAAAACUCAAUCCAACUGAAUAACAUCAAUAGCUUCAAGUGACAUAUUUGUAUGGUGGAAAAAGGAAAUGCAAUGAAGUUCAAAAGGAAGAGAAAAUCUAAGUAUAACAAUAAUUAAAAGUUUAGAUUUGACGAAAAGCUAAUAUAAAUCUAGACUUAAAAGAGAAAUAAGAAUAAGAACAAAUAAAGGAAUAAGAAUAAAAGCACAACCUUGAACACUAUGUAAAGCAGUGCUAAAAAACUUUACCCUCUAGGAACAAGUUAUAAUGCCUUCUACUUCCAUCAAUGUGAGUGUUCAAGAUAUGGGAAUAUGUAUAUAAAUUGGGGUUUAAACCCUUGUUUAUAUACAAGAAUGGAUUGACUAGAUAUUAUAAUUAUUAUAUUAUUAAUACAUAUAUUUACACACACACAGAGAUAUAUAUAUAUAUAUAUAUAUAUAUAUAUAUAUAUAUAUAUAUAUAUAUAUAUAUAUAUAUAUUAUUUUAGUUUAUAUGUAAAUAUUUUUCAAGUUACUUUUCUAUUGUUAUUUUUGAAAAACAUUAGAAUACUUUAAUAAGUUUUUGCUGGUUAAAUCAUUGCAUUCAAGUUUUAUAAAUUUCCGAGCGCUCAAGUUUCAUAUGACAAACUUGGAAGACACUAUUCAGAUCUCAAAAACUAAAAAGCUACUUUCUGAAUGAUACACCAAUGAUUUCAUUGAUAGAUUGCACAAGAGCCUGGAAAAGUCGUUUACCACCACAGCUACAAUAGCUAUGUUGAAUGAGAAGUAAAACAGCAUAGGCGCUUGAAAGUUUUCUGGCGUGUCCAAAACUUUAUUGCAAAAUACUUUCUCUCACAUUUUUUCCAACUGAAUAUAACUCAUUCUCAACACAAACUUGAGUGAGGUAACAUUGGAACUUGUCAAAGAGUGACCUUGAAAUUGUUUUCCCCACUGCAAAACCCUAGCGCUCUCUCUCUCUCUCUCUCUCUCUCUCUCUCUCUCUCUCUACACCAAAACGGGAAUAUGCUUCGAGUGGCAGGGCAUCAGGGUUUCUCGACGAUUGAGCUUGGGGGAGAAUGCAAGAGCUGGAGUAGCGGCGGCAUCGGAUCUGCGACUCGGCUGCGGCCGUGAGUAGCUGCGCAGCUCGAAAAUCUCUGGAAUUUAGGUCUGUAGGAUCUCCUGGUGGAUGGAUUCAGACGAUGACAUGCAAGACGCCUACACCUCCGACGGCGACUACUAUGGCGAUGAGUACAGCGACGCGAUGCCCAGCGACGAGGAGGACGAUGACUCCGUCUACCCGUUUGAUGAUAAUUCCAUGGACGAUCUUUCCCCUUCCACUCGGGCGCCUCAGGUAUAGCUCGGGAAAUCGCGCGCUUUACAUUUUGGCUGCCUUGUGCUUUCCAGAAUAAUUUCGUGGUGCUGAGUGAAGACGAAAUUAGCAAGAGGCAAGAGGAGGCUGUGAAGAGCGUAGCGGGCGUGUUAUCGAUUUCCAAGGGCGAUGCUAGUGUUCUUUUGCGGCACUUCAAGUGGUUCGUGUUGCGAAAUCUCGCUCUCUCUUUUUUUUCUUUGAUCGUGGUCGGUGAGCUUGAGCUCUUUUCUCUUUCCCAGGUGCAUCAGUACUGUAAAUGAUGAAUGGUUUGCCAAUGAGCAAGCUGUUCGCAAGACAGUUGGUUUGCUGGAGAAAUCCGCGGGGAGGAGACCUCCCAAAGAGGUGAUCCUUGCAAGUUUGCUUUGUUUUUUCGAUGCUUGACGUGGACUCUACUUCCAGAUUGUUUGCGGGAUCUGCUUCGAUGCUUUCGGGGUUGACAAGAUGAGAGCAACGGUUUGCGGGCAUUACUUUUGUAGUUUAUGUUGGACAGGUUGCUAAACGUAGCUGAAACGCUUGGCUUUGCUCACUGAUUCGCACAUUUUUCUUCUACUGAUCAGGAUAUGUUCAUACUGCGAUAUCCGAUGGCCCUGGAUGUCUGACACUUCGAUGUCCUGAUCCAUCUUGUAACGCUGCUGUUGGAGAUGAGCUUGUUAUGUCGCUGGUUUGCGAGGAAGACCGUGUCAAGUACAAUAGAUAUUUGUUACGCUCGUUUGUCGAAGACAACCGAAAGGUGUCGCUUUCUGUUAUAGCUGGAUUGCUUAACUGACAAACUUGUCCAGGCAAAAUGGUGUCCUGCUCCAGGAUGUGAUUUUGCGCUGGAGUAUUUUCCAGGUAGUGGUUCACAUGACGUUGUCUGCAAGUGCGGUCAUCCAUUCUGCUGGAGCGUAAGUAUGCGAAAGCUGUUCAUGUUUUGGCUUUAACUUUGUGAAGCUGCAGUGUUUGGAGGAUGCCCAUCGGCCCGUUGAUUGCGAAACUGUGACGAAGUGGAUACUGAAAAACUGCGCUGAAUCCGAGAACAUGAAUUGGUAUGCUGUUGCUUCCUAGUUGUAACGGCUGAAUUCAUCGUCUUUUCUUGCUGAUCAGGAUUCUCGCCAAUUCCAAACCUUGUCCAAAGUGUAAAAGACCGAUCGAAAAAUCUCAAGGAUGCAUGCAUAUAACGUGUACGCCUCCGUGCAAGUUUGAGUUUUGCUGGUAGGUGUUUUCUUUUUCUCGCUGAUGACUGAUUGAUGUGUGGUAGGCUUUGUCUUGGACCGUGGUCCGAACACGGUGAGCGCACAGGGGGAUUUUAUGCUUGUAAUCGGUAUGAAGCUGCUAAGCAGGAAGGAGUGGUACGUAUCUAGGUACUUCUCACUGCCUCAACUUUACAAAUUUUCUUACAGUAUGAUGAAGCUGAAAGGCGUAGAGAGAUGGCUAAGAACAUGCUUGAACGUUAUACACACUACUACGAAAGAUGGGCCACAAACGAGUCAUCCAGGCAAAAAGCGCUCUCUGAUCUUCAACAGAUGCAAGCUUUACAUGUUUGUUGCUAUGUUUUGUUUGUUCAGUCCUAAUGUUUAUCGUGUGAUGCUUUCCAGAUGGAGAAAUUAAGCGACAGACAGUGUCAGCCUGUAUCACAGCUAAAGUUUGUGACGGAUGCUUGGAUGCAGGUAGGCUCUAUCCUGUAUAGUUGUUCUUUUCUGAUAAGUCUUUUGCCGUGUAGAUCGUAGAGUGCCGACGGGUUCUAAAAUGGACAUACGCGUAUGGUUAUUAUCUUCCAGAAAACGAGGAUGCGAAGCGGCAGUUUUUUGAGUACGUGCAAGGUAUACAACAUGGCCUUUUCUCUCGAGCAUCGCUGAUACCAAAGUGGAAAAAUCAGGUGAAGCGGAGGCCGGCCUUGAGCGCCUACACCAAUGCGCAGAGAAGGACUUGCAAGUCUUCCUGGGCGAGGAUCCUCCGGAUGUCCCGUUCAACGAGUUUCGCACCAAACUGGCUGGUCUCACAAGGUAAGGCAAAGUUUGCAGUGGCAUUUGCUCACGAUCCGCGGCUGCGCGCAGUGUAACGAGGACUUACUUUGAGAACUUGAUGCGCGCGCUGGAGACGGGGCUAUCGGACGUGGACAACUCGAAAGCGGCGGCCAACAGCAACAAGAACAGCAGCAGCAGCUCCAAGGCGUCGGGAAGCUCCCGGAAGAGCGGCAAGAAAGGCGGGAGCUCCAAGAACAAUGGGGGCUCGAGCCGGAGCGCCAUUGACGAGAGCGGUGUGUGGUCGUGCGAGCGCUGCACCUUCGCUAAUCCAUCCAGCGUGCGUUCGUGUCAACUGUGCCACCACAGGCCCUGAGAGAAGGAAGAAAAGUUGUCUUUAAGCAAAGUAUAUUCUUGGUAUUUUAGGGCUCCGUGAAGGGAAUCCUGUAUAUUCCUAACGGUCAGCGAAUCUAAGCAUAUUCGAAUCAACAAAACUUCUCGUUUGAGUUUAGAGCAAAAGCUUGCGAUUGUUCCUUUACACCGACAGAAGAAUAGAGCUCAAGGUUCUGGGCUUCCUCCGAUAAUGGGAAUUGGCAUUCCCAUCCUGGCGAGAACAUUAGAGUUUGUAAGUUUCAAACCAGGCACAAAAAGCAAGAGCAUCGACACUCACCCGCUGUGUCUCGAGAAGUAAUCGUUGUCGAGAGAGACGGCAAGAGCUAGAACAAUCGCUCUCUCGGUCAGUGUCAAAGAGCGAGAAACCGAAAGAGGCUCCACCUGGAAAAAGAAAAAUCUCGCGAGCUCGCAAGAGGAAAACGCAAAGAUAUCCACCUGUGGAUCAACGUUUUGAGCUUGCUCGCCGCCCUGCAAAACGUACUGGCCAGCAACUCCAGCUCUGUUUGUACCAUCAGCGAGGACUUCGCCAAAUCUCACGACAUAUUGCCCAGCAUCUGUGAAGAACUGCAUUCCAAGCAGUGAGAUACUCGCUGGCCUGGAAUUAUCACACCAUACCUCGUAGCCAAAUCCUCUCCAGUUGCGGUCCACGACGGCCAGAGUGUCGCCAUUCUCGUCACACACAGUGAAAGUCCAGUUCCAAAAGCCCGGAUUCUCAACACGUCCAAACUGCGUCUUCCUGCAUUCGUGUCGCACUGUCAAGUGACUCCAGGAAUUUCGAGUUUCCGUGGUGCUUACCCGAGAUAGAGAUCAUAGAUUCGUCUCCAGACAUGCCAUCUCCUGUGAACCUCACCAACAAGCUGCGAAAGUCGUGUUAAAACAUCUCGAGUAGAAAGAGUUUAGUGCAGUACAAUGCCAUCAACUUCCACAAAGAUUGUGCUGUUGAUCAACCAGGCUGGUCGUCGAACCUGACAGAAAGCGUCACAAGAGUAGAAGAAAGAAAAGAAAUGGUAAGAUUUGUAACCUGGAAAACCUGGUUGCCGUAGGCAUCUAGAACAUUGGCGAUGAAAGGCCUCCUCGUUCGCAGUAACUGCGACAUAGCUGCAAUUAAUCAAUAAGCGAUAACUGGGAACUCGUUCUAAAGCUUUACCUGGCGCAUGAUAAAGCUGCUCUCUUCAAGAAGAUAUCCAACAGCCUACCCAAACACUCAGUCCAAAACAAUGCCAUACACUAGAGAAACUACUUACUGCUUGCGGCUGGCGAGGAUCCAUGAUAACGUAUCUGUUUUGCUGCAAAGGAAAAAAGAGAAGAUAAAGAAAAACCAAGAGAAAGAGCUACAAAGGAAUUACUUGCUCCAGACCGAAGGCAACGUUGGCCCACUCUAUGUUCCUGGUGACCAUCAAAUCGGGCCUCGCUAACACAGGAACAAGCCUGUGCUGUUAAAAGGAAGGGAAAGAAGAAGCAAAGCAUGAGUUAUAAGAGUUUCCAAAGAGAAAGCUUUACUUCUUGUGGAGAAUCUGGCGCCAGAGCUCCAACAAGAGGUUCGCUGGGAGGAGGCUGCUCGGCAUUGUAAACCCCUGCUAUCAUCGAUCAAAAUAAAGCUCCAAGAGCCAAUUCAAAAAAAUUUACCAGAGGAAGCGACUGGCUUGGAAAGCUUGAGCCUGAGCUUGCGCUCCUCGUCGCGCCGGCGCUUGUCGAAAAGCAUCCGCUCAAUCAGCCUUCUCCUGCUCAGAGACUGAUCGUCGCCAACGCUCUGAUUGCAUGCCGGGGAAAGAGAAAUCUCCCUCGCGCCGGCGGGAUUGCUGCUCCAUCUAGCGAAAUGCGCGAGCUGAUCGUCCGGAGCGCGCACUUGGAUCCGCCGAGCCGCUCGUAAGAGGCGCCCAGCCAUUGCAAGGCCAGAACCCUAACUCUAAACCAUUUUUGAUGUGGUAUAAUGUCAAAAUUAAAAAUAAACUAAUGACGCCGUUGCCGGGGAUCGAACCCGGGUCGUCCGCGUGACAGGCGGAAAUACUACAACGACAUCACAUUAUCUUAACUUAAACAAUGUAAAUAGCUUUACCAAAAACUGAAAACUGAUUAUUUUUAAUAAAACUAACGCCGUUGCCGGGGAUCGAACCCGGGUCGUCCGCGUGACAGGCGGAAAUACUUACCAGUAUACUACAACGACAUCUCAUUAUCUUAGUAUUAAACGAAAAUUAAAAUCUCAUUUCACUAUUUAGAAUGAAACAUUAAAAUGAUAAUAAUAUGGAUCGGCAAUCAUGGAUAAAAGCCAUACAAAAUUGCAAGACACUUCCAAUAGCUUCCAAGAUCGAUGCAGAGUUGAGACAUAAGAUUGCUUCUCAUGACACUUUCCUCUUUAACAAGCUCAUUGAAAUGUAUGGCAAAUGCGGCAAUCCAGGCCAAGCCAAGAACAUCUUUGACACAAUGCCACAAAGGGAUAUAUUUUCCUUCCACCUUAUGAUCUUAGCCUACUCCUACAAUGGCCACCUUUGCGAAGCCAAGAUCAUCUUUGACAGUCUCAUGCCAAGCCACACCACAGUCUCUUGGAACACAAUGCUAUCAGCACUUGCCCAAAACGGGCAUCUUCACUCUGCCAGAGAGCUCUUUGAUCAAAUGCUCGAAAGAAACAUGAUCUCCUGGACCACAAUGUUGGCUGCCUUCUCGCACAGCGAUAACCUUCAAGAAGCCCUGAGUAUAUUCCAUGAGAUGCCACUGUGGGAUCUGGUGGCAUAUACCACAAUGCUGGGUGCUCUCUCCCGUGGUGGCGACGUUGACGCUGCGAAAAGGCUGUUUGACCAGUCCCCGCUGUGGGAUCUUGUGUCCUGGACCGCGCUGCUAGCGGUAUAUGCCCAGAACGGGCAUCUGGAAGAUGCCAAGUUUGUGUUUGAUGAGAUGCCAGAGCACGAUUUGGUAUCUUGGACCUCGAUGCUAACAGUAUAUUCUCGAACCGGACACGUACAAAAAUCUCGGGAGACGUUUGAUCGCAUGCCGGAGAGGAAUCUAUUCUCGUGGGCUGCAAUGGUGGCGGUAUAUACGCGAGAGGGUGACAUGGAAUCCGCGGAGAAAACUUUUAGCGAGAUGCCACAGUGGAAUCUAGUCUGCAUGAACGCUAUGGUCUCGGGAUAUUCUCACACCGGGAAUUUCUAUGCCGCAAGGAGCCUGUUUGAACGUAUGCCUCUUGGCAAUGUAAUUACGUGGAAUAUUAUCCUGGCAGCGUACGUAGCACGUGAAGACUACAACAAAACGUGUGUCAUCUUUAGCCAAAUGCCUCAAUGUGAUUUGUUCUCUUGGAAUAUGCUCUUGACAGCAUAUGCCCGAAAAGGGUAUCUGGAGGAAGCAGGACAUAUUUACCACACAAUGCCACAAAGGAAUCUUGUUUCAAUGACCGCAAUGCUAACAGCAUAUUCCCAACAUGGGUAUCAUUUUGAAGCAAAGAUGCUGUUUGAUGCUGCCCCUCAACAAGAUCAGGUCCUUUGGAACUCUAUCCUUGCAGCAUAUACCCAAAACGGGUAUAUUCCCGAUGCUGAGCUUCUAUUCUACUCCAUGCCACAAAGGGACAAUGUGUCCUGGAACGCAAUGCUGGCCGUUUAUGCCCGACGCGGGCAUAUUAUUCGAGCUACACGGCUGUUUGAGACGAUGCUCGAGCAACACAUCACUUCCUGGAGCGCUUUGCAAGCGGCAUACGCCCAAAACGGCCACUCUUUCCAAACUUUCGAGACCUUCGACAAGAUGGCGAUGGUGGAGUCACCCGACGAGAUCUGCUUCAUCCUCUAUCUCGUCGCUUGCAGCCAAGCCGGAGAAACUUUCAGAGGACGGUGUUGUUUCGUGUCGAUGGCGAUGGAUUUCGGCCUCCAGCCCGGAAAGCAGCACUACAGCUGCGUGGUAGACUUGCUUAGCCGAGCAGGAUACUUGUCCAGUGCCAAGGAACUCAUCCAAACCAUGCCUUACGUUCCGGGAGUGUGGGAGUGGACCUGCUUUCUAGGAGCUUGUCGGAGCUAUAGCGAUUCCUAUCACGGUUCCCAAGCUGCGAGCGUUGUUCUCGAGUCGUAUCAGCAGCUGGGAUCCGGCUAUGUGCUGCUUGCCAACACUUACUUCGGAUUCCAACCUGAGAGUGCUGUACAAACUCCGAAGCUCGAAAGCACAAAGCCUAGAGCAUGGGUGGAGUGUAACCCAAACUGUUGAGAUCAAUGUACUGCGUGGGUUCCUGUCUGUGCCUGUGAGCCUUGACGGCCGCCAGGAAUGCUCCUACUGCUAAAACGAGGAGUAGAAACCAGACCUGCGUGACGAGCCUGGUUGGCUUUCGUAUCGCCUCCGGACAAGCUCUGUGCCCCGGAAGAAUUUUUGGGACCAGCAGCAACGUUGACUACAGGGUGGAGUCCGUUCUGUAAAACCACGAGUGUAAAUCGAAAGAGAAAUGUAUGUUUUGCAUACCUCCAUCAUUCCGUGAGAGCUGAAUGACAAUUUGCUCGUAGAAAACCGAGGCAGGCUGUGAUCUUCCCUUGCACAAAUUGCAUUUUGUGCUGUCCAACGGUCCAUGGGAACCGGGAGGUGUCUGCUUCUGAGAAAAGGUGGCACACAGGCUUGUGCCAUAUUCCAAGAAAAAUCUCCUUGGCACUAAAGCCAGAGGUGGUCAUGUUGAAGAGAUUCUUCCCCAGAAAAAAAAUGCGCUUGGAGUGCGGCUAGAGCGGACGACUCUUUGGUUACGACAGAAGCUAGUGAACAAAUUAAAACGUGUAAGAACUUACAAGAAGUUCGUCCACAGCGUGAUCGAACAUUCCCGCACACCGAAAUUCCUGUUGCUGCUGUAUGUUACGACCAGAAGACAACUCUAGACUCAGAAAAUAAUUCUAUCGUCACCAAAUGGUGUUGUAGUUAUUUGUCUGAACAAGUCCACCUAAAGCAGUGUUGGAUAUCUACCAAUCUUACUCACAUCUGCUUCCUCAACCGCAGCAGUAACCAUUUCGCACUUUGCCACCUCUCGAGAGAAGAAUCUAGCUCUCAAAUUCUCUCUGGCAAUCGACCACGGGGCUUUGAGAUGGCCUACCGUAUGUCCCAAAAAUAUCAAAAAAUCUUAUUAACAUCUUGCAAAGAUCUGCUUUCUAUUUUCCAGAUUCGGAUCUGGAAAAUGGGAAGCAGAUUUUUGCAAGAUGCUUCAAUAUAGUUUGCAUAUUGAACAGGUGCUACCUUCCAUUCAGCUUUUGGUUUGACAUGAUUUAUGUGGGAUGGGAUGUGAAAUGAAGGUGAUUUUCUUCUAAGUAAAAAGAUCACUCUAGCUUACAACUCCUUCAGGAAAAUCACCGUCAUUCAAGAUCCCAUCCCAGAUCGCAAGGACAAAUCCUGGCAUCACGUCAGACCAAAGCUAGAUGCACCUGUUCAAUAUACAAACUCCGUGCUGUCGUGUUUAGAUGAGAUUGGACGUGGUUUGUAGCCGAUAAAGACUGCUGCGUCGCUGGCUGAUCUACUAUUUAUCUACAAGGAAUAUAAUGUCCCCUUAGGAUGCUGAUAUUGUCUUCGUUUGUACUGUAAAUUCUGGCCAGCUGGGUUUUUUCUUGCUAUUUGGUACUUGUUUCGCUUUCGUUAGAGCAGUCUGGAAAUCAGCAAGAGAAACGUGGGAUCUGGCAUAUCUGAAUUGUUCGAAUCUUUGCGAGUAUAUUACCAAGUGCGCCAGCCUCUCCAAAACCAUUCUCUAUUUCGCUAUGGCUCAGUCUAUCAAGUUUGCUCCUCUCAUUGCGCUGCUCCUUUGCAUUGCUGCCACUGCUGAAGUGCUUGACGUUCCAGGCGAGUUUUUCUUUGUCGAUGGAGCAGCCCGCCUACCGUCUGAAUGCAGGCCCGAGUCGCUGUGCUGCCCAAACAGCAAAUUCUGUCCCAAGGGCAAAUACUGCACCAUUUGCAUGCCCAGCAAUCCGCCUUUGUGCGUUUGCACAGAGGCUCCUCCGAACUGCGGAGUAGGCAGUAGCUGCUGCAGUGACGGGGACUGCCCAAAGGGAAAAGCUUGCAGCGUAUGCACUAAAUCGAUCCCACCUAUUUGUCGCUGUGGCCCUGAGCCUAAGAUCGUUCUUGUUUCCGAGUGAAACCGGCUACAGCCCAAAUAUAGAUCAUGUGGCGGUCAACCCUGUUGACUGUGUAAUAAGAGAUCUUUCAUAAUGAUAAUGUGGCUAUUUUUAACGUUCUUAUGGAUUAAUUUCAAUUUGGACCAUGGAGUUGGAAAACCUUCUAAAUUUAGUUUGGAAAGGAUAGUUUAAAAUUUGAAUGCAACCAUGAAAGUUGAUAUAGUCAAUGACAGUAAAUAAAUGUCUUCAAUCUCAAAAUGCUUCUAAGACUUCUCCAGGCUCUAACAAUAGUUUCAGUGUUAAAAGAUAUCAAAGCUUAUAAGCAAUUAGAAGAGACACCAAUGGAUUAAGAGAGUGAUGUGGUCUACUACCAAUGAAGUGGCGUACGACCUUAUGUUGUGAUUUGUUUGUGAUCAUAUCUUACUUGAAUUUGCUCUGGACAAACAAUCUCAAUGGUUUAGACUCAGUUCUUAUUUUUGUACAUUUGAGGUCAGUUACCAACAUCUUGUUGAAUAUUCAAGUAUUUACACAUUUUACAAAAUUUGCUAUGUGUUUUGCUUAAUAGUAGUGUUAUUCUUAUUUAUUAAUGAAAAUUUAAAUUAUAAACAUGUUUAUAAAUUAUAAAUAUAAGAUUAAUCUAAUUGUUAGAUAAUAAACCAUUCUAGAAUAUCCAAGUACAUUCUAGAUAUAUCCACUAUAGGUUUGAUUAAGCAAACCAAAACCUCAUAAACAUCCAUUACAUUAUUAAAAAGCUUGCAUAAACAUCCAAGAUGCAUCCAAGAAUGCAUUUUGGAUAUUCAAUAGAGUAAGAUAAACACAAAGAAUAAAUACAUAUGCUCUUACAUUAAAACUUUGGAAGUUUAGUUUCAAUUAAAUUUCCUUUUUUAAAAGUGAAAGUAAUUGUAUACAUCAAGCAAUUCACGGUUGCUCAUGUAACAAACUAAAAAUCUCUUUUAGCCAAAAAUCAUAUAAAAAUUAAACUUAUACAUUAUUUGAAAAAGUUGGUAUUGAGAAUGAAGAUGGUCCUUUAACACUUGAGUGUAAUACAAUUGUUAUAUAGCUUGAGUAAAAAAGAUUACAAAAGGUAUAUUAUAUGUGCCAACAUAUGGCAAAUGGUGGAAUCUCAUUUGUGAAUAAAAUUACUCUCAUUAAGACUUAUAUUCUAAAUAUACACUAAUAUUCUAUUGAAUAAAAGCAUAAAAAAGACACACAUAUUUACAUUAUAGUGCUCAAUAAUGGAAUGCCACUAUUAGUUAAUGAUUUUUUCCAUUUAAUACACUAAUAACACAUGUAAAUAAUAUAAAUAUUAAAUAAUAAAUUAUGUAUGUGAGGUCGCCAAGUGUAUGGUUACGAUGCCGUAUACUAUGGGAUUUUGGUAACUGUUGGAUUGGUUUUAAUCUGGACCACUUGCUUUUGUAUAUAAACUAGGGUAUUUGGGCUAAUUAAGAGGCAUGUUUUCUGUAUUCCCUUUCCAUAUUCCAAGCACUCACAUUAGUGGAGGUGAAGGGCAUCUUUUAUUGUCCCUAAGGAGUGUUUAAAUUUGGGAUUUUGAUUUAGAUAUAGAUUUUGCAUUGUCUAGAUUUAGUUUUUUCCAUUUCCUUUCUUUUGUUCUUUCCUUUUAGGAUUUUGGUUUAGAUUUAGCUUUUUGCAUUGUCUAGAUCUACCAUUUCCUUCUAGCUUUUUGUCAUUUCUUUUCUUUUGCUCUUUCUUUUUUGUUCAUCUUCAUGGCAAAUUAGCAAUCUCCUCCUUUGACUUUGGAGCAACAGUUGGUACAAUUGCUUGAUGCUAUGCGCUUGCAAUUGAACAACCAAACUCAGUUGAUGGCGGCGUUCACAACAUGUGGUACAACUCCUCUUGCUCUUGGUGCCAAUCCUUGCAUUUGGCCAGAGUUCUUUCGUGGGAAUCCUGAGGAUGAUGUGUACCAUUGGUUCAAUCACUUCACAGUGAUUGCCAUAUAUCAUUCUUGGCAUGAUGCUCGAUGUUUGCAUGACUUUCCCACAUGUCUCCAAGGGAUGGUGUUGCAGUGGUACAAUGGUUUGAGCGUAGCCACUUAUGGGGAUUGGAGUGUUCUCCCAUACAUCUUCAAACGUGUCUUCGGACAUGCUGAUGACUGUGAUGAUGCCUUCCAACAAUUACAUUGUCUUCGCCAAGGGCUAUCUGAGUCAGUGAUGCAAUUUGGCGUUUGUUUUCGAAGUCUUUUGCUUCGUGCAGAGCUAAAUAUGUCAGAGCGGAUCAAGCUAGGAAUGUUGAGGCUAGCACUUCAUCAAGAUCUUGUUGGACUUGUGUGCAUGCACUUGCUCCCACCACCCUUGAUGAUGCUCUUCGCUUGGCACAACGUUAUGAGAUGUCACCUCUUCCACUUUUCACUGCAAGUCCUUCAGCUCUACUUCCUAUGGGUGAUGGUUCUGUUCUAAUGGAGGUUGAUGCUGCUGCUGUUCGAGUCCAAGGACAAGGGCGAGGAAGUGGUCAUGGCUGUGAUGUUCACUGCUGGGUGUGUGAUGAAGUUGGUCAUACUUAUCAAUGUUGUUGGUGUUUUCCAAAUUGACGACCUCCAUUUCCUAGGUGGAGACCUUGGCAUCAGCAACGUCCCAUUGGUGCUAUUGCAGUGGAAGGUCUGUGUAAGUGACUAAAUUUUCCAUUCUACUUUAGUCACUUAACCACACCUCUGACCAUUUGGAGGAGUCUCACUCACAACCUUUGUAAGUCCUAUUUUGGACUUAGGGACUUACUAGCCCCAAGAAUGGCAUCCAUGCCACUCAACCAUUGCACUUGGUCUAAGUGCUUCACAUGUCCGAUCCCAUGACCAACACCCCAAGGUACCACCGACAUAUUAGCUCGUUAUGUUAAGGCCAUGCCCAUUUGCUUUGGUCAUACCGGUGGUCUAACACCACCUACAUCACAGUCUCGUCUCUUAAAGACUGGGCCAUCCGUCCAUGAGUGAUCAUCCCAGAUCCACUCCUUAGCAUCCUUAAAAUGCCUGCAAAUCUGGGGAAUAGCCUUCCCCAAUAUCCCUUUUCCGGUCCUUACCAAGUCCCUUUCUGCCCAUGGCCGUGUUCGCCAACAUUGCCAUUGGAUCGAGGCUCACAGGCCCGACCACUAAGUCUCACGGUCCUUUGGGACUUCUUCACCACACGACUGUAUCCUUGGUCACUACACUAGAGGACUACUCUUCUUCCUUUCCAUAGUCUGGGCCUUUGGGACAACAUUUCGGAACACCGUGGCCCUACGCGGGCCUCAUGGGUACUCUCCCUGCCUUCCGCCUUUGGGUGCUCUAGCCACAGGCUUAAAGCGAGGUUUUGUGAGCCACGCCAGGUAUCCAAGUAGGUAAUGCCACCCACAUUUGGACUGGGAGCAUCGACCAUUCGAUCUCCUGAGGGAACUAGAGCCGGCUCUUGAACACAUCACUAAGCUACCCCGUUUGUCGAUCCAUAUUCACUUUAGUCUUGGACUUCCCAGUGGUCAGCUCAUCACCCAACACUGGGUAUGGCCUUCCUGGGCCAAAUUGGCCUUUCUUGGCCAAAUUGGCUCCACUAGGCUCCAACCCCCACACUCUCCCUACUAUACUUUUGGAACCCCCCGUAGCGCCCCCCCCCCCCCUUGGGGGACGAUUGCUUUGGGCUUUCACCCAACAACCUAUAUUAGUAUUCAGACUUGGACUUGGACUCGGUCCCAGUUUCGGACUCGGACUUCCAGCUUCACUUUGGGGCUUAGGGAUUUUGUGUCUCACAACUCCACCACCCAUAGACGAAGUUCAAUGUCCUCAUCAAACAAUAAACUAUUUUAUAAAGUAAUACCAACAUGUAUUACCCUUUCCAUUCUUGGCACCUUACCAAUAUUCGUCAAUGGUUUAAUACCGAAGGCUCACCAUGCCUUGCCCAUCCUCUAAGGAGUAUAGUCUCUCCAACUUAGAGAUUGAUUGGACCACUUGUGGUGGUUUACCGUGCCUUGCCCUCCACUCCUGAGCUCUAUUACCACUCGAUAGAGCUUCUUCAGUGCCGGCAGCUCCACAACUUUGCCCAUAUUUUAAACCAUCACCGCACUCUAGUGAGUUGGGACUCAAACCCAAGCACUAAAGGGUUGGGACUUGAACCUAAGCUUUGUAUAUGCAUCUACAGAAGGCAUCAUCCAAAAUGCCUGGUGUGACUCCCCACGCCGGUGCACCAACUUAUAGUUAAAGCGCAUUACAAAUCACAACUUAGGAAUCUAGUUCUUUUGCACUGCCAAGUCCUCUCACUUGACAAGCUGUGAUCAUGCAUGGACUCCUUCAUGCUUAGCCCCACGGGCCACCCCUUUGAAGUUGGCUCCUUCAACUAGGGUAUUUGUUCCCCCGACUUGCCAAUCUCACUUAACAAGUCAUUCGACCACCGUAACAUGGUUCAUGCAUAAGCAUGAAAGUCCUUAACUAUCGACUUUCGUUCAAAGCCCUCUCUUUGAACACUCGGGAACUACUUCCCUAACCUUGAUAGCCUCGCCUCUUGGCAAGCUUCAAGACCACGCUUUUGCUGUGCCACUCUGAUUUCGCACGCUCUAUGAACCAUUUGCACUUAGUUUUCUAGGUACUAAGUUACCUAGAAUUGUAUUUGGGAACCUUUGAAGGAACUAUAUCCCUUAACUUGCUAAGGCCUUUCCUUUCGCAAGCUUUUAAAUUGCUAUAUGGUCUAAUAUGGACAAUUCCAUACUUUAGACUCUCCAUGGCAUCACGGUUGCUAGUAACAACAUGCUUGAGCACCCACUUGAUUCUCCAUUCCUAACUGGUAUAACCACCCUUGGUUAUGCAAUUCAAUGCUUAUGGUUUGAUUCUAUCCCUUUACUACUUGCCUUUGGCCUCACACCUUUCCUUCAAUUAUUCUCCUCCAGAUUUAGGAGGAUAGCUUUGCACUUUCUACUAUGCUGUAGCAAGUAUUUUUAGGGAUGAACCUACCCGAUAGCCUAGGGAGUGGUUCCUUAAUCCGAGUAUGCUCAACUUAUAAUCCCACAUAUCUUAUGGGCUUUUAUAUGCCUAUCACUAGCCUUGCUAAAAUUCCAUUUUGGCUUUGUCCAAUUCGGGUAGAUAGUUUUCUUUUGUCUCCACAACCUUGGAUGUCUGGAUAACACCUUCUAUCCAUCAUUCGCUAAGGACUUAAUUCCUUGGGCCUUAUCUAUUGCCUUCGCGACCCUAAACACCACCUCCUGGUGUCCUAGAGUGUUUAGGUGUCCUAAUGAUGGCCUCCUUGACAAUGAGCAUUUUCUUUUAUGACAUUGACUCAUUAUAUUGCAACAUAAGCAAUUUUUCCCUUGUAAGGGUAUAUUUAACUUCUUUAUGCCAUUAAGAAAUCUUGGGUAACUACCUUCUACCCAUUUAAUCAAUUAUCUUGCACUUUUUGUUUAGUUGCCUCAUAGUUGUCAAAUCUUACAACUCAUUGUUUGGUGCUUCCACACCUCCAUCAUUAUCUGGGUCACCACACUCCAACCACAUGCCUUCUAACUUAAGCCAUGCCAUUCCCAUUUCCAUUAGGACUCCUUUAGGAAGGGGUUCUCAUGAACCUACUAACUUGACCUCAAGGCAUCGUGCUUUGGUACAUUCGGUGUCUCCACACCAUUGGCUUUACAAGCCUACCCUUAUGACACUACCCACUCAUGUCCGGGUCUUUGCCAAAACCAAAAUAGUUGUUUCUCAUGCCAACUAUCAGUUAGCAUGGCACCAUCAUAUUCACACACAACUCUAUGCCAAAGUUGUUUUCUUCUAGGAACACCUUUUCCAUAACUUUAGUAUGGCACAUUUUGCCAUCGAUGAGAUACCUACUGUUCUCAUACUUGGAUCUUAUAAUCCUCCCCAUCCUUAACAGGUUGUGGCUUGCCCGUUAACUUGAUCCAGCCGUUGGCAACCAUCGGAUCGAGUCAUGUUCUCUGCGAGAAUUUUACUAUUGUCAACCACAUUCUCCAGAAUGUGGCUGACAGCUACCAGGUUCUGGAGAUUGUGGCUGACAGCUACUAGGUUCUGGAGAAUGUGGCUGCUGUCAUCCAGGUUCUAGAGAACUUGGCUGCCAAUAACCACAUUCUCCAAUUAAACGAGAUGCAAUUGCUUUUUUAUUUUUUCAUCAAAGCAAGCUUGAACACUUUGGCUAUGACCAUUGACUACAAUCACAUAAUUACUCACAGUACAAUGGUGAAAUGUGGUGGUGCUCGUCGGUAGUGCUAAAGCUUUUGUAGCUCUUGGAUCUUUUGCAAGAGCUAAAAGUAGCUCAUUGUCGUCAAGAUCUACCAAAAGUUAGAAAUAAAGAAUUCAAAUCAAAUAAACUUUACCUUUGUCUCUAGAAAUGACUGAUUCCUGCUACUCGCCAUGCUCUGGCAUAGGCUCUAGCACAGUCUCGUGCACAGUCUCGUGUUGCUUGUCGUGUCCACUUGAAACAAAGAGAAAACUAAAUUGAAAGAAAAAAGGAAAGAAAGAAUUUUCUUACCUUGCUGCUCUUCAAUCACAUCCAAAACUUGGUGGUGAUUCAGUUCCUGUUUGUGGAUCUCUUCUCUUGGAGAAGGUUGUUGCUGCCUAGGACCACCUAAAAUUGAGAAAAGAGAAAAGUCCAUUAUAAAGAUUAUAAAGUUUUUGGUUUUCUUACCAAAAUUUUGUUGUUGCUGCUCAUGAAUUUGAGUCUGUUGAUUGUCAUUUCCACCUGAAUUGAAGAGUGUUAAACCUCCACAAAGCUUUGAAUUACCAAAAGAAACAAGAUGGCAAUCUUGAAGAUCCAAUGGAUCUUCAUUUAAAGGUUUACCAGCCUCAUAGCACCGUACAAUAUACUCCGAUGCUUUUCUAAAUUCGUCCUGGUAGUUUUUCAAACGACCAGUACGAUCAUACCAGUUAUAUAGAACAUAUGACAUUGCCAUUCUCCUUGCUUUCCUGGAGUGAUCGUACCUGUUAAAAAAAGAGGCAUUAAUGAUAAAAUGGUUAGCAAAAACCUAAUUGUUCCAUGUUUUCCACCCUUUUGUGUCCCGUCAGCUUCAUACAAUCUUCCAUUGGAGUGUUGCAAAUACUCAUAGUUGUAAUUACUGAGUGUUGAAUAUCUUUCACUGAAAGGCUCAAACCUAGAGAAAAUGAAUUAUGAGAAAACAAGAAAGCAGUUAGUUAACUACCUGUUUUUGUGGCAACCAAUUUUACUACUUCAGAGAUCUUAUGCUCUCCUAUCCGUGCCCCUCGACGGUACCAAUUAUUAGUCCUGUUGAAACAGUUGUUACAAGCCAGGAAAAACGGCUGCUUGUUCAAGUCCUCCCCAUCACCAACUGCUGGAUGCUUAUCAAAAAAAAGCUUGAAUGCCUUGUAGACUAAGGGAGCAGCUAUUUCAUAGAGAUCCACAGCAGGCUGCCGAUCCAUGCUCUUACAAUUCAUUAGAUCCACUUGGUAGUUUUUGGAAACCACGUUGGUUGAAUCUGAGGCAAAAAAAAUUCUGAUUAGAACCGACAAGAACAAAGAAAACAAAUAAGAAACUACUCAACUGGAUAUAGCAACCAACAACAUCCUCCAAAAGUGUAAAAUCAGUGAAUCGCACAUGUACAAGAAAGAAAUUCAUGCAGAAUAGUACAACUAACCAAAAACAGUCCAUUAGGACUGUUAGGUAGGAACUCUGGCAACGUGAGAACUACCUUAAGCUCAACCAUCGACAAGUACACAUGCUUUGACCUUGUACUUGUUGGCCUUGUAGUUUCUAGUGCUGCUUUUUGAAUUAUAUGGCUAGUAGCAUUCCUAGAAUAAACAAACCAAACCAAACAUAUUAGAACACAAACCACAACAAAAAGAACAAAAAAAGCAAGAUACCUUGCUGUAAGAAACCUUGGAUCAUUCAGGAUGUCAACUUCUUCUUCUAAAACUCCUGUUCUUGCAACUCGGGCUUCUCUUGCCAGCUUCAAUACUCAGUUAAAGCAAAAAAACAUAUCCCUCAGAGUUGCUGGAGGGUAAGGCUUCCCAUCGUCUCUCAAAACAUGCUUGUAGAACAAUGCAAGCUGGUGGGAGACCUCCUACAAUCAGAGAAAGAUUUAGUCAUAAAAAUCAAAAGAAAAAAUAAGAAACAACCUUUGCAGGAAGUUCCUCAAUCAGUCUCAAAUCCUGUAAGGAAAACUCUGGGCCCUAUGCCUUGCGCCAUGCAUAAAACUUUGAUGUUGCCCACUCAUUCUUCUUUCGGGUCCCUGCUGGUAUAACCAAUUCCAAUGGGUUCUCGUCCUCCUCAUUCGGAACAAUUUGUCGAAAAUGUUGGCAGCCAACCUGCAUCAACAAACAAUUUCAACCUGGAGCAUCUAACCAAAAAGCACUUACCUCUCUCCGACCAUGCCGACCACGCCCACUACGCCCACCGUGAUUCCUCCAAGGACAAACCUAUCAAACUCAAACGAUUGCAAGUGAGUAAGCAAGAAUACAUAAUAACUAGAGAACUGAAUUCAAGAAAGGAGCUGCGUUCUCAACAAGAUCAGCAGCAUUCUGGGACAAUCCCAGAUCAAAUGAAGGAGGAUCCAUCUACAGAUAGACAAAAUCGAGAGGAUUGAGAAGGAAAAACUAUGAAAUCCAGAGAAAACCAGGAAAUGAGGGCAAACCGGGAUUAUCAACUCUCAAGCUGCUCUCGAUGCACACAAGCUCCUAUUGCCUUGAGUGCCACAAGAAACCACUGCAAAAUUCCUGAAACACACGGACAAGGAGCAGAUCUGGAUCAAUCUAGCUACUAUGCCUCAGAUCUGACCUUGGCAAGCUGGUGCCGCCCUGCCGCUGCUGCUGACGCCUUGUUGCUACUGCUGCUGCUGACGCCUUGUUGCUACUGCUUCCGCCUUGCCACUACUGCUAUUGCUUCCAAGAGAAUCUGACAGCCUCACAGCGUCGGCACAAAAAACCCUAAAACCCUAGAAAACAUGUUAUAUAUGACUUUUAGCCACGUGUUCUAUGUUCAUUUGACCACUCCCAUCCUCGAAUAACGUUAUUCCAUGUGUCCGUUAACGGUCUCGCCACAGCCCAUUAAGGCCGUUCCUGGGCACGGGCUCGCACGUUCCCUCCAGAACGCACUCGCCGGGCUAACGCCUGGCUCGCCCGUUCUGGGCGGGAACAUGCUCGCCCUACCUGGGAACUCCUUCUUCAAGGGGUACAACACACCUCAGUCCAAAUGCUUUUACGAAUCCCUUAAGACCAUUCCUUGACUCUACCCAAGUUAUCCAGCAUUUCAAGACUUCGAUAAUCCAAUGACCCGUAAAUUCCUAUCUUGAGGUGCUAGCUCGUUGGAAAUACAACUUCGUGUAUUCAUGUCCUACUCAUAAGGACCACCACCUCGCUUACAAGUUCACACAUGAACUGUAGUGGAGAGUCAUGUCUUCCCGACUUGCUACUCCUCAAGGACAGACCCACUCCUAGGACCUUCCGAUGCCAAAACCAGUGGUGAUAUACUUAAGCACCAAUAAAAGUUAGACUAAGGAAUAGCUCCGAUACCAAAUUGUAAGCGAUUAAAUUUUUCAUUCUACUUUAGUCACUUAACCACACCUCCGACCACUUGGAAGAGUUUCACUCACAACCUCCAUAAGUCCUAUUUUGGACUUAGGGACUUAUUAGCCCCAAGAAUGGCAUCCAUGCCACUCAACCAUUGCACUUGGUCCAAGUGCUCCACAUGUCCGAUCCCAUGACCAACACCCCAAGGUACCACCAACAUAUCAGCCCGUUAUGCUAAGGCCAUCCCCAUUCGCCUUAGUCACACCGGUGGUCUAACACCACCUACAUCAUAGUCCCGUCUCUCAAAGACUGGGCCAUCCAUCCAUGAGUGAUCAUCCUAGAUCCACUCCUUAGCAUCCUUAGGAUGCCCGCAAACCUGGGGAAUAGCCUUCCCCAAUAUCCUUUUUCCGGUCCUCACCAAGUCCCUUUCUGCCCAUGGCCGUGUUCGCCAACACUGCCACUGGAUCGAGGCCCACAGGCUCGACCACUAAGUCCCACAGUCCUUUGGGACUUCCUCACCACAUGACUAUAUCCUUGGUCACUACACUAGAGGGCUACUCCUCUUCCUUUCCACAGUCUGGGACUUUGGGACAACAUUUCGGAACACCGUGGCCCUAUGCGGGCCUCAUGGGUACUCUCCCUGCCUUUUGCCUUUGGGUGCUCUAGCCACAGGCUUAAAGUGAGGUUUUGUUAAGCCACGCCAGGUAUCCAAGUAGGUAGUGCCACCCACAUUUGGACUGGGAGCAUCAACCAUUCGAUUUCCCGGGGGAACUAGAGCCGGCUCUUGAACACUUCACCAAGUUACCCCGUUUGUUGGUCCGUAUUCACUUUAGUCUUGGACUUCCCAGUGGUCAGCUCAUCACCCAACACUGGGUAUGGCCUUCCUGGGCCAAACUGGCCUUUCCUGGCCAAAUUGGCUUCAUUGGGCUCCAACCCCCACACUCUCCCUACUAUACUGUUAGAACCCCCCGCAGCCCCCCCGCCCCCCCCGGGGGACGAUCACUUUGGGCUUUCACCCAACAGCCUAUAUUAGUAUUCGGACUCAGACUCGGACUUGAACUUGGACUCGGACUCGGUCUCGGUUCCGGUUUCAGACUCGGACUCGGUCUCAGUCUUGGUCUCAGUCUCGGUCUCGGUUCCAUCUCGGACUCCAUCUCGGGUCCAUCUCGAACUCCAUCUCGGACUCCAUCUCGGGUCCAUCUCAGACUCCAUUUCGAACUCUAUCUCGGGUUCAGGUCCAUCUCGGACUCCAUCUCGGGUCCAUCUCGAGUCCAUCUCGGACUCCAUCUCGGGUCUAUCUCAGACUCCAUCUCGAGUCCAUCUCGGGUCCAUCUCAGACUCCAUCUCGGACUCCAUCUUGGACUCCAUCUUGAGUCCAUCUCGAAUCCCUUUUCUAGAGACUCACUUAUCACUCACUUUGUGCUUGUUCCUCGAGCACUUUGUUGGGAGUUCCACUCCCAUUCUCGACCUUUCAAGUAGGAGCUUUUGGUCCAAAUGUGUAACGCUCGUUUGGCUUUCACUUCAGCCACUACCACGUGGCACCCUUCCGGCUCCACUUUGGGGCCUAGGGAUUUUGUGUCUCACAGUUUGGACAUCGAGAUGUAUCCGGGAAAUGAAGAGUCACACGAGUAACGAAGGGACCUUGCGUGAAUAAAUUAGAAAUAGAUAUAUUAAUUAGGGUUUAGACCUGACCCCUCUAUAAGUGACUAAUUUUUCCAUUCUACUUUAGUCACUUAACCAUACCUCCGACCACUUGGAGGAGUCUCAUUCACAACCUCCAUAAGUCCAAUUCAGGACUUGGGGCUUGCUUGCCCCGAAAAUGGCAUCCAUGCCACUCAACCUUUGCAUUUGGUCCAAGUGCUCCACGUGUCCGAUCCCAUAAUUGACACCCCAAGGUACCACCAACAUGUCAGCCCGUUACGCUAGGCCAUGCCCAUUCACCUUGGUCACAUCGGUGGUCCAACACCACAUGCAUUGCAAUCCCGUCUUUCCAAGAUGGGGCCAUCCGUCCAUGAGUGGUCAUCUCAUAUCCACUCCUUAGCAUCCUUAGAAUGCCUGCAGACAUGGGGAAUAGCCUUCCCCAAUAUCUUCUUUCUGGUCUUCACCAAGUCCUUUUUUGUCCAUGGCCGUGCUCACCAACACGGCCAUUAGAUCAAGGCCCACAGGCCCAACCACUAAGUCCCAUGGUCCUCUAGGACUUCCUCACUAUGUGACUAGGUCUUUGGUCACCACACCAAAGGGCUACUCCUCUUCCUUUCCACAGUUUGGGACUUUGGGACAACAUUUCGGAACACCGUGGCCCUACGCAGGCCUCAUGGGUACUCUCCCCACCUUCCGCCUUUGGGUGCUCUAGCCAUGGGCUUAGAGCGAGGUUCCAUUGAGUCACGCCAGAUAUCCAAGUAGGUAGUGCCACCCACACUUGGACUGGGAGCAUCAACCAUUCGAUCUCCCGGGGGAACUAAAGCCGGCUCUUGAACACUUCACCAAGCUACCCCGCUUGUCGGUCCGUAUUCACUCUAGUUUUGAACUUCCUAGUGGUUAUCCCAUCACCCAACACCUGGGUACAGCCUUCCUGGGACAAACUGGCCUUUCCUAGCCAAACUGGCUCCACUGGAGUCCUCCCCCUUACUAUACUUUUGAAGCUCACCAAACCCCCCAGGGUCUGGGAGACAAAUGCUUUGGGCUUUCACCCUCUCAGACUCAAACUCGGACUUGGACUCGGACUCAGACUCGGACUCAGACUUGAACUCGGACUCAAACUCAGGCUUGGUCUCAGCCUUGGCCUCGAUCUCGGUCUCAAUCCCGAUCUCGGUCUCAAUCUCGGUCUCGGUCUCAGUCUCGGUCCCGGUCUCAGUCUCGACCUCGGACUCCAUCUCGGGUCCUUCUCGGACUCCAUCUCAGAUUCCAUUUCGGGUCCAUCUCGGACUCCAUCUCGGACUCUGUCUCGGUCCAUCUCGGACUCCAUCUCAGACUCCAUCUUGGGUCCAUCUCGGACUCCAACUUGGGUCCAUCUCGAGUCCAUCUUGGACUCCAUCUCAGACUCCAUCUCGGGUCCAUCUCAGACUCCAACUCGGGUCCAUCUCGGGUCCAUCUCGGACUCCAUCUUGAUUCCAUCUCGGACUCUAACUCAGGUCCAUCUCAGGUCCAUCUCAGACUCCAUCUCAGACUCCAUCUCGGGUCCAUCUUGGACUCCAACUCGGGCCCAUCUCGGGUCCAUCUCGGACUCCAUCUCGGACUCAUCCACGUGUCACAUGGUGGUCCUUUUUGGGUCCCUUUUUGGAGCCUCGCUUAUUGCUUGCUUCGUACUCAUUCCUCGAGCCCUUCGUUGGGAAUUCCACUCCCACUCUCGACCUUUUAAGUUGGAGCUUUUGGUCCAAACGUGUUACACUCGUUUGGCUUUUGCUUCGGCCGCUACCACGUGGCACCCUUCCGGCUCCACUUUGGGGCCUAGGGAUUUUGUGUCUCACAACUCCACCACCUAUAGACAAGGUUCGAUGUCCUCAUUGAACAGUAAACCCUUUUAUAAAGUAACACCCACAUGUAUUAUCGUUUCCAUCCUUGGCACCCGGCCAAUAUUUGUCUAUGGUUUGACACCGAAGGCUCACCAUGCCUUGUCCAUCCUUUAAGGAGCAUAGUCUCUCCAACAUAGAGACUUAUUCGACCACCUGAGGUGGUUUGCUCCCUUUUAUUGGUUCAGUUUUCGCUAAACCCGUUAGAGACACCUUCUCUAACUCAAUCCCACUACUCAUUUUCGAGUAGUCUCAAAUUCCAUCGACAUAACCUUUGCACUUUGAAACUUUUACUUUUGACUUCUUGAAGUCAAUUUCUUAGGUGUCUUCGACACUUUGCAUUACACAUCUUGUGCAACUCCACUUCCCCAUCCUAAGAAGUUCUUUACUUGAGGGCACCAUCAUCCUCUCUUCUAUUUCAUGCCUACUUGGGCACUAAGUUUUAGUUAUCAAAAUUUGUGUUAAGGCUGUCCAUGGCCCUAUCAUUUGGUUACCUUACCGCUCCCUCCCUUGGAACUUCCACUUUCGCCAAAUCGGAGCAAUUGAGAAUCCAUCUUUGGAAACACCUUGCCUUUCCCACAAUUUGUUAGCCCCUAACACAUUAGUGUUCUUGGCCUAACUUUGCCUUUUGGAUUCUUUCCCAUGGUUCCCAUGGCUUUUUUCUUAGCCAUUAGUUUUUUGCUUCUAUCCUUGAUUGUUGCAUCGGAUCACUACUUCCAUUCUCGAGGUAUCCUUUCAAUUCCAUAGCAAAGACUUUGUUUUGCCAAGUCCAGAGGGUGUUUACCCCUAGUAUGUCUCUUUAUCAUUUUCUACUAUGGCUUUAUUCAUAACCCAAUUUAGUGACCCUCUCAUAAGUCUUUUAUAGAGAUUACUUUCCUCGGAUUCACUAUGCCAUCGCAUAGGCAUUGGUUAUUUCCCUUAGGUGUUCUUCCCACUUGGUCAUCUUGACCAAGCCACACCAUCAUAAACAGUUCAAAUCAACACUUUGAACCAGGAACUUCAUUCCUUAGCCAACCAAGGACCUUAUCAUUAUUUAGCCACAAGAUCACCUAGUGAUCUCACUUUGGCACCUUAACAGAGUUGUCAAGAGGUACUUUGUCUUUUAGAUCUUCAAGUUGUUGACCAUGACCCCGGGGGCAUCCCCACACUUGGCAGUGCACCCAUGCCAGCCCUUACGGCCAAGGGUCCAUAGCAACUGAGAUUAGGUGUCCCUAUCUCACUCACCACGUCCUUGGUGCCACUUGCACCAAAUGUUCAAGUUAGAUAUGUCGAGCUUUCACACUAAGCAAUUUAACUGUGCAUCACCACUCCAAGGCAUCCCUCGCUUGGUGGUGUGCCCAAACCAGUCUCUUCACUGAGAGUCCAUGACCACCGAAAAAUGAGUGUCCUCAUAUUCCAAACCAUCACCAUGCCCUAGUGAUUUGGGACUCGAACCCAAGCACUAGAAGGUCGGGACUCCAACCCAACCUUCGUAUAUGCAUCUACGGAUGGCAUCGCCUAGGAUGCCUGGCAUGACUCCCCACGCCGGUGCACCAACUUAUACUUAAAGAGCGUUAUAGAUCACAACUUAGGAACCUAGUUCCUCCGCACUGCCAAGCCCUUUCACUUGACAUGUCUGUGAUCAUGCAUGGACUCCUCCAUGCUUGGCCCCAUGGCCACCCUUUUUGAAGGCAGCACCUUCAAGUAGGGUAUUUAUUCCCCUGACUUGUUAAUCUCAUCUAGCAAGUCAUCUGGCCACCGUAACAUGGUUCAUGCAUAAGCGUGAAAGUCCUUAACCAUCGAUUUUCAUCAAAGCCCUCUCUUUGAACACUCGGGAACUACUUCCCCAACCUUGAUGCCCUCGCCUCAUGGCAAGCUUCAAAACCACGCUUCUGCUGCGCCACUCCAAUUUCGCGCGCUCUAAGAACCUUUUACACUUGCCUUUCUAGGUACUUAUCUACCUAGAAUUGUCUUCAGGAACCUUCAAGGAACUUUGUUCCUUAGCUUGCUAAGGCUUAUCUUUUUUUGCAAGCUCCCUAAUCACCAUAUGGUUUAAUUUGGAUAAUUCCACAUUUUAAACUCUCCAUGGCAUCGCGUUCGUUAAUAACAACCCGCUCGAGCACCCACUUGAUUCUCCACUCCCAACUCGUAUAACCACCCUUGGUUAUGCCCUUUGAUUUCUAUGGUUCGGUUCCAUCCCUUUACUACUUUGCUUUUUGGCCUCAUAUAUUUCCUUCAGUUAUUCUCCUCUAGACUAGGAGGAUAGCUUGGCACUUUCUACUAUUCCUUAGCAAGUAUUCAUAAGGAUGAACGUACCUGAUAGCUUAGGGAGUAGUUCCUCAAUCCAGGUAUGCUCACCUUGUAAUCCCAUACACCAGGAUUACAUUGCUACUCAUGGGCCUUUAUAUGCCCAUCAUUAGCCUUGCCAAAAUCCCUUUUUGGCUUUGUCAAAUUCGGGUAGAGAGAUUUUUCCCGUCUCUGCAAUCUUAGACAUUUGGAUAGCACCUUCUAUCUAUCAUUUGCUAGGGACUUUGUCCCUUGGGCCUUAUUCAUUGCCCUCAUGACACAAACACCAUCUCUUGGUGUUCUAGAGUGCUUAGGUGUCCUAAUGAUGACCUUUUUGACAAUGAGCAUUCCUUUUACGACAUUGAUUUACUAUAUCGUAACAUAAGCAAUUUAUCCCCCAUAAGGGUAUAUCCAACUUCUUUAUCCCAAUAAAAAUCUUAGGUAGUUAUCUUCUACCAAAUUAACCAAUUAUUUUGCACCUUUUGCUUAGUUACCUCAUAGUUGUCAAGUCCUACAACACAUUGCUAGUGCUUCCACACUUCCAUCAUUAUUUGGGUCACCACACUCUAAUCACCUGCCUUCUAGCUUAGGCUAAAUGUGGCAAGGCGUGUUUCUUUGAGGUUAAGUUGGCGAGUUUAUGAAAAACCCUUCCAAAUGAAUCUAAUGGAAAUGGGAAUGGCAUAGGUGUUUCCACACCAUCGGCUCCACAAACCUACCUCUAUGACACUUCUUACUUGUGUCUAGGUUUUUGCCAAGACGAAUAUAAUGGUCUCUUAUGCCAACUAUCCAUUAGCAUUACACUAUAAGAUUUAUGCACAACUUUGUGUCAAAGUUGUUUUCUUCGAGAAACUCUUUCCCACGAUUUUAGCAUGGCAUAUUCUGCCAUCAAUGAGAUACCCAUUAUUCUCAUGCUUGGAUCUUAAUAUCCUCCCCAUUCCUCGUGGGGUACAACACACUUUAGUCCAAAUACUUCCAUCAAUCCCUUAGGAUUAUUCCUCGACUCUACUUGAGUCAUCCCGCUUUUUGGACUUUGCUAAUCAAACGACCGUGUGGUCCUACUUUUGAGGUGCUAGCUCACUGAAAUACAACUUCAUGUAUUCAUGUCCUACUCACAAGGACCGUCUUUGCAAGUGUUACUCUAACACUUGAUUUUGUUAUCUGGGGCCAACUUUUGCCCCUUAUGACUACUUGUUUAUGUGAUGAGAAUAUCAACUCAUCCUCUAAGUGCACCCCCAACUCCUUGGGUUGUUCCUGCAUUUAUUAAAGAUAGCCCCGCUACCAUUUCAAGGACUUGUGUCCUCUUCCGUAUUUGACAUCUCGUGGUCAUUACUUCUAGUCUCACAUUCAUGAGCACCAACCUCAACUAUAUGAGGAUAAUCUUGUCACUCCUUUAUUGCUUUGGAGUCUUUAUCUUUCCCGUGAUCCUAACUGUAGUUGUUUACCACAACUACAUUAGCUGGUUUUCUAAGUCAAACGCUCAUCUAGAUCCCAUCCUCAACUCUCUGAGGAAACCUUUAUACUGUUCCCAAGAUCCCAUAGUCGUUCCAUUAUUGCCCCUUUUAUGUCCACUACAUCACCCCAAGUUCACAUAUGAACUUGAGUGGAGAGCUAUGUCCUCUCGACAUGCUACUCCUCAAGGAUAGGCCCACUCCUAAGACCUUCUGAUGCCAACAUCAAUAGUGAUAUACUUGAGCACCAAUAAAAGUCGAACUAAGGAACAGCUCCGAUACCAAGUUGUAAGCAACUAAUUUUUCUAUUCUACUUUAGUCACUUAACCAUACCUCCGACCACUUGGAGGAGUCUCAUUCACAACCUCCAUAAGUCCAAUUUAGGACUUGGGGCUUGCUUGCCCCGAAAAUGGCAUCCAUGCCACUCAACCUUUGCACUUGGUCCAAGUGCUCCACGUGUCCGAUCCCAUGAUCGACACCCCAAGGUACCACCAACAUGUCAGCCUGUUAUGUUAGGCCAUGCCCAUUCACAUUGGUCACAUCGGUGGUCCAACACCACAUGCAUUGCAAUCCCGUCUUUCCAAGAUGGGGCCAUCCGUCCAUGUGUGGUCAUCUCAUAUUCACUCCUUAGCAUCCUUAGAAUGCCCGCAGACAUGGGGAAUAGCCUUCCCCAAUAUCUUCUUUCUGGUCCUCACCAAGUCCUUUUCUGUCCAUGGCCGUGCUCACCAACACGGCCAUUGGAUCAAGGCCCACAGGCUUGACCACUAAGUCCCAUGGUCCUCUAGGACUUCCUCACCGUGUGACUGGGUCCUUGUUCACCACACCAGAGGGCUACUCCUCUUCCUUUCCACAGUCUGGGACUUUGGGACAACAUUUCGGAACACCGUGGCCUUACGCGGGCCUCAUAGGUACUCUCCCCGCCUUCCGCCUUUGGGUGCUCUAGCCACGGGCUUAGAGCGAGGUUUCAUUGAGCCACGCCAGGUAUCCAAGUAGGUAGUGCCACCCACACUUGGACUGGGAGCAUCGGCCAUUCAAUCUCCCGGGGGAACUAAAGCCGGCUCUUGAACACUUCACCAAGUUACCCCGCUUGUUAGUCUGUAUUCACUCUAGUUUUGAACUUCCUAGUGGUUAUCCCAUCACCCAACACCUGGGUACAGCCUUCUUGGGACAAACUGGCCUUUCCUGGCCAAACUGGCUCGAGUCCUCCCCCUUACUAUACUUUUGGAGCUCACCAACCCCCCAAGGUCUGGGAGACGAACGCUUUGGGCUUUCACCCUCUCAGACUCAAACUCGGACUUGGACUCGGACUCAGACUCGGACUCAGACUCAGACUCAGACUUGGACUCGAGCUCGGUCUCGGCCUCAGCCUCGGUCUCGGUCUCAAUCCCGAUCUCGGUCUCGGUCUCGGUCUCGGUCCCGGUCUCGGUCUUGACCUCGGACUCCAUCUUGGGUCCUUCUCGAACUCCAUCUCGGAUUCCAUCUCAGUCCAUCUCGGACUCCAUCUCGAACUCCAUCUCGGUCCAUCUCGGACUCCAUCUCAAACUCCAUCUCGGACUCCAUCUUGGGUCCAUCUCGGACUCCAACUCAAGUCCAUCUCGGGUCCAUCUCGGACUCCAUCUCGGGUCCAUCUCGGGUCCAUCUCGAACUCCAUCUCGGACUCCAUCUUGAUUCCAUCUUGAACUCCAUCUCGAGUCCAUCUUGGGUCCAUCUCGGACUCAUCCACAUGUCACGUGGUGGUCUUUUUGGGUCCCUUUUUGGAGCCUCGCUUAUUGCUCGCUUCAUACUCGUUCCUCGAGCCCUUCAUUGGGAGUUCCACUCCCACUCUCGACCUUUCAAGUCGGAGCUUUUGGUCCAAAUGUGUUACACUCGUUUGGCUUUCGCUUCGGCCACUACCACGUGGCACCCUUCCGGCUCCACUUUGGGGCCUAGGGAUUUUGUGUCUCACACCCUCCCACAUGUUUUUGAUGAGCUUGUUGUUCUGGCAUCUGUGGAUUUUUUAGACAAGGAUUCUGUGCUGUCGGCAGUUGUUGUACUCGACGUUCAGUGUCUGUAAGGUGCAGAGCAGGAUCUACCUUCUCUUGAUGAGGUUCACGAAGCUCAAAAACUUGAGCCAUGGAUACGAAGGCUUUGAGAUGGGUUUGAGAAUUCUACAUCCCUUGCUGAUGACUUGCCAUUUUGGCAUUUACAUUCUCAGUAUCGCUUUGAAGAUGGCCUUAUUUAUUUUGUGGGGACAGAUCCUAAUGAUCAUUUACGGAUGGUGGUGCCUUCUGUCUUUAUUCUGAGGUUUUUCCAUUCCUACCACAAUUCUCCUAUUCUAGGUGGGCAUAUAGGACAUCAUCGUGUAUCAUAGAAGCUACGUAGGUCUUUUUAUUGGCCAGAGAUACGACAUGAUAUUAUCAAGUAUGUGGAUAGUUGUGUUUGGUGCCAAGGUCGUAAUACUCCCUCUCGUGCUGCAGAAGGACAGUUGGAGUCAAUUGUAAUUUCCCGUCCGUUUGAGUUGGUGGCAUUUGAUCUUAUGAGACUUUUUCCACGGUUGAUUGCUAGCAAUGAGUAUGUUAUUAUUGCUUCUAACUACUUGACUCGUUGGGUGGAAAUUGGUGUUCUUGCUAGCGCCUCUACAACUGCUAUUGGAUACUUCCUCCUCAAUCGACUGGUGUUCCAGCAUUCUUGUCCAGAGCGGAUUCUUUCAGAUAAUAGUCCCGCAUUUAUGGUUGAGGCAUUUCAUGUUUUGACGUCUCAGUUGGGGAUACACCACACUUUCACGAGUGCUUAUCAUCCACAAUUAGACAGUCUAGUGGAAUGGCUUGUUCGGACAUUCAAACGAAUGAUUGCAAAGUAUGUGAACUUUCAACAUUCAGAUUGGGAUGGUUAUUUGCCGUCUCUUCGGUAUGCAUAUGUCACAUGGGUGCAGAGUUCUGUUGAUGCUUCACCAUAUAAAUUCCUAUAUAGUCAUGAUCUAAUAUUACCAACGGACAUGGGUUUACCUUCGCAAUUGCCACGAGCUGCUGAUACUAAGUUAUAGGAUCAGUAUUUGACAAGAAUUCUUCCACUUGUCCGAGCAAAAUUUGCCAAACACUUAGGCGACGUACAAGUGGGACAAUAAUGGCGUUACAACUCCCAUCAUUGUCCACUUGCAAAAUACAAAGUGGAUGAGUUGGUGUUAGUCCAUUUUCCCCAUCUUACAGUACGUGGGUUAUCUAAGGGGCUCCUUGCGCAGUGGAAAGGACCGUAUCAGGUGUUGCGGCAAGUUGGACCACAAGUUUAUGAAGUUCGGCAUGACAUCUAGCAAGUUGAUCCUCCAGAGAUUGUGCAUGUGCAGCAGUUGAAACACUUCAUACAAAGGGAUCAUAAACAAUUAAUACCACCUACAGAUCUGCCAAUGCCUCCUCUUAAUGUUCCUUCAGAUUCAGGCCCAUUUAUAAGAGAACCCUGAUGGUCUUCCAUUAUUCCGAAAGGAGGGGAUGAUGUGAGGGCCAAAUGUAUGGCUACGAUGUCAUAUACUAAUAUUAGUAUAGUGGGAUUUUGCUAACCAUCAGAUUGGUUUCAAUCCGGACCACUUGUUUCUAUAUAUAAGCUAGGGUUUUUGGGCUAAUUAAGAGGCACAUUUUCUGUAUUCCCUUUCUAUAUUCCAAUCACUUACAUAUAUACUUUUUUGGAGGGUCUAACUAUUACUAAUGAUAAUAUUAUUAUUAACUUUAAAUUUUGAUAAUUCAAGAAACAAAAAUUAUAAGCUAUAGUUUUAUUAAAUAAGAUAAUUGAAUAUUUAUUUUCAAAUUUUCUAUAGUAUAUAUAGUUCUUAUUUUAUAAAUGCAAACAAGAAUGAAUUUGAAAAUUUUAUUACUAUAUUAAUCUAUAUUAAUAAUUAAUAUAUGACUUCACAAAGCAAAAAUGAAUAGAAAAAAAAAUUUAAAAACACAGAAAUAAAUUAAAUUUUUACUAUUUAACUAAUUUAAUUUAAUUAUAAUGUGAAAUUUGUUAUUUAAAUAUUUUCUAAUAUGGGAUAAUAAUAAUUCCUUAUCUAUGUAAAUGUUUAGGCUGUUGCCUUCUGUAUAAGAUGUGUAUUGUUUUUUAUGUUAAAAUUAAAAUUAAAAUUAAAAUUAAAAUCGCUCCAUGAAAUACAAUUAUACUUUAAAUUUUCAAAAAAUGUGGGAGUUGCAUUUUUUUCCAAAUAUAUGUCUAUAUCUUCUGUAUGAUAGGCAAUUUAUUUUCUAGCUAAGUAACAUACUCAAAUAAAUUCCUUCUAAGAUAUUCAGAGGCAACUAGAACUCAUUAAAAUUACCCAACUCAAAGGUAAUAGCAAUUCACUUUGUAUUUAUUGCUUCUUUACCAUGAUAGUGGUUAUGGCAACACUACUGAGAUCAUAGUGCAACAAUAGCAAGAUGAACUUAAUUGCAUUGCCCAUGACAUGAAAGACCUUGGAGAUCCCCACAUAUGGAUAGGCUUGACUAGAAGGACAAGAAAAAUCCAAUUGCUUUAAUGCUUAAACCAUUAGCACUGGACCACCAACCACAAGAAAGAUAAUUAUUGAUUUGGUUGAUGUGAGAAACUCUUUAUGACAGCUUAGCUUUAGGAUGGAUCCAUGAAUGCUUGGUAUAUUAUAACCACCAAUCAGUGUUUAACUCUUUAAAUUAAAUAUGACUUGGCCAUCUAUCUUUGCAUCUGAGCCUUAAGCUAAGAAUCUUUGAUUCAAUCCUAACUAAACUAAAUCUUAGCCGGACAUUGCUAAAUUUAUAGUAUGCCAUAAUAUCUUUUCAUUUAUAGAAAUUAUUUAACACCCCCUUUUUCUUAAUUUAAAGAAGCAAGACAAUAGUUUUGUAAUUCAGCUGUUUAGCAAGUGGCUAACCAUCUGCAAAAAUAUGGAAGUUGGAAGGUGCACAACCAGAUAUAUUCACAUAGCCAAUUAAAAAGGAAAGGAAAGGGGUAGAGUAGAAGAGUCCUUUUAUCAAAUAUGAUCACUUAUUGCAAAAUUUUGAUUAAUUUCUUUUGUGAUUUAAUUAAAUAUAAUAUGUUCAAUUAAUAAACGUUUGAGAUAAUUUUAUUUAAAAAACUAACCUUUUAAUGCAAAUUAAAACCAUUAGAAUAUUUUAAAUUAUAUUAAAAUCCUAUUUAAUAAUAAUCAACUCUUUUGAAGGAAGAGAUGAGUGACAGGCUUAAGCUGGUGGAAGAAGAUUCUUACUGAAACUCAGAGCGAAGAACGCUUGGAUCACAUACACAUUAUGCCAUUCUUACUCAAGGGCCAUGGGGGCCGGAUCGCUGUCACGAUCCCCCGCAAAAGAAUUCGCCACUCUUUGGAGUAUAGCAGUGAGAGAACAGUUUGGAGUUUGUUCGCUACAAGGAUUUGCUGCUGGAGCCUCCGGCCGAGAUGACCAUGAAGCUCUACCUCGAGUUCUUCCCAAAUUUUAACACCGCCCAGCGAUGGUACACCAUGCCACAGAUCCAAAAUUCAGCGCCGACCUUUGUGGAAACCGUGGCCCAAGCUGAUCUGGUCCUCCCACGCCCUGGAAGGCAUUGUGGUGAGAGCUCUUCAGUUAUGUGGAAUCAACAUCGUUCCAGUGGGUUCUCUCCAUCUAAACAUCUCCACCGGGAACGAUCCAGACGAUCCAAACUAGGUAAUUCCAUGGCUGGACAAACAGGAGUCUCGAUCGGUUCUCUACAUUAUUAACCGGACUUGAGGGCGUACCGCGCGGUACCGCCGAAUUUCUUCGGCACUAGCUCGAGCUGCUCCGGGCGUACCACCCAUAGAAAAGCGAUGUUCUUAGUAGAUUCCAGAGCCAGCUGCUGGGACUGGAGCGAUGGUUCCAAAACGCAGGUGGCAUGAAUACCGCGGGCUGCUAACCGACUGGGCACACCCUUGGGCACCGUGCCGUGCGGCAUUGUGGAUGGAAUUCGAUCUUGGAGAGCGUCAGUGUUGGCAAUCCUGUGAUGUCGAUGCCGCGAAUCCGUGCUUGACGAGGAUCUUGGACGAGGAGUGGGGGAUUUCGGUAAGAUUGGGUAAACACCGAGCAAGGCCAAUUUGGAGGCUGCGCUCAUGUUUAAAAGGUGGGAUGAGCUUGGAAAGAAAGCCAGCGAUCUUGGAGAACUCAUGGAAGAAGGAGGAUCUUCUCGAUCCGGCAUCGAUUAGUCAAAGGUACGCUAGUUCAAAGUGUAAUCCAGUGACCUUCGUCAGCUUCCUGUGCUCUUGUGCAGCCAUGGGGCUAUAGAGAUGUUCGCGUCGAUGCAAGGGGAUCACGGCGUGGAUCCAAUCGCGGAGCACUACGGCUGCGUGGUGCGGUGUGGGCAUCUGCUGAGGCGCUCGUGAUUGCCAUGGAGCCCAGUGUCGAGCAGUGAACGAGCUUGCUCAAUGCGUGCACACUCCACUUGGAUCCAGCGCAAGUCACCUAAAGUGUGUCAUAGGAUAAGGGGGCGAUGGCUGUAGCUUCAUCAAAGCCGUGCCCGAAUAUCGCAUGGAAGAGUUCGAUCGUGUCGCCCGGCAGCCCGGGAUCUGCUGGCGCAAGAUCAUAGUCAGCGUUCUUUUAAUUAGAGCUCCAAGAGCUCCAAAGAUCAUCCACACAGGUAACCUUAGCAAGGCGGCAGCUUUGGAUGGAUCAGGUGAGCCUAAGGCAUGGCUGAGUUCGUGGCGAGCAUGACGACGUUCAAGAACAGGGUGAACUCGAGCUUCAAGCCCAGGACGAGGCCACCUCGAGCUCGAUCACUCGAGAGCCAUUCAGUAAAUGGAUUGCUCCGAGACGCUCGAGUGCGAACUUAAGGAGCUCGAGAGGCGAUCUCGAGGACAUGAGUAGCGAGGUCCUAGGUAGAGUGAGGUGCCUGGGAGUGCCGAUUCUCGGUCACCGAGGCGGCGUCUCGAGCUCGAGAGAACAAGUUGAGGAACUGGAGAUCCAUACGAGGGAGGAACUCUAACUCAGCGACGACCUUGUAGCAAUUUGGCACUCAAGAGGAGGAGAAAGCAAUUUGGUGCUGCAUCGACCUGACAACUAUCACAUAUGGCAUGAGAGAUUCUUCGCCAGACAAUGUUUGCGCUAUAAACUGGUCCUCUCCAGACGUUUGAGAGCGUACAUCUGCCUGUUUUGUGAUUGCCUCACAAACACCUCACAAAUCAAUCGGCACGGAAAACCAAGCCCAGCGGCUUUGAAAAUCCUAGGAACUGAUGCUAGGAGUGCGGCUGGAGCGGACAACUCUUUGGUUACGUCAGUAGCUACAAAAGGCUGCCAAGAAAACCAUCGUGAAAAAAUUAAAAUGGUGCAGCUGGAAUAGCCUAGACAAACAAAAGCACUCUAGACUAGCAUCACCAAAUGGUGUUGUAGUUAUCUGUCUGAACAAGUCCACCUAACUAGACCUAGCCAUCAACUGCAGCAGUGACCAUUUCUCACUUUACACGUGAGUCAUACGUCGAAGCAUCUUGCAAAAAUCUUGCUUUCGACAUCCGGAUCUGGAAAAUGGGAAGCAGAUAUUUGCAAGAUGCAUCGAUAGUUUGUAUAUGGAACCGGUGCUGCCUUCUAUUCAGCUUUGGUUUGACAUGGUGCCAUGAUUUGUCCUUAAAUGAAGGUGAUUUUCCUGAAGGAGCUGUGAGCUAGAGUGAUUUUCAUAUUGUGACAGCAAUGCUCUAACGCACACCAAGAAGAUCACUCUAGCUCACAAUGACUCCUUCAAGAAAAUCACCUUCAUCGCACGGACAAAUCAUGGCAUCAUGUCAAGCUGGAUCGAAGGUAUCACUUGUUUAAUAUGCAAACUAUCAUGCAGCUUGUGUUUGUAGCCGAUAAAGACUGCUGCGUCGCUACUAUUUUUCUACAUGAACUCAUGUAUAUGUCAUAGGAUGGUGAUUUUUGUCUUCUGUCCAGCUGGUUGAAUUAUUGCUAUUUGGUUCUUGUUUCGCUUUCAGUCCGGAAAUCAGCAAGAGAAACGUGGGAUCCGGCAUAUCUCAAUUGUUCGAAUCUUUGCGAGUAUAUAACCAAGUGCGCUUGCCUCUCCAAAAGCAUCCUCUGUUUCGCUAUGGCUCAGUCUAUCAAGUUUGCUCCUCUCAUUGCGCUGCUCCUUUGCAUUGCUGUCACUGCUGAAGUGCUUGAUCUUCCAGGCGAGUUUUUCUUUGUCGAUGGAGCAGCCAGCCGACCGUCUGGAUGCAGGCCCAACUCGCAGUGCUGCCCAAACAGCAAAUUCUGUCCCAAGGGCAAAUACUGCACCGUUUGCACGAAGAGCUAUCCGCCUUCGUGCUUUUGCACGAAGGCCCCUCCAAACUGCGGAGUAGGCAGUAGCUGCUGCAGUGACGGGGACUGCCCAAAGGGAAGAGAAUGCAGCGUAUGCACUAGAUCGAUCCCACCUAUUUGUCGCUGUGGCGCUAAGCGUAAGCUCGUUCUUGUUUCCGAAUGAAGCACGCUAUCAAGUGUGUGAUGGUCAACCCUGUUGACUGUGUAAUAAAAGAUCUUCCAUAAUGAUAAUGUGUGGCUAUGUUUAUAGAUGUCAAUGGAGCAGGUUAUAGAUUUUGAGCUUCGGAUAGAUUGCUUUCUGCUAGUUUUCUCUCUGUCGACCUUUGGAAGGGAUGGAACAAAGGGUUGAGCUCUUAAAGUUAACACAGUCAAUCAUUGUCAAUAAAUGGCUUGAAAGUUGGACUACUAUUCUAGGAAACACUCUUCAAAAUGCUUCCAAGACUUCCCAUUUCCAAGGCUUCCCAUUGGUUGGAUACCAGAUCAUUCCAUGGGUUGAUCCAUGUUUCUUUUCAAUUGCACUUUGUUUGCUCAUAUCUUAUAUCUUACUUGUAUAUGGAUGCUCUCAACAAACAAUCUGAAUGGUUUAAAUCUAUACAUAUAAAGCGAUAGUGGGGAGGUUCGCCGGCCGUUGGAUCCCAGGCCCAGGCCAAGGUCAGUAGCCAUGGUUGCGAGAAAUUUUUCUGGUGUUUGCUCUCGGCCAAUAGGAGGUGGCCAAGCUGUGUGGGGUGGGAGAAGAAGGCACAGCGACAUGUGUCACAUGCAAGUGUCUUUCCUAUCAUCAUCCAAACUUUUUUUGUUGAGAUCUUUUAAAUUUUCCUGCAGAAAUCGCCCCGUCGCUCCUGAUGUGGAGCGCUGUGGCUUUAGGGAAAGGGCAAGAGAGCGAUGCACUCGAGUAAAUGGCCAGUGAAGCUGUGGCUCCCGGAUCUCCCAGACAGAGAUCUUCCACUCAGAGAUCUCCUGCUCAAUCGCCACAGCAAUCCCCGCAGAAAUAGGCACCAGCAGCAGAUCCAGAGCUACAGUCUCGCCACCGUCACUCCCGGCAUGAAGGAUCUCCACCCCUGCUUUAGGGAAAGGGCAUAGCUCUAGAGGAGAGCGAGUAAAUGGCCAGUGAAGCUGUGGCUCCCAGUCCCCGCGCUUGGCCCUCCCGAGCCCCCAGUGGCAGCAGCUGCGCCUCCACCAGCAACAACAGAGGUGUUGAGAAGAAUGCCAUGGAGGACGUUUUCUCUGGACGAGGGGGGUGGUGCGAUGACACUUGGUGGUUUUCAGCCUCCAAAAGACAUGGUUUUUACGUUGUCUGAUAGGUAUUCUUUCAUUCUUUCUGACUUUGUUAGAGUUGAGAUGCAUUAGUUUUCCUAUCAUCCCAGUUUUUUUCUUCUGGUUGCGGCCAGGCAUGGUUGGCGGGAAAUUUUUCUAAUGUUAGCCUAGGAGACCACCACAGCUCCGGUGCUCAUUGGCUCUGAGCGAGGCAAGACAGGCAUCGAACAUAUGUCACCAGUGGUGUCCUGCCCCUGUGCCCGGUCUUUUUAGCUCGCCCUAGAUGCCCUGCUGCAAUCGAGUUAACGCUUGCUUGCCGGAUCAGUGGCAAUCGCAGCAAUUGCACUUCUUCUUGCUGAGAUCUAUGUUCAGCAUCAGGCCAGCGGCUACUAAUUUGGCCCCCAACCACAACAAUCUAAAUUUUUUUGUGUUUUUGGGUUUGUGGAUGCCAAGCAGUAGAGCUGGAGCCAGAGCUAGCCUUCAACGCAACCAGAACCAUUAGAAAGUUUGCAGUCCUUAUUCUUCUGCAAGAGAGAACAAGCCCAAGGUGAGUUCUCGAACUUGCAAACCCCACCCACCUCUCAUGGCUCAAGUGUCAUUGUAUUCUAAAAAGCAUAGGAGGCUUUUUGAGUGCUCACCACACCUUGGCCUAUGUCUAGGUUUUGUUGCUUACUAAAUUAGUGUUAAUCAAACAGCAAACAUAGGUAAACUCAGCAAACCUCUUGAAAUGGCAUGAAAUUUGCCAGCCACCCAGCAUUUGUUGGGUAAUUGUUAGUAAGUAUAUAUAGCUGGACUGGCUAAAAAAGAAUAGUCAUUUAGACAACAAUUAAUGCAAUCAUACUUCAAACACCUAGAUAUCAUUCUUAGCUCAUGGUCCCACAUUUUUCAUGUUGACUUGGCAAGCAUGCAAAGAGUUGAGAUGGCACGCAUGCAAAUAUAUCUGUAUAGAGUAGCUAUCUAGCUCUCUAGUGAAAUCCCAAUGAAUUAAUUAUAACUUUGUAUACAGCUCUCAAAUAUUCAAACCAACCAUAUAACCAUAAUUUUGAACCAAAAUAAAAGACUUUAAGAGCUAUUAUAUGUGAGACACAAAAUCCCUAAGCCCCAAAGUGGAGCUGGAACGGUGCCAUGUGGUGGUGGCCAAAGUCAAAACCAAACGAGCGUAACACAUUUGGACUAAAAGCUCCAACUUGAAAAGGUCGAAAGUGGGAGUGGAACUCCCAACGAAGUGCUCAAGGAAUGAGCACAAAGCGAGCAAUAAACAAGGCUCCAAAAAGGGACCCAAAAGGACCAACAUAUGAUACGUGGAAGUGUCCAAGAUAGACCCGAGAUGGACCCGAGUUGGAGUCCAAAGUGGAGUCUGAAGUGGAGUCCGAGAAGGACCCAAGAUGGAUCCGAGAUUGAGUCCGAGACGGACCCGAGAUGGAGUCCGAGAUGGACCCGAGAUGGAGUCCGAGAUGGACCCGAGAUGGAGUCCGAGAUGGAGUCUGAGAUGGAGUUCGAGAUGGACCCGAGAUGGAGUCCGAGAUGGAGUCCGAGAUGGACUCGAGAUCUAGUCCGAGAUGGACCUGAGAUGGAGUCCGAGAUGGACCCAAGAUGGAGUCCGAGAUGGAGUCCGAGAUGGACCCGAGAUGGAGUCCGAAGUCGAGACCGAGACCGGGACCAAGACCAGGACUGAGACCGGGACCGAGACCGAGACCAAGAUCGGGACCGAGCCCGAGCCCGAGUCCGAGUCCGAGUCCGAGUCCAAGUCCGAGUCCGAGUCCGAGUCUGAGUUCGAGUCUGAGAGGGUGAAAGCCCAAAGCGUUCGUCUCCCAAACCCUGGGGGGUUUGGUGAGCUCCAAAAGUAUAGUUGGGGGUUGGAGCCCAGUGGAGCCAGUUGGGCCAGGAAAGGCCAGUUUGGCCCAGGAAAGGCCAGUUUGGCCCAGGAAGGCCAGACCCAGUGUUGGGUGAUGAGCUGACCACUGGGAAGUCCAAGACUAGAGUGAACACGGACCGACAAGCGGGGUAACUUGGUGAAGUGUUCAAGAGCCGGCUCUAGUUCCCCCGAGAGAUCAAUUGGCCGAUGCUCCCAAUCCAAGUGUGGGUGGCACUACCUACUUGGAUACCAGGCAUGGCUCAACGGAACCUCGCUCUAAGCCCAUGGCUAGAGCACCCAGAGGCGGAAGGCGGGGAGAGUACCCAGGUGGCUCGCGUAAGGCCAUGGUGUUCCGAAAUGUUGUCCCAAAGGCCCAAACUGUGGAAAGGAAGAGGAGUAGUCCUCUGGGGUACUGACCAAGGACACAGUCGUGUGGUGAGGAAGUCCCAGAGGACCGUGGGACUUAGUGGUUAGGCAUGUGGGCCUCGAUCCAGUGGCAGUUUUGGCAAACACGGCCAAGGGCAGAAAGGGACUUAGUGGGGACUGACAGAGGGAUAUUGGGGAAGGCUAUUCCCCUUGUCGGUGGGCAUCCUAAGGAUGCUAAGGAGUGGAUCUGAGAUGACCACUCAUGGAUGGUUUGCCUAGUCUUGGAGAGCCAAAACUGUGAUGCAAGUGGUAUUGGACUACCAGUGUGGCAAAGGUGAUUGGGUAUGGCCUUAGCGUAACAGGCUGCCAUGUCGGUGGUACCUUUGAGUGUCAGUCAUGGGAUCGGACACGUGGAGCACUUGGACCAAGUGCAAAUGUUGAGUGGCAUGGAUGCCAUUCUUGGGGCUAGCAAGUCCCAAGUCCUGAAUUGGACUUAUGGAGGUUGUGAAUGAGACUCCUCCAAGUGGUCGGUGGUGUGGCUAAGUGAUUAAAGUAGAAUGGAAAAAUUAGUCGCUUACAACUUGGUAUCGGAGCUGUUCCUUAGUCCGACUUUUAUUGGUGCUCAAGUAUAUCACCACUGGUGUUUGCAUCGGAAGGUCCGAAGAGUGGGCCUAUCCUUGAGGAGUAGCAGGUCGAGAAGACAUGGCUCUCCAUUAUAGUUCAUGUGUGAACUCGUAGGUGAGGUGGUGGAUAGAAAAGGGCCAAUAAUAGAACGACUUUGGGAUCUUGGGAACAAUAUAAGGGUUUCCUCAGAGAGCUAAGGAUGUGAUCCAGAUGAGUGUUUGACGCAGCAAAUGAGCUAAUGUAGUUGUGGUAAACAACUAUAGUUGGGAUCACGGGAAAGAUGCAGACUCCAAAACAAUAAAGGAGUCACAAGAUUACCUUAAUAUGGUUGAGGCUGGUACUCAUAAAUUUGAGACCGGAAUUGUUGACCGUGGGAGGUCAAAUACGGAAGAGGACACAAGUCCUUGAAAUGGUAGCCAGGGCUAGCUCUAAUAAAUGCUGGAACAACCCAAGGAGUUGGGGGUGUACUCAGAGGAUGAGUUGGUAUUCUCAUCAUAUGGACAAGUGGUCCUAAGGGGCAAAAGGUUGCCCCAAGAGAACAAAUCAAGUGUCGGAGUAACACUUGCAAAGAUGGUCCUUGUGAGCAGGACUUGAAUACAAGAAGUUGUAUUCUAACGAGUUGGCACCUUGAAGACUAAGACCUCGUAGGUCGUUAGAUUAGCAAAGUCUAAAAUGCUGGAUGACUUAAGUGGAGUCAGGGAAUGGCCCUAAGGGAUUGGUUGAAACAUUUGGAUUGAGGUGUAUGGUGCCCCAUGAGGUAUGGGGAGGAUCAUAAGAUCCAAGGAUGAGAAUAAUAGGUAUCUCAUUGAUGGCAGAAUGUGCCAUGCUAAAGUCGUGGGAAAGAUGUUCCCAAAAGAAAGCAACUUUGGCCCAGAGUUGGGUGCAAACACUAUGGUGCAAUGCUAAUGGAUAAUUAGCAUAAGAGACAACCAUAUUAGUCUUGGCAAAAAGACCUAGACACAAGUAAAAAGUGUCAUAAAGGUAAGCUCGUGGAACCGAUGGUGUGGAAACACCGAAGGUGCCAAGGCGUGCUGCCUUGAGGUUAAGUUGGCGGGUUCAUGAGAACCCCGUCCAAAGGAAUCCCAAUGGAAAUGGGAAUGGCAUAGCCUAAGCUAGAAGGCAUGCGGUUAAAGUGUGGUGACUCAGAUAAUGAUGGAGGUGUGGAAGCACCAGCAAUAAGUUGUAGGACUUGACAACUAUGAGGAAACUAAACAAAACGUGCAAAAUAAUUCGUUAAACUGGUAGAAGGUAACUACCUAAGACUUUUAUUGGGAUACAGGAGUUAGAUAUACCCUUAUAAGGGAUAAAUUGCUUAUGUUGUGACAUAGUAAGUCAAUGUCGAAAAGAAAAUGCUCAUUGUGAGAGAGGCCAUCAUUGGGACACCCAAACACUCUAGAACACCAGAAAGGGGCAUUUGGUGUCAUGAGGGCAAUGGAUAAUGCCCAAGGGACAAAGUCCCUAGCGAAUGAAGGAUAGGAGGUGCUAUCCAAAUGUCCAAGGUUGUGGAGAUGGGAGGAGUUCGUCUACCCAAAUUAGACAAAGCCAAAAACAGGAUUUUGGCAAGGUUAGUGAUGGGCAUAUAAAGGUCCAUAAGUAGCAACAGUGAUCCCAAUGUGUGGGAUUACAAGGUGAGCAAACCCGGAUUGAAAAACCACUCCCUAGGCUAUCGGGUAGGUUCAUCCUUAUGAAUACUUGCCAAAGCAUGGUAGAAAGUGCAAAGUUAUCUUCCUAGUCUGGAGGAGAAUAACCGAAGGAAAUGUAUGAGGCCAAAAGGCAAAUAGUAUAGAGAUAGAACCGAACCAUAGGAAUUGACAAGCAUGACCAAGGGUGGUUAUGCAAGUUGGGAGUGGAGAAUCAAAUGGGUGCUCAAGCAUGUUGUUACUAGCGACUGGGAUGCCAUGGAGAGUCUAAAGCAUGGGAUUGUCCAUGUUAAACUAUAUGGUAAUUGGAAAGCUUGCGAAAGGAGAGGUCUUAGCAAGCUAAGGAACAGAGUUCCUUGAACGUUCCCCUAGGUAGAUAAGUACCUAGUCAGCCAAGUAUAAAUGGUUCAUAGAAUGCGCGAAAUCAGAGUGGCACAACAGAAGCGUGGUCUUGAAGCUUGCCAUGAGGCGAGGCUAUCAAGGUUGGGGAAGUAGUUCCCAAGUGUUCAAAGAGAAGGCUUUGAACGAAAGUCAAUGGUUAAGGACUUUCACGCUUAUGCAUGAACCAUGUUACGGUGGCCGAAUGACUUGCUAAGUGAGAUUGGCAAGUUGGGGGGAAUGAAUACCCUAGUUGAAGGAGCCAACUUCAAAGGGGUGGCCCAGGGGGCCAAGCAUGGAGGAGUCCAUACAUGAUCACAGACAUGUCAAGUGAGAGGACUUGGCAGUGCGGAGGAACUAGGUUCCUAAGCUGUGAUUUGUAGCGCGCUUUAAAUAAAAGUUGGUGCACCAGCGUGGGGAGUCACGCCAGGCAUCCUGGGUGAUGCCAUCCGUAGAUGCAUAUACGGAGGUUGGGUUCAAGUCCCGACCCUCUAGUGCUUGGGUUCGAGUCCCAACUCACUAGGGCAUGGUGAUGGUUUGGAAUAUGAGGACACUCAUAUUUCGGUGGUCAUAGACUCUCAGUGGGGAGACUGGUUUGGGCACACUGCUAAGCGAGGGAUGCCUCGGAGUCGUGAUGCACGGUUAGAUUGCUUAGUGUGAAAGCUCGACAUAUCUAACUUGAACAUUUUGGUGCAAGUGGCACCAAGGACGUGGUGAGUGAGAUGGGGACACCUAAUCUCAGUUGCUAUGAACCCUUGGCCGUAAGGGCUGGCUUGGGUGCACCGCUAAGUAUGGGGGAUGCCCUCGGGGUUAUGGUCAACAAUUUGAAGGUCUAGAAGACCAAAUACCUCUUGGCAACUCUGUUAAGGUGCUAAGGUGAGAUCACUAGGUUCUAGGUGAUCUUAUUGCCAAAUAAAGACAAGGUCCUUGGUUGGCUAAAGAAUGAAGUUCCUGGUUCAAAAUGUUGAAUUGAACUGUUUAAGAUGGUGUGGCUUGGUCAUGAUGAUCAAGUGGGAAGAGCACCUAAGGGAAAUAAACUAUGUCCAUGCGAUGGCAUAGUGAGUCCGAGGAAAGUAGUCUCUAUAAGAGACCCAUGGGAGGGUCACGAAGUUGGGCCGUGGAUAAAACCCAUAGCAGAAGAUGCUAAAGAGACGUACUAGGGGUGAACAUCCUUCGGACUUAGCAAAGAAGAGUCUUUACUAUAGAACCGAAGGGAUACAUCAAAAAUGGAGGUAGCAAUCCUAUGUUGCUGGGUGCAACAAUCAAGGAUAGGAGCAAAGGACUAAUGGCCAAGUUUGGGCCAUGGAAUUUAAUGGAAGGGAUCCAAAUAGCAAAGUUAGCCAAGGAACACUAAUGUGUUUGAUGCUAACGGCUUGUGGAAAGGAAGUGGACUUCCAAGGAUGGAUUCUUAAGUGUUCCAAUUUGGCGAAGUAAAAGCUCCAAGUGAGGGAGCGGCAAAGCAGCCAAAAGAUAGGGCCGUGGACAGCCCUAGCACAAAUUAUGAUAACCGAAACUUAGUGCCAAAGGUGGCACGAAAUCGAAGAGAGGAUGAUGUUGCCCUCGAGUAGAGGACUUCCUAGGAUGGGGAAGUGGAGUUGCACAAUAUGUGCAAUGCAAGGUGUCAAAGACACCCAGGAAAUUAACUUCAAGAAGUCAGAAUUAAAAGUUCUAAAGUGCAAGGGUUAUAUCGGUGGAAAUUGAGACUACUCGAGAAUGAGUAGUGGGAUUGAGUUAAAGAAGGUGUCUUUAACAUGUUUUGCAAAAACUCAACCAAUAAAAGGAGAAGACCACCACAAGUGGUCGAAUGAGCCUCUAAGUUGGAGAGGCUAUGCUCCUUAGGGGAUGGACAAGGAAUGGUGAGCCUUUGGUGUCAAACCAUAGACAAAUAUUGGCUGGGUACCAAGGAUGGAAAUGGUAACACGUGCGGGUGUUACUUUAUGAAAGGGUUUACUGUUCAAUGAGGACAUCGAACUUCGUCUAUAGGUGGUGGAGUUGUGAGACACAAAAUCCCUAGGCCCCAAAGUGGAGCUGGAACGGUGCCAUGUGGUGGUGGCCGAAGUCAAAACCAAACGAGCGUAACACAUUUGGACUAAAAGCUCCGACUUGAAAAGGUCGAGAGUGGGAGUGGAACUCCCAACGAAGUGCUCAAGGAAUGAGCACAAAGCGAGCAAUAAACAAGGCUCCAAAAAGGGACCCAAAAGGACCAACACAUGACACGUGGAAGUGUCCAAGAUAGACCCAAGAUGGACCCGAGUUGGAGUUCAAAGUGGAGUCCGAAGUGGAGUCCAAGAAGGACCCCGAGGUGGAGUCCGAGGUGGACCCAACAUGGAUCCGAGAUUGAAUCCGAGACGGACCCGAGAUGGAGUCUGAGAUGGACCCGAGAUGGAGUCCGAGAUGGAGUCUGAGAUGGAGUCCGAAAUGGACUCGAGAUGGAGUCCGAGAUGGAGUCCGAGAUGGACUCGAGAUCUAGUCUGAGAUGGAGUCCGAGAUGGACCCGAGAUGGAGUCCGAGAUGGACCCAAGAUGGAGUCCGAGAUGGACCCGAGAUGGAGUCCAAAGUCGAGACCGAGACCGGGACCAAGACCGGGACCGGGACCGGGACUGAGACCGAGACCAAGAUUGGGACCGAGCCUGAGCCCGAGCCCGAGUCCGAGUCCGAGUCCGAGUCCAAGUCCGAGUCCGAGUCUGAGUUCGAGUCUGAGAGGGUGAAAGCCCAAAACGUUCGUCUCCCAGACCCUGGGGGGUUUGGUGAGCUCCAAAAGUAUAGUUGGGGGUUGGAGCCCAGUGGAGCCAGUUGGGCCAGGAAAGGCCAGUUGGGCCAAGAAAGGCCAGUUUGGCCCAGGAAGGCCAAACCCAGUGUUGGGUGAUAAGCUGACCACUGGGAAGUCCAAGACUAGAGUGAACACGGACCAACAAGCGGGGUAACUUGGUGAAGUGUUCAAGAGCCGGCUUUAGUUCCCCCGGGAGAUCGACUGGCCGAUGCUCCCAGUCCAAGUGUGGGUGGCACUACCUACUUGGAUACCAGGCGUGGCUCAACGGAACCUCGCUCUAAGCCCAUGGCUAGAGCACCCAGAGGCAGAAGGCGGGGAGAGUACCCAGGUGGCUCGCAUAAGGCCACGGUGUUCCGAAAUGUUGUCCCAAAGGCCCAGACUGUGGAAAGGAAGAGGAAUAGUCCUCUGGGGUACUGACCAAAGACACAGUCGUGUGGUGAGGAAGUCCUAGAGGACCGUGGGACUUAGUGGUCAGGCCUGUGGGCCUCGAUCCAGUGGCAGUUUUGGCAAACACGGCCAAGGGCAGAAAGGGACUUAGUGGGGACUGACAGAGGGAUAUUGGGGAAGGCUAUUCCCCUUGUCGGUGGGCAUCCUAAGGAUGCUAAGGAGUGGAUCUGAGAUGACCACUCAUGGAUGGUUUGCCUAGUCUUGGAGAGCCAAGACUGUGAUGCAAGUGGUAUUGGAGUACCAGUAUGGCAAAGGUGAUUGGGCAUGGCCUUAGCGUAACAGGCUGCCAUGUCGGUGGUACCUUUGAGUGUCGGUCAUGGGAUCGGACAUGUGGAGCACUUGGACCAAGUGCAAAUGUUGAGUGGCAUGGAUGCCAUUCUCGGGGCUAGCAAGUCCCAAGUCCUGAAUUGGACUUAUGGAGGUUGUGAAUGAGGCUCCUCCAAGUGGUCGGUGGUAUGGGUAAGUGACUAAAGUAGAAUGGAAAAAUUAGUCGCGUACAUUAUAGUCAGUAAAGUACCAUUAUAACAAACAAUACAUCAUGUCUCUAAAUCUAUUUAUUAAUGAUCCUCUAUCACUAACUCAAACUUAAGACUAUUACUAUUGCACUUUCCCCUUAGUCAAUAUUUGAGACUUGUGUUAACUUAGACUCAUAACCAUUAUCCUCAUCCAACAUUGCACAUGGGCAGUUAGAUUCACUCCAUUUGUUCCUCUUUAUCCCCUCCUUGAAAGAAAAAGAAGUUCUGAAACAUUAAUUUUGUUUGGACUUGUUAUGCUCAUCCUCACUCUACUAUUUAUGUUCAACCUCACUCCACUAUUGCAUCUGUUCAACUUUAUUAUGUUUGUUUGGACUCACUAUGAUCGUCUUCACUCCACAAUCCAUGUCGUUCAUUUUUGCUUCAUUACCAUAUUCACUCAUCCUCACUCCAUCGUUAGGGUUGACUGUCCUCUCUACCCCCUCUUCUGAAGAAAAAAAAAUUUGAAGUGUCAGGGCAGAAAUUGCAAAAUAAAAAAAAGUGGAUAAAAAAGCAUUAGAAGAGGAAUUUAUAGCAAUUGGCAAUGCAAAAAUGGGAAAAUUAAAAGAAGGACAUGUGCUUAAAGCUUGGAAAAUAAAAGAUUUCCUAUCAUAAAAUAUAAUCACCAUAAUAUAAGCAAAAAAUUCACCCCACUCAACCUUUUCAACACAAAAUUCAACACUUAAGACAGGAAAAUUAAUAACAAUAUUCACACUCUUAAGGGAAUACAUAAACUCUUUAGUAGUAACAAUAAAACAAAAACUCUUAACAACACUCAUAAAUAGGGAUAUGCAUUCAAUUUGAAACUCUAACUAAAGUGAUUCAACCCUUAGAAUAAAAAAAUACUAAACACCAGAACUAAUCAAAGACUCUACCAAUAAAAAAAAAGCAAGAUUUUCAACUUUAUGCAUACACUCAAUAUUUAGAUUAGUAUGAGGAUGACAAAAAACACUCAAUGCAACAGUAGAUUAAAAAUGAGAAUUAUCAAAGUCAUAAAUGAUUGACAUGCCAAGAGAAGAAAACACUGAAGAAAUAUUACAAACAUGAGAAUGUAAAUUAAAUGGCAGAUUUAAAAAUUGACACUUACUCUAUGAAAUCUUCAAUUCAUUUCCAAAAUUAUCUCCAUAAUAAUUAAAUUCUUCAUCACAAUCCAAAAUCCUUGUAAACAUCAUUUUCUCAUAAACUCAAUCUUCAAACAACUCAACUACAUCAUCCAUAACUUGCUAAUUGAUGUCACAAUCAUGCUCUACAAUAAAAGAUGGCAAAACACCAAGAACAUGACAAAUGACCUUCGUCAGCUUCCUGUGCUCUUGUGCAGCAAUGGGACUAUAGAGAUGUUUGCGUCGAUGCAAGGGGAUCACAGCAUGGAUCCAAUCCCAGAGCACUAUGGCUGGGUGGUGUGGUGUGGGCAUCUGCUGAGGCGCUCGUGAUUGCCAUGGAGCCCAGUGUCGAGCAGUGGACGAGCUUGCUCAAUGCGUGCACACUCCACUUGGAUCCAGCGCAAGUCACCUAAAGUGUGUCAUAGGAUAAGGGGGCGAUGGCUGUAGCUUCAUCAAAGCCGUGCCCGAAUAUCGCAUGGAAGAGUUCGAUCGUGUCGCCCGGCAGCCCGGGAUCUGCUGGCGCAAGAUCAUAGUCAGCGUUCUUUUAAUUAGAGCUCCAAGAGCUCCAAAGAUCAUCCACACAGGUAACCUUAGCAAGGCGGCAGCUUUGGAUGGAUCAGGUGAUCCUAAGGCAUGGCUGAGUUCGUGGCGAGCAUGACGACGUUCAAGAAGAGGGUGAACUCGAGCUUCAAGCCCAGGACGAGGCCACCUCGAGCUCGAUCACUCGAGAGCCAUUCAGUAAAUGGAUUGCUCCGAGACGCUCGAGUGCGAACUUAAGGAGCUCGAGAGGCGAUCUCGAGGACAUGAGUAGCGAGGUCCUAGGUAGAGUGAGGUGCCUGGGAGUGCCGAUUCUCGGUCACCGAGGCGGCGUCUCGAGCUUGAGAGAACAAGUUGAGGAACUGGAGAUCCAUACGAGGGAGGAACUCUAACUCAGCGACGACCUUGUAGCAAUUUGGCACUCAAGAGGAGGAGAAAGCAAUUUGGUGCUGCAUCGACCUGACAACUAUCACAUAUGGCAUGAGAGAUUCUUCGCCAGACAAUGUUUGCGCUAUAAACUGGUCCUCUCCAGACGUUUGAGAGCGUACAUCUGCCUGUUUUGUGAUUGCCUCACAAACACCUCACAAAUCAAUCGGCACGGAAAACCAAGCCCAGCGGCUUUGAAAAUCCUAGGAACUGAUGCUAGGAGUGCGGCUGGAGCGGACAACUCUUUGGUUACGUCAGUAGCUACAAAAGGCUGCCAAGAAAACCAUCGUGAAAAAAUUAAAAUGGUGCAGCUGGAAUAGCCUAGACAAACAAAAGCACUCUAGACUAGCAUCACCAAAUGGUGUUGUAGUUAUCUGUCUGAACAAGUCCACCUAACUAGACCUAGCCAUCAACUGCAGCAGUGACCAUUUCUCACUUUACACGUGAGUCAUACGUCGAAGCAUUUUGCAAAAAUCUGCUUUCGAGAUCCGGAUCUGGAAAAUGGGAAGCAGAUAUUUGCAAGAUGCAUCGAUAGUUUGUAUAUGGAACCGGUGCUGCCUUCUAUUCAGCUUUGGUUUGACAUGGUGCCAUGAUUUGUCCUUAAAUGAUUUUCCUGAAGGAGCUGUGAGCUAGAGUAAUUUUCAUAUUGUGACAACAAUGCUCUAAUGCACACCAAGAAGAUCACUCUAGCUCACAAUGACUCCAAGAAAAUCACCUUCAUCGCACGGACAAAUCAUGACAUCAUGUCAAGCUGGAUUGAAGGUAUCACUUGUUUAAUAUGCAAACUAUCAUGCAGCUUGUGUUUGUAGCUGAUAAAGACUGCUGCGUCGCUACUAUUUAUCUACAUGGACUAAUGUAUAUGUCAUAGGAUGCUGAUUUUGUCUUCGUACAUGCUGCCCAGCUGGUUGAUUUCUUGCUAUUUGAUUCUUGUUUCGCUUUCGUUGGAGCAGUCCGGAAAUCAGCAAGAGAAACGUGGGAUCCGGCAUAUCUCAAUUGUUCGAAUCUUUGCGAGUAUAUAACCAAGUGCGCUUGCCUCUCCAAAAGCAUCCUCUGUUUCGCUAUGGCUCAGUCUAUCAAGUUUGCUCCUCUCAUUGCGCUGCUCCUUUGCAUUGCUGUCACUGCUGAAGUGCUUGAUCUUCCAGGCGAUUUUUUCUUUGUCGAUGGAGCAGCCAGCCGACCGUCUGAAUGCAGGCCCAACUCGCAGUGCUGCCCAAACAGCAAAUUCUGUCCCAAGGGCAAAUACUGCACCGUUUGCACGAGGAGCAAUCCGCCUUCGUGCUUUUGCACGAAGGCCCCUCCAAACUGCGGAGUAGGCAGUAGCUGCUGCAGUGACGGGGACUGCCCAAAGGGAAAAGAAUGCAGCGUAUGCACUAAAUCGUUCCCACCUAUUUGUCGCUGUGGCCCUAAGCCUAAGCUCGUUCUUGUUUCCGAGUGAAGCAGGCUAUCAAGUGUGUGAUGGUCAACCCUGUUGACUGUGUAAUAAAAGAUCUUCCAUAAUGAUAAUGUGUGGCUAUGUUUAUAGUUGUCAAUGGAGCAGGUUAUAGAUUUUGAGCUUCGGAUAGAUUGCUUUCUGCUAGUUUUCUAUCUGUCUUCCUUCGGAAGGGAUGGAACAAAGGGUUGAGCUCUUAAAGUUAACACAGUCAAUCAUUGUCAAUAAAUGGCUUGAAAGUUGGACUACUAUUCUAGGAAACACUCUUCAAAAUGCUUCCAAGACUUCCCAUUUCCAAGGCUUCCCAUUGGUUGGAGACCAGAUCAUUCCAUCGGUUGAUCCAUGUUUCUUUUCAAUCGCACUUUGUUUGCUCAUAUCUUAUAUCUUACUUGUAUAUGGAUGCUCUCAACAAACAAUCUCAAUGGUUUAAAUAAGUAGAUAUAGCUGGACUAGCUAAAAAAGAAUAGUCAUUUAGACAACCAUUAAUGCAAUCAUACUUCAAACACCUAGAUAUCAUUCUUAGGUCAUGGUCCCACACUUUUCAUGCUGACUUGGCAGGCAUGCAGAGAGUUGAGGUGGCACGCAUGCAAAUAUAUCCAAAUAUAUGUAAAAGGUAGCUAUCUAGCUCUCUAGUACACGUCAUGUCUGCUCUUUUACACUGACCUGGCAUGCAUGCAGAGAUGUUGAGUUGGCACACAUGCAUUCACCUCCUAAAUCCCAAUUACGCACCAUGCAUUCGUAUAUAAAGCUCUUUCUCUCUCUUGUUGUUCCCUUCUGAAGUUAUUAGCCAGAUUUUAUAGGAAAAUUUAUUUCUUUAAAACUUUAUAAACGUCCAUUGUAUAUCUUAACUUUAAUGGCUUUCAAAAAGUGUUUUACUCUUUAUAGGAGGGUGACUUUUUAUUGAACUUUUCCAUAGAAUGAAAUAAAAAACUUUCAUAAUGAAAGGUAAUGUUAUAAGUUUUGAAUCAUAAAAUCAUAGAGAUAAACAGUUAAAUAUAAUGUAGUUAAAGUGUUUGCUAUAUAUUGCUUGAUUGUAUUUUAUAUUUUGAAAUUUAGUAGACUCUCAAAAUGAUAGGUAGAUUUCAAACAAACCUUUCAAAAGAAAAAAAAAAAGAUUACCUUUCAAAGUUGAGGCAUAGUACAUUGCAUUAUUAGAAAUUUUAUAUGUAAACUAAAUUCAUGUUCAAUAAAAUAAAAGAUCAAUGAGAUGCUCAUAAAACUUUAAAAGUUAAGUUUUGAUUAAAAUUUAUUAACUUUGAAAUUAUUAAGAACUACCUCUAGAUUGAUAAAUAAUUAUAAAAGUAGUUGUGCAUUAAUUUCUUAAACCUACGGUGACAUCCUCUGAAAUGAAAAUAUAAGAGAUGUAUUUCUCAAAGCUGGAUGUGUUAUUUGAUAAUAGAAUGUGGUUAAUCCCUUAAUUGAAUAAAUUAGUAAAUAUAACUACAGUAGAAGAAUUUUCACUAGUUUCUCCAAUGCUAGUAAGUAUUAUUCACUAUGGAAUCUUUUCGUACAACUGGUCUGUGAAGCAGUCUCCAAAGGCGUAGCUGCCACUGAGUUCUCGCAAUUUAGCGCUGCUCGCAGGCCUCUCUAAACUCAAAAUGAGGGAGAUCACAACCCAUGAGCAAGAACACUAAAUGGCCUACCUGAUGGAUACUUGAUGUAAUCAGCAUUGUCAUGCCUACUUGGAGAGAAAUUCAGUAGAUCAUAGUUCCCAGCGAUCUCCUGACGCUUUGCAUUGCUGUGAAGCUUCUCUGCGGCAAAAACAGGACACUUCUUGUUAGCAAAAGAGCGAGAAAACGAGGUGAGAACUCGAGAUACCUGAUCGUCUGAUGUCAGGAGUGAGAGGACGAACUAAACGCUGGGCUGUAGCUUCGUUCUUCUCGGUGGUGCUGCUGUUGUCAUCGUUGCUCAUCAUCUUGUCAGUGCCGUCGUUGUUCUCCUUGUUGUUGGAGCCACGGUUGUAAAAGUCAUGCGUCCCGCUCAGCUCCUUUACUUUAGCCUCGCGUAAGUGCUUAUCUGCAUACACGUCUGUAAGUAACUGAUAAGAGGGAGCCGACAAAACGGAGAACUUAACCGAAAAAAUCUUUUUUCCACCUGGGAUCUUGUUUAAACCUUCAGGGGUCGCGUUCUCGUCGUGUUGAACAGGAUUGCUUCCCCUCAGCUGCUUAAUCCUAGCAACAACAUCUGCAGCAUCACCAGAGUGAGUACCAAGCGAGAAACCCAUGCGCCCCAAAGAAGAAUCCAUCCAGCUGUGUAUGUAUGCACAAAGAGGCUGGAGUUAACACAAUGGGAUUCAAAUAAUGUCCCUGCAGGCCAAACGCGUGAGUGAUUCCUCUCAAAAGGCGAAGGACACAAGUAAAAAGAAGAUAAAAACCGAAAAAAAACCCCCGCAGCUAACCGAGUACAAUGGUGCUUGGUCCACCUGGUGGCUUCCUGAUACGGUUGCUGACACUCUGCUGCGAUGGCGGAGGCUUCUCCUCGGAGAAAAUGUCACUCCCGAUCAUUUCUCUUCGCUUAGCGUCGCUGAGAGACUUCUCCACAUGAGUUCCAUAGCCACCUUUCUUGAAGAUGUCGUUUCCAGUCAUCUCUGCUGCCUUUUGGUUGUGUGUCCGCUGGCCUUGGGAAGAGUACUGCAUCCCCCAACACCCCAACACAGGUAAAGAAUAAACUGGCAAGCUUCAUGGUUCUCGUUAGUUCUUCGCAUUUUUUUAAGAGCUUCGAGAGCGGCAUACCUCGGAUGUUGGUGGUCCAAAGAUAUUGCUUCCGCACAUUUCUUUUGCCUUGGCAUUAGACAUUGGACGUCGAGGUUGCUCCUCAAAUGUCUCCUGGGUUCCACUGAGCUCGCGUUGCUUAGCCACCUCUGCGUGGCUGCUAGCUUUCUUUUGGAAGCUGUUGUCACCUUCUCCAAAAGAAAUUUGGCUCCCUCCACUCGGCUGAGAAAGAACGAGAAGUUACGUCAAACUUUGGCUUACCAGAAUGAUCUAAAUGAUGCAGCUAAUGCUUCACAAAAACUCCAAGGUCCUGUCAAAUGGCAAGAGCGGCAACUCAGUCGUAAAAAUGUAAGAUAUUCCAAUGCUUUAGCUAGAACAAAAAAAAACUCACAUGUUUCAGCGACUAAUCGACGAAGUGAUCCGAAAUGCGCGAGAGAAUGCUUUGUCUUGCGAGAGCUACAAACUGGAGUUUUCAAGCAAGAAUGCGGCAUCCCACCUGGAGAAUCCGGAUGGCCGAGCGCGAAACGGGCGGAUCCGUGCAGCUCUGGUCAUUAGCCGCCGCGAAUCCCUUGCUAUCGUUGGUCGCCGAAAAGCGCACGGGCGUGGCUCGGUCCGACGACGCGUCCGCGCCAUCCGACCAGCUUAGGAGAUCAGACUUGCCCUGGCUGCCGCGCUUCUCGAUCGCAGACAUCGCUCACCGGAGCUGGAAGAUCACAUCCCCAAAACCCUUGCCGGGCGCGAAGAAAGACCAGCAAAGAAAUGAGAGAGGGCAAAACCUAAUGCCCAAAGCUUUCAAACCAACUGCAUGCGCGCAAAGGGAUAUUCUCGGCCGGAUCAGCAUAUUCUCUAGAAUAAUCAUUCCGUACGAGAGUUUUAUACACGAGGUUUUACUUCUCAAGCGUAGCACCUGUUUCCAUUGCUCGAUUUAGUCUUCAGCCCGGGAACUUCUCCAUCGUCCUCCACGGGGACCUUGGCAAACAAAAGAAAAAUAAGAUCUUGCGUAAGUUUCCAGUGUUUUCUGUCCGAGAUCCAGCAGGGAAAAAAAUUCAUAGACGAGAAAACGAUCUUCUAUAACGAAAUCUGGAUGAUGUAAAGCACUGGAAAACACAAGAAUCUAGAAAGAAAAAGGAGAAGUUUAGAGAGAACCUUGUAAUCCGGGCCUAUAACUCUGUGAUGCGAUGUUUCGGCGACAGAACCCGUGGAAAGAUUGUGAAGCCGCGGGUAUGGGAUCUUGUAGUGCCAAGCGAUCUCAUACCGGGUCUCCCCUUCAAAUAUCUGCAAGAGACAAAUAUUUCAUGGCCGAAUGGAUCAGAGCAAACUGGGGAACACAAACACCUUCUCGUUGAUCAGCUUGGAAUCAGACAAAUGCUGGUUCUUCCGGAAGAGCUGCACGGCCUCGUCCUGGAGAGAAAGAUAAGGAGAGAGAGAGAGAGAAUUUGAGCGAGAAGAAAGAACACCACAAUCUCCUACCUUGAUGUAUUGCUUCUCGUUCUCCGGACCCGGCCAUGUCCGAGAUGAUCGCAGUAACGAUCGGUAGAGCGCCAGCGCCCUCGCCCUCGUUCCCAUUUCCACACAGAAGAAAUUAGGGCUUUACAUUAUCCAGAUUCGCUGCUAUUGUAAGAAUAUUCUCCGGUCAAUCCGGAGUAAGUAAUCCUCGGCUUGCUUGAGAGCUCCGAGUGAGACUUGGUGUGAUCGCCAUCGAUAUGAUUAUCUUGCCAGAACUAUCGAGUGAUCGACGACUUCACAACCAGCUCAAGUCUAGAGGUGAGAGCAAAAAGAACUCCAGUGAAAGUACCUCUUCUGGAUCAACGUAGAAACCCGGAUGGGAAUGCGAAUUCCCACAAAGUCGAGCGAGCUUGUCACUUCCUCCACACGGCCAACACAUCGUCAGUCCGGAACCGCUGAGUGCACGUCGAUUCCUCCAGUGGAGUAGUGAUGCCAGCCUCAAACGCCAGGAGCCCAGUAUACGCGAUCAUGGCUCCAUUGUCUAUGCAGUAUCUGUCGUCCGUCGCGAAGAGCUUGCCUCCCCUCUCGUCGCACAUCACCUGCAUCAUGGCUUGCAGCCUCUGGUUGCAUCCAACGCCGCCGACGAUGAGGACGUCUCGCUUGUCACAGUGGGCCAUUGCUCGUUCUGUGAUCUCCACCAGCAUCGCGAACACAGUCUCCUGCUUGGUCUUUCCGAGAUGAGAAAACAGUACGAAGAAAAAAGAGAUUUUUACCUGGAGUGAGAAGCACAAAUCAGCUGGAGUGCACUCCUUGGCUGCCAGCUUCUCGGUCGCAACGCUCUCAAUGUAGCUCAAAAUGCCACUGAAAGAAACGUCCAUUCCUUUCACCACGUAAGGCAGCUCAAUGUACUCGCUCCCCUUCUUCGCGAGCUAUUACGUUGAAGAAACCAUUCAUGAGACGAACAAGGAAAAGAAAAAAUUCCAAGAGCUACCUGUUCGAUGUUAUAACCCGGAGCUGGAUCGUUGGAGAUGUUGAGAACUCUGGCAAAUCGAUCCAGGCAAUUCCCCACAGCGAUAUCAAUCGUCUCUCCAAAAAUCCUGUAGCGCCCUUCGCUGUAAGCUAUCACCUGCGUGUUCCCACCACUGACAUAGAGCACCACUGGAUCGCUGGCGCCAGUUACGACUCUCCCCAUCUCAAUGUGAGCCACGCAGUGAUUGACAGCCACGAUGGGCUUCUUCCACAGCAGCGAUAGAACCCUAAUCACCACUGCCACUGUCUGGAGCGGCGCUCCCAUCCCAGGCCCCUUAGUGUAGCACAGGCAAUCGAUGUCGCCCGGGGCGAGCCCGGCCUCGUCCAGCGCCGCCUUGAUCAGGGGCAAGAUCUGCUGCUGGUGAUGGAUUGCCGUCUCGCGCGGCAGGAAUCCCUCACCUGGUGGAGUGAUGUAGGUGCGCCGCGGAUUGGCGAGGAUUGUCCCAUCGCUCUUGGCAAUGCCGACGCCGAUCUUGUUCGCGGAGCCCUCUAUCCCCAGCGCUAUCUUCAUCGCUCGGGGUUUAGGGCUUUAGGGGAUCCAAAAGCCCUAAUCUGAAUGUUUAAUGGAAUAUCCUCCAUUAUAGGGCGACCUGGCCAUGGCGAUGCAUGGCGAUUCAGUGACGAGGUAUGGCGCUGAGUGGAUCGAUUUGCUGUAGCUGGAUCGAUUACUGUAGCUAGAAAGCGCUAGCGCUUAAAAUCUCCGCUGCAUGCCUGUGGAGCGGCACCAUUUUUCACUCCAGGGCCGUGCUCUGCCGCUUGCGUCGUUGUUUAGCUGGGGAGCGCUGCAAUUUGCGCCCCUUUUCCCUAGCAAUCCUUCGUACCUUGCAUUGAUUUUGCUGCCUUUCGAGUCGCGAUCACUGGAUUGUCUCACUUCCGUUAUGGUGAUUUUAACUUAGUCUUCCUUUCUUUGUUUUUGCGUCCUUGUGUCUCUUCCUGUCUUAUCACUGAGGCUUUGUUUAUUCUUCUCUUCGAGCGGUGAACGCGUGAAGUACUUUGAGCGAUUUUUCUUUGCCUUCGUCUUCUUUCCUCUCUUUGUUUUCUAUCCAUACGAUUGUUUCUAGCCUCCGGCCAACUCCUGCUUGAACAGCGGGAGAUUUUUUAGAACUACACACACGAGAGUUGAGCAACGCGGUAUGGCAGGAUUUUCAAGACGGAUUUUGGCAACAGACACUCCCGUCAUGGUUCAGGUGCUUUACUGGAACUGGAAGAGGGGAAGAGAGCAAGAGAGGAAGAUUUUGCACUUUGAUUCUUUUCUUUUGUGUCCCGACUGUGCGUUGUAACUUUGUUAGCUGUGGAAGCUUGCAGGUUCAAGAGCUUCUUCAAGGAAGAAACGAUGUUGUCUCGCUUGCCCAGGUCUCUUCCACAUUUGUUUGAUCUGAUUACAAAUCAUUCUUCCAGGGAGUUGUCCAUUGGCAGCCUCCACCGCAAGCUCUCGAGAAAGUCAAAGAUCUGAUACAGGACAUUUCUACAAGCCGCUAUGGCCCAGACGAUGGCCUUCCAGAGCUUAGGCUUGCACUUUCCGAGAAGGUUUGUUUCUUUUCUUCUUGCUCUCUCUUUUUCUAACUCACACCUUUCGUUUCUUCGUCCACAGCUUAAGAAGGAAAACAAGCUUUUCAAGUCUUCGGUGAUGGUCACCGCUGGUGCAAACCAGGUGAACUAACGCAAUCUUCCGUUCCAUAGGCAUUUAUUGUUCUAGUGAUUUUUUCUCCCAGGCCUAUGCGAAUUUAGCACUCAGUUUGUGUGAUCCAGGAGAUUCCGUGGUAAUGUUUGCUCCAUAUUACUUCAAUGCGUACACGACAUUCCAGAUGACUGGCAUCUAUGACAUCGUCGUGGUUCCCAGUCAUCCAGACACUUGUCAUCCAGAUCCAGGUACUUCAGCUUCUUUUUCUAAUGAUUCUCUACGAACAUUUACAACAGAAAUGCUGGAGAAAGCUCUUCGUGAGCAUACCCCAAAGCCGAGAAUUGUUAACGUUGUGAAUCCUGGAAAUCCUUCUGGUACUUAUUUACCAGAGGAAACACUCAAGGCAAGAUCACCUCUCUUGCGAUAUUUUCCUGGCUCUAAAUUUCGUUUUUCGACACAGCGAAUAUCGGAGCUGUGCAAGAACGCUGGAGUUUGGCUCGUUGUAGACAACACGUACGAGUAAGUUUUUCCCCUAUUCUUUGCUUUUUCUUUUCCUUAAACUUGCUACUUGAAGGUAUUUCAUGUACGAUGGUCGCAAACACGUUUGCAUCGAAGGUGACCACAUACUAAACGUCUUUUCGUUCUCCAAAGCCUACGGCAUGAUGGGAUGGCGAAUAGGAUAUGUAAGAAUCUCUACAUCAAAACCAUUUUUUCUCUCCUCCUUAUCAUUGCCUUGGUGGUGUUCACAGAUCGCCUAUCCAUCAACAGUGCCCGGCUUUGGCGAGCAGCUGCUCAAAGUCCAAGACAACGUCCCCAUUUGCGCGUCGAUCAUCGGGCAAAAACUUGCUCUGGCCGCUCUAGACGCUGGUCCUCAAUGGGUCCUGGAACGAGUAGCGAGACUAGGCAAGAACAGGGCCAUGGUUUUGGAUGCUCUCUCGUCGCUGGGCCAAGGAGCUGUGAAAGGAGGCGAGGGGGCAAUUUACUUCUGGGCCAAGCUUCCGGAGAAAUUCCCAGACGAUGUAGCAGUCGUGAAAUGGCUGGUUUCCAAGCACAAAGUUAUGGUGGUUCCUGGUAGCGCUAGCGGAGGAAAGGGGUGCAUUCGAAUCUCCUAUGGUGGAUUGGACGAGGGGAGCUGCGAAAUCGCGGCGGCGAGGCUUAAAGCCGGCCUGGAAGAGCUUGUUCUUCGCGGUUGCGUCUAGGCGGGAAAAAGGUUUUAAAUUUGAAUUUGAAUUGAUUUUUAAACUGGCGGGCUAGGGCUAGGGCAAGGGCUUUUGGCGAUGGAGAGUCCAGCAGCGCCUGUGGUGCCGGUGGAGCAGAAGGCCGAGCGCCUUCCACAGGAUGCUGGAAAACUGGUUUUCUCGUUUGGAUUCGAGGUGCGUCGCGAGAAAUUCCGCUGUUCUUGGGAUCGCAGCUGAUUUUUCUUCUCUUUGUCUCGCAGGGAACACGGAGGAACAACAUUUGCUACAUCGAGCCUAGUAUUCUAAUGCACACUUGUGGAAACACCAUUCACUUCCUCGACGUUAGAACCAUGACUGCGACUUAUCUUCCCGUGAGUUUUUGUGGUCCGGUCUUUCUUCCACCUUGUCAUGCUUGGUUUUAUGUUUUCUAGAGUGUUGGAGGUCUUGGGAUUGGAGCAGUAGCGAUCCAUCCAACGAAGAAGUACUUUGCAGUGUGCGAGAAGGGGAUUAAUCCGAAUAUUUAUAUCUAUGACUAUCCGAGCUUAGUAUACACGAAGGUAUGGAGUUCAGUGUCUUUCUGAUUUGAAAUAUAUAAUUUAAGGCAGGUUUUAAAAGAUGGUACCGAGAGGCUCUUCAGCGCUGCCGCGUUUAAACACGAUGGAAAUCAGCUUGCAACAGUUUGUUUAUUCUUUUCAAUCUGAAGUUUUCCAGACAUUUAGAAUCGAUGUUGUUGCAGGUUGGAGGCUAUCCCGACUACUGGUUGACUGUAUGGGAUUGGCACAACGAGACAAUUAUCUUGAGAGCGAAAGCCUUCUCGCAGGAGGUUUUUAAUGUAAGCGUGGUGGAAUUUUUUAACUGAGCGUUGCUUAUUUUGUUAUGUGUUUCUUAAUGCAGGUGUCUUUCUCGAAGUACUUCUCUGGUCAGUUGCUUACCUCUGGCGUUGGACACAUUCGAUUCUGGAAUAUGGCUUCCACUUUUACCGGAAUGAAGCUAGAGGCAAGAUAUGAGGAUAAAGCCUCUACAUAUUGUCUAAUUCGUGCUCGAGUUUACGCAGGGUUUUAUAGGAAAGUUUGGACAAGUACCACUAAGUGAUAUUGCCGGUUAUGUAGAACUUUCCAACGGAAAGGUGUGGCUUAGCAUUUGUAUCCUCGUGUGCUAGAUAAUUCUCUUACUCAGGUCCUCUCCGGAACAGAGGGAGGCGGUAUUAUCGUAUGGGAAGGCGAACUCGUCAAAUGCCAAUUAAAAAGAAAAGGAGGGCUAAGCUGCCAUGAUGGAAUGGUGGAGAUCACAAUUCACGAUACGGGGGUUAAUGAGUUGAUUACGUGCGGAUCUGAUGGAUACAUAAGGUUCUGGGACUUUGGAACGGUAUGUAAAAUUCUUGUAAAGCUGUUGUCUCAUGCGACUGGUUUCUCUGAAGUGGUUGGACGCAGCUGAUGAUGGAGAUGAGAAACUCAUUUGCGAGGUGAAUCCCCUUCGAGAGCUUUUCGUUGAUCCGGAGUGUAAAAUAAAAGGGAUCUUGUUCGAACAAGACCAUUGGAUGAUUCAGGUCGGUAUUUCCGUUUUUUACCCGUCGCGACGACAAAGCUGACAUGAGUUCUACGGAAUGGACAGGAUGAAGGUGGUGCAUUAUGGAGGGUGCAUGUGCCAUCGUUUGAGCUAGAGCAGAUUCUGGAGUUCCAUGCAGGGGCAAUAGUUUCGAUAGCGAGCUCGCCAAACAGUUAUUACAUUGCGACGGCAGGCACAGAUGGCACCGUAAGCGAAAGGGGGUACACUUUGUUGUUACUCAAAGGCGCUCCUCACUUGCAGGUGAGGCUUUAUAACUUCAAGCAGCAGAAACAAAUAUACAAGCGACGGUUUUCAGCACCGUGUACCACAAUGAUCUGGAUGCCACGGACAGUCGAUCCUGAAUGCAAAACCAUUGCUGUAGGAUUUAAGGAUGGAGUGGUGCGUAUGCUGCAACAGUGCAGUACCAGAUGGAGGCUUCUGCAUGCAAUGAAACCUCAUAACGUAAGCAUGGAUAAUAUCAUAUCAUGAAAUGGAUUUUCCUGCAGAUGGAAGUCACAGGACUCAAACUCAGUCCGGAUGGCGAGCUUCUGGCAACUGUAUCAACAGAUGCAACAAUUUUUUUCUUCCAUUGCCUCGAAAAUUACAGGCCAAUUGGGUACGUCUGCAUAUGUUUGGGAAAGUUAUCAAUUUACUAUGUUGGCCUGUAGAUUUUUUAAAUUUGCAGCAGGAGUAGGGUGCUUGGAUUGGUCUCCUAAUGGGGACUACGUGCUAUUGGCGUGUAAAAACUGCGAGAUUCUUGAGGUUGCUCGACCACGUACGUCGACGUACUUUCUUUAAGUGAUCGAUCUGAUCGUAUCUUGUGAUGCAGCAUUACAUCCAGAUACCAAAGUUACGUAUGAGCUAGCAUUGCCGUCGAGAGCUAUUUCGUUUCUUCUCCCAAAGAUAAAAAAACCGAAACCGCCGCCACCUCCACAACAACCAAAACCGGCCAAGGUAUUGAUUGCAAUGCCAUGUUAUUCUUCUUAUUCCUGCUUUCAGCGUUGACUAGACAAGUGAAGGCGAAGGAGGUGAAAAUCCUGAGGGUGCUUCAGCGACCGAGGGCACUCCUCCAGCAGAAAGAGCCUCUGGCGAAGGUCAAGCUGUUGAGGGAAAGGAAGGAGAGGCAGGAGAGGGAGGUGAAGGUGAAGAAGAGGGUGAAGAAGGACCUGAAGGACCUGAAGUAGCCGAAGGCGAGGGGGAUGAAGGUGGAGGACGGGAAACAGAGGAAGGAAAGAAUAAAAAGAAAAAGACAAAGAAGGCUCCCCCGCCGCCAGCAGUUGAAGAAGUCCUACCCGAUGAGUUUUCCUCUUCAUUCCAAGCAGGAGCAUUGUUGUACACAAAAAGUAGCAUGAACACAUUCUACGUAUCGCUAGAGGUGAGCACACUUGUCAACUCGUCAUAUUCUUACAUUUGGAAUUUUUCAUUUCCAGGGGAAGACGGGAUUGCUGUACGAAUCUCAUGCCGACUCUAAAGACGCUCUAGGAUAUGCGCCGUGGAGUCAAGGAACGCUAACUACGCUCGAGUACGUUACUCUUUUCUAGCUCAAUUACGCUUCAACCAUUGUUUAACUGUAGGUACACGCAUUCGAUGGAGUAUGUUGUGUCAGGAACAGCUGAUGGAGUCGUUCGCAUCAAUACUACUCCUCACGCUGGACAAUUGGGUUUAGUACAGCAGCAAAAGUACUGGGAGGUAUCAAUGCGUAACAUACAAGUUUCUCGUUUGACAUUCCUUUACAGGGUAAUGUUCACGAUUGCUACUCGGGUUCCAUUGGCAACUGUGUCAUGAGCUAUGACAAUUUGUAUUUGGUACUUGUUGUUGUUGCAUUCUAUUGAGUAUCUAACCUGACAUUCUCAGGCCAGUGUCGCCCAUGAUGGCAGCUUUUUCCUUUAUGAGAUGUCUUUGGAAACAGGGGCCCCUAGGCAUCCUGAUACAAAAACUAAAGGUUUUAUGUUAAUGGUGAUACAUUCCAGAGGCUGACUUUCACGUUUGUGCUGCAUUUGGCAGAUCUUGAAGAUACUUUGCCAGACGCAUCAGACGUCCCCCCUGGGGUCUAUAGCAUCGAGGAUGACAAACAGAAAACGGAACAAGAAAACAAGCUCAGGACUGCAUUGCAGAAGAAAAAGCUUGUCACUGACAGAUUGGAUAGGAUCCGGCGAGAACUGGAAGAGCUUAUCAGAGUAAACAAAGAAAAGACGCCAACCGAAAUGAUUCCUUUCGAGACUUUUGAGAUAGACUCGAGUUUGAGGGGGUAAGAACUUUCGAGUAUUUUAGUAUUUUAGUCAUGGCUUAUUUUUACAGUAUACUCGAAAACGAGAUCAAGGAGAAAGUAAGAAGUGCUCGCGAAGAAUUGCAAUGGGAGAGUGAAAGGAGCGAGAUUGCACUAUCCAAGCUUCGGGCGUUUCUGCUCGAUCCUCUGGAGGUCUGCGUUGUCCUUGCGUUUAUUCUAAUAGUCAGAAUUUCUAGUGCAGGUCGAGCAUAUUGUUUUGCAUGCAUUCCGAACAGAUGGCCAUGUCUCUAGCUUUCGCACGGAAAAGCUUUCCCCAGAAAUGAAGGUUGGUACCAGGAACAAGAAAAGUAUGUUUCUGUAAUUGUUGCUUCUGCUGAUUAAGAUGAUAGAAGAAGCAAAAGCUAUCACGGAUGACAAAAGCAAAACCCAAGAAAAAGAUGCUGAAGAUGGCAAGGUGUGUAUUCACUCGUCGGCAUUUAUUUGCUUUAAUACUUUUGGUAUGUCUUGUAGGAAGGUGGUGAAAGCGUUGUUUCCGAGCCAGAAGAAGGUGAAGACGACGAUAUCAUCACAAAACAGGAUUUGAGAAGGCUCAAACUUAAGAAAAAGGAGGAUGAGUAUGAAGAUUACCUGAAGACAAAGCCAGAUGAUGUGUGAUUGAUGCUAUCAAAGUUACAAGGAUCUCAUGCAAGUUUCCUUGGUCUUUGUUUAUAGGCUUAUGCCAACCCGGAGGACCUUGAGGCCAUAAGGCAUGCAGAGAACACAAAAGGAGAUUUCAAGCUAAAGACAGACCUGACAUAUGUGCCACCGGUAGAACAAAGAACAAAUGCCGUGAAAAAGAGAAAUGAAAUGGUCUUUUUAUACGAAGCCAUACACGACCGAAAGAUGAGCUUCAACAGUGAGUUUCUCUCUCUCAGAGAAAAAAAGAAGCAGAUAAGAUUCCAGAUAACACAACGAAAUUCAAGGAUUUCAGAGAUCAAUAAUCUGCUCAGGUAUUUUCUUGUGCCGGAAUGGAAACUUACAAUGCUGUUGCUGUUGCUGCUACAGGAUCAAAGAGGAACCUUUAUACAGUCCUCUAACUUUCAAAGAUGAAGCGCCGGAAGAGCGGAACAACAUUACUAAGAAAGUAUGUGUUGUAUCCCUUUCAUGAACGGGCUCAAACAUUCUAUCUGUACAGGAUCUGGACGACUACAUUGAGAGGAAGAGGAAAGCAGAGAUGAAAGUGGAGGUAUUCCUUUUGUCUACACACACUGCUAUGUGGUUCAAGAAAACAAAGUUUUGUGUGUAGGAAAAAGAUAAAGGUGGUGGCUUCGGAGGAUUCGGUGGUGGCCCUGUCAAAAAGGUGGAAAAGAAGGCAGAGAAGGCUGAAAAGGGAGCUGAGAAAGCCGAAGAAAAGAAGGCAGCCGACCCUCAACGAAAAAUGUCUAGGAAAAUGUCAGAAAGAGUUUCAAGGAAAACGAUAAGAGAGGGUGAAAUAGCAUCAACAACAUCAGCGUUGCGUGCUCCUUCGAUCCUGGAGGUAAAAAAUGUUCUGUGUUUUGGUUUUUGAGCUGGUUUUUCUGUGCUGCAGCAAGCUGAACAGGAAGCAUUUAUUGUGAAACUGAAAUAUGAGAAGGCGCUGAAUAAAGAGAGAAUUGAUUUGCUCAUCUCUACAUUUGAUAGUGAUUUGGAGGACUUGAGGAAUCGGAGGUUUACGCUCGACAUAAAAAUCAAGGGUGCUGAACUGAAGAUGCUCAUCCUUUAUCAAGUAAGUUUUUUGUACACGCUUCUGUUCUCUUUCCAAGUGUUUGUCUCGAGUAUUGAUGUUUCAGGAGCUUAGACUUCUUCAAACUCUUCAACCCAAGGAGCAAGCUCUACAAAAUCGCCAUACUGCUAAGCUGCUUGAAGCGGAGGACCUAUUAGUAAGAUCUUUUGUCAAUGAUGCCAGGAUCAGCAAUAAAUUUUUAAAUUUUUUGUGAACAGUCGAAAAUAAGCGACCAAGAAAAAGCUGUGGAGUUGAAAAAGCAAGAGGUGGCUGGAUUGCAAGACAAGAAGCAACAGGUUCGCAGUAAAACUGUUGUUUUGCUAGUUUUGUUAUGGUCUAUGUGCAGCUCUUGGUGGAGUUCGAGCAAAUGAUGGGAGAAAACAAUCCGUUCAGGGACACUCUUUACAAAAUCUACACAAAGAAGAUGAAACGACCGAAGCCAAAAGAACCUGGUGAAGAAUCGGAUUCGGAAGAGGAAUCGGAUUUGGAAGAAGAAGGCUCCGAUGAAGAUUUUGAAGAAGAAGAGGUUUGUAGCGCAUGCAAUGGAACAAAAUAUGGUGAGUUCUUUUUCAGACACCCGAAGUAUGUCCCAGUGGAUGCGAGGAGUCCCUGUAUGCAAGCGUGCUUGCUCUACGUGAAAGACGUCUUGACGUCGACGAAGCCCUCGUGGAGAACGUGAAACUUCUAGACAGUAAGAUCUUUCUUGUGUUUACGUUUCGCUUUGCUAACAUCGGUGUGCCACAGGCAUGCAAAGAGAGAAAGAGACGAAGUUGAAGAAGAAAAAAGGAAUAGACGUUGCUCUCGAGACAAUCAAACGCGAGCUAGGGGAGUUUCAGAAACAGAAGCAGACUGCCUUGAAUCAGAUCGACGUCGCAGUCACACUUUACAUGCAUCAAGUAAGUUAGUAUUCUCCCCUUGUCGUUGAUUUCCAGCUUACUGGCGUGCCACAGGUCGAGUACAUCGAAAAUGCCGCGAUUCCCAAAGACCUGUCCGGUGGCCUCGUCUUUACAAACGCCUCGUUGAAGCAACUGAGAGCGACGAUUGAGAGGCACGUAGCCGAGAAGGCGGCACUGAGGAGAUUGCAAAAGGACCUGCGAAAGGAGUACGCGGCACUGGUCCGUGAACGAAAAGCUGAGGAAGAAAACACUACCGAUACGGAGCAAAGAGUCAUUGACGUGCAAAUGCUCAGAUUUGGACAGGUUUGCCAAGCUUUUCCAAUUUUUUUUCUUUUCCUCGCUGGUGUUUGCUUAUUGGUAUUUCCAGGUGAUUGACCUCUCCGUUGUGGAGCUUAUACGUGUCAGGAGGGACACUUUAGAGCUUAAGGAUAGAGUCAAGCAGCAAGAAGCAGAGUACAGUGCCGAGCUUGGCGAGUUGAGCCGCAAUUUGGACGAUGCCACUGACGAGCUUGCACGUAAGUUCUAGUUUUGUCCAUCUAGCUUGAAUUUCUUUCCUUCUCUUUUCCUGGAACAAACAGGUGCUAUGCGAGAAAACUCAGCCUCGCUGUACACAAUAGCUGAUCUUCAGGAGAAACGCAAUGCCAUUGAAGCGGCAAGUCACAGACAUUUCCCUCUCGCUGCUAAGUUUUUCUCACGGUUGUCUCUCGCAGAGCAUGAAAAUCAAAGCGAGAGCCACAUUCCGAGAUCCGCUGAUCGAAAAGCGUCGAGACGCAGCAGAGCAAGAGCGAUUGCGCCAGGUACUCACAAAUCUAAGAUGAAAAAAAAGAAAAAUACUCACGAAGAAAACUCUCGGCUUGUACAGAUUGUUGUCCGGAACGCUCAAGUCAUGGACAGCCUCGAAGGCCAAUUAAACUACGCCCACGACAACUUCGAAUCAAUCUUCCCAUAGCAAACGAGCUCGGCUUGAUUGUUUGAUUGUCUUUCGAAGGCUUAUACAACAACAAAACGGCUUAUAAGUAGCACACGUAUAUCAACGACUCACCGGGAGAGAAGUUCACUCGUAAAGCUUCUCGGCAAGGCGCGGCGUCGCAACAGCUUGGACAGGAUUCGCCAUGAACGUCACGACACCCGGACGCUCCGUGAGGUCGAUCUUCUCGGGCUUCACUCCCGGCGGUGGUGCCCAGGAGAAUUGGUGGAGGAGCCGAGCAACCAUGAGCUGGACCAUGUUGAGACCGAGCUGAGCUCCCGGGCAGAUCCUCCGGCCAGCGCCGAAAGGUAGGAGCCUGUAGUCGUGGCCUUUGAUAUCAACGUCCUCUUCCAGGAACCGCUCGGGGCGAAACACCGACGCUCGCUUCCACACCUUGGGGUCUCGCCCGAUCGCGUAAACGUUGACGUGAACGAUGGUCCCUUUGGGGAUGUCGUAGCCUCCGAUCUUGACGCGGGUGGUGGCCUUGUGUGGGAGCAUGAGCGGCGUCGUUGGGUGGAGCCGGAGUGCCUCUUUGACGAUGCUCUGGAGGUAUGGCAGCUGCUGGACGUCCACCUCGGUGAUGAUCCGCUCCUUUCCGAUCACUCGGUCCAUCUCCUCGUGAGCUUUCUCCUGGACUUUCGGGUGCUUGAUGAUCUCGGCCAUCGCCCACUCGGCUGAUAUGGCCGUGGUGUCCAUCCCCGCGGUGAUCAUGUCCUGGAAAUACACGAAGAACAGACCGUCAACUUUCGAGCUCCAAGUUCUAGCAAGAAAGAUAUCUCGCAGAAGGAAGUUCUUACCCAGAGGAGGCCGAUCACGGUGGUCUCGCUGAGACCAUACUGGUCCUUGAGAUUGAGCAGCGCGUCCACGAAGUGUUCCUGGCUCGUCCCACUCUUCUUCUUCUCCAGCGCGUGCUCUUCCAUGAUCUCCUUGGUGAGGCUGUCUCUCCUGGCGCCGUGCUUGGCGAAUUCCUCCUCCUGGAGCGGGAACAUCCAGCGGAUGAAGGAGAUGUGCUCCGCCAUGGUGAGCGACGCCCCGAGCUUCAUCCCCUGCGAGAUGAUCGCCUUAAACUCCACGCCCUGCGGCAGCAUCUCUCCAUUCUCGUCCACGAACCUCUUCCCGAAGACGAUCCUCGUGAUGUUGUUGAACGCCACCGCCGAGACGUAGUUCUUCACGGUCACCGCCGCGCCACCAUUGUUCUUCACGUCCUGGAAGAUGGACUUCACCAUAGCGCCCACUUCCUCCUCGCGGAUCCAUCGCAGGGACUCGAGUCUCUUGGGCGUGAAGAGCUCCAGCGUACACAGCUUCCUCACCUUCACGAAUCCAUCACCAUUGUCAGCGAAGAAGGAAGAAGGAAGAAAGAAAUUCUAGAGUUCUCACAACCCUUCUCACCUUGACAUAGUGGUCGCCAUAGUCGGCCCAGAUGAGAUCCUGGCCGUUCCUGGAGAACCUAGCAGCAGCGCGCGUGAGCGGCCGCGAUGCGAGCUCCUUGUCCUUCUCCUUGAGCACCUCCUUGGCGAGCUCGGCAUUGGAAAUUACCACAUUGAGAUUCGUCCCCAUCCACACUGACAUGAUCGGCCCGUGCUUCUCCGCCCAGUCCAUGAAGCAUCGAAAUCUCACCGGCGACACGCGAUGGAGGCUCCCGAUGAUCGGCCAUGGCUUUGGCCCCGGCGGUAGCCGCGGCCUCGAGAGGAGCUUGAAUGUAAGGUAGACCAAGAACAAACCCACGGGAAUCGUCCAAGUCGAGUAGCGAUGGCCGUGAUCCGGCGGCACGAACUCCGUGUAGUGGUGAUGGUGGUGGUGAUACGCUUCCGCCGAGGGAUCCAUAGCCAGAGCUCUGCAGUGAAUCUAAAGCAAAGAGCGCAUAAACCCUAGAAGCUCGAUCUAACGGUCUUAAAAGGCCCACGUGGAUAGCGCUUGGCGUUAGGUGUGGAAUGGAAGGUAAAGGUCUUUUUAUAAAUUUAAAGCCUUGACUUUGGCGGGAAAAGAUAUUUUAGGGCAGCUUCAAUGCGUUGGAGGAGAUCAAGAACGCGGCACGCCGCUCGCGUCCCUUGAUUCUCUUCGCCGUGGAUCUCACAGGCAGCGAGCAGCGUCCUCCAUGCGACGGCGUCUUCUUUUCUUGUAAUCCGAGCGAGCUCCUCCGCUUCGUCGAGCCGCUUCACCCGGCCCAGGGUUUGGAGACGCUCUGGCAGCCGCUCCAGGUGGAAAUUCAUGGCCAUGGAGUCGGGAUCACUGCCGCGCAGUAGCAUCUCGCAAGAUAUUUCGAUAUCUCGCUCGCAGUCCCCGCUCUGCGCAAUCGCGGUGAUCAAGACGUUCCAUGACACGGAGUCCAGCUCUUGCGCCGAAUCGCUGUUCCUGGCGCUGUCGAGCAGGCCAUUGUGCGCGUAAGUGCUCGCCAUCGCAUUCCAGGUGAGAAUAUUUCGCUCUGGAAUCUGUGUGAAGCUCACGAUCGCUUCCUCUAUCAGGCCGUUCUGCCCGCACGCGACGAUCAUCAAGUUCCACGACAAGAGAUCCCUCCCAGGAAUUCUGUGGAUCACGGCUCUGACCUCUUCGAUCUACUGUCCCCGGUGAGCAAACGCCGAGAGCAGCCAGCUCCAAGACGCCAGAUCUCUGUGUCUCAUCGCAUCAAACUGGAGCUUGCCGUCCUCGACCGAUCCAGCUCGAGCAAAGGCUCUGAUUCUCAGAAACCAGGCUCAUCUGACAACGAUCUCGUGGGCGGCAUGGGCAUCGCAUCUCGAGUAGGCGGCAAUCAUCGCGUUCCAGGAUCUGGCGAAAGAAGAUUUUCUGGGUGUUCUUCACAUCGCCGCUCUCGGCAUAGGCCUGGAUCAUCGCGGUGAGCACGACGAGAUCGUGCUGCGGCAUCCUCUCCACAACCUCUCGGGCCAGCAGGCGCGAGUAGGAACUCACCAGCGCGGUCCAGGACACGGCAUCUCGCUGAGGAGCAGCGUCGAAGGUCUGUUUCGAUCGAUCAUCCUGGCUGCUAACCGAGAUCAUCGUGUUCCAGGACACUCGAUCCCACAUUGGCAUCGCCACGAAGAUCUCUCGCGCCUCGUUGCCAUCGCAAUCUCUAGCCGCGAGUAGCAACAGCGCGUUCCAAGAGAAUCCAUGUCUCUUGGGCAUGGCCAAGAACAAGCUCCUCCCCUCGCAAAGAUCCCCCCUCUGGGCAUAUGCCUGGAACAUCAAGUUCCACGUUACUAGGCUCUUACAGCACCAGAGAUUCCGGAAUACGUCCAGCUUGGCAGUACGCCCCAAAUGAUCCUUGUCCACGUGUUGGAAUCUCGCUGUGCAUUUAGAGCACAUUCCAAAUUCCCUGCCUGGGGAUAUGCGUGGAGGACGGUGUUCCAGGCGCAAGGCAUCUUCUCAAAAACUUCCAUGGCAUCCCCAAGAUUCCCAAGAGAUACAAUCUUGGCGGGGCAUAUUCUCCAGGAUUCUGGCAUAUGCCCAUAUGCCGCAACAGUGAUAUUCCGUGAUAUUCGAUAGUGUAGGAGACGUUCCUAGCGCCGUACAGUCUCCCGAGCUUACCGUACAUUUCAACGAGCGCGUUGGAGAGGAAUGUAUUGUCUCUGAGCUCUGGAGUGGAGAAAAUCUCCUCAUGAAUCGCCGAUGGAGAGGAGAAAUCUCUAGAUAUAUAUUUUUUAUUUUAAACAUUUACCUUGUUUACGUGCACGCAGUAAUAUUCCAACAAUAUUCCGACAGCCAGAUAAAUCAUACUUUUACUUGAAUGUCCACUUAGGGUUCUAGAAUAUUUUCAAACAAGAAGUAGAGAGAGAGAGGGACGAUGGAGCGCAAGAUUUCGAUCGCCGACACAAUUCUCAAGGACGAUCCCUCGAAUGCAAAGGCGAUCCUCUCAAAGGCAAACGCGCUCGCUGAGCUUGGAGAGUACCGGCUCGCCCUGGCCACUCUUGAUGAGGCGCCAUCGAUGGACCAGAUCCAAGAACUCCAGGCGGCCGCUCAAGAAUGGGACAGGCAGAGCACAGUCGGACGCUUCGAUCUAUCGGCCUAUAUUCUCAGCGGAUGCCAGGACGAUGUCAAGUUUGGGAAUUUCGUUGGUCCAGGGACGAUCGUGAGCGUGCCGGGCAAGGGUCGCGGCUUCAUUGCCACCGAGGACGUGGAGGCCGGCCAGAUUCUCCUCUGCGAGAACCCCAUCGUCUUCAGGUAUGUAGUUUCGAUCGAUUUUGCACCCGAUCCGGCCAAAGACUGAUUCUUUCUUUCUCCCGCCGAUCCGCGCGGCAGCUAUGGAUCGUUCGACAUGAACCAGCUCAAGGCGUCGCUCCAGGAGGCGGCAAAAUCUCCCAAAUUGAUGACGAAGCUCAUGGCUAUGGAGGGCACCACGAUCCCAGCGAUGGCUAUCUUCACGCCCAACUCAGGUGUGGUGGAUCUUGGCAGCGCCAAGCCGAUCGCACUCCAGCGGCUUAUGAAGAUCGUAGUCGACAAGAUCACCUGGGGACAUCUCUACUGCGCGCGCAACGGGAUGCUUCGUCCACAGGCAUUCUAUGGCCUCUGGCCGGUGCUCGCCUUCGUCAACCAUUCGUGCUCCUACAAUGCCUCGAUCGCCUUGGUUGGCCAGGCAAUGUUCCUCGUCGCCAGCACCAGGAUCCGGCGUGGGGAGGAGAUCGUCUUCUCGUACGUUGAUCCGUGCCAGCCAUACUUCAAUCGCCACAAUGUGCUCGGCUUCCAGUGUAGCUGCCGCCGCUGCUUGCUAGAGCUCCAGCGCCCCGCCAUCACCAAGCUCAAGGCUAAGUUCACACAAGCCUGCCAACACUACGAGUCUGGAGAACGCAGCACUCUUGCGGCCAUGGCCAACGACGCCAAGAAGUUGGCGAGAAAGGAGGGAGAUAAGCUCGCCAAGGCAUGGAUUCGCACCAUCUUCUGGGUGUGCUACCGCGUCAACCUCGGCCAGGAAAAGGCUGCCAUCUCCUUCGAUGAUGCCUGGGAGCUCCACCGGGAAUGCACUCCCGGCCAACUCGGCCAGCUCUCUUUCAUCGUCAAGCGUCAACGCCGCGCCUGUGAGCCGAUCAACAAGUUUGAUGUUCUGAGAGCCUUCUCUCUAGGAUUCCCGAUCGUAGCUGUCGAGGACGAGGCUGUGGCUGCAGCCAUCCUUAACUUAGUUCCCGCAUAACGGUAUGAUUUCAUCUGUUUUACAUUUGUUUCAUACAGCUCUUGACAAUUCUCCCAUUUGUUUCAUACAGCUCUUGACAACUCUCCCAUCUUUAGAACACUACCGCUAAUGGUAUGGUAUGAGUUUUUCUUUUUAUUCUUGUUUCGUUCAGCUCUAACAGUUAUCGCAUUUUUAGGAUGAAAAAAUGUGAGCAGCGUGCUCCUCGGCUAUGAGCAUCGCUUUGCUGAUUCCAUCAACGUUGCUGCCCUGAAACAAUAUGGACAUGUAAACAAGACGAGAAACUAAUACAAGGAAGGAGCUUACUUGUCCCUGAGCAAACAUGGACUUGCCACCACCGUUCCCAUUCAAUGGCUCCAAAGCCUUUCUCAGCCACUCGACAGCACCGACUCCAUUCCCCGCCACGAAACUUGGGACUCCAGCGCAGACCAGCACCUUUCCCGCCACUGAAUCGACACUGAAGAUCAUCGUCGCAACGCUCUGAAAAUUAACACACCGCGGCAAGAAGUCAUGAUUGGUGAUCGAUCGAAAACACAGCCUUACUCUCUCGGUGCCUGCUGCAACACCUUCCCGGAGAGCAGUCGUGUCGAGGCCAACGUCGACUCUUAGAACAGACCAUUUGAGGCCCCGCAAAACUGCCUGACCCACACAGCAAACUGUCGUCUCCAUUGUUCUCUGCAGAUUCAAGUCCAGAGCCACCUUCUUUUGGAGCUUGACACGUUGCUUACAUGUGAAAGAAACAUGCCGAUGAGAUAUCAAAAACUCGAUGCGCGAAAACUCUAGUACCUGGAGCUCGCUAAGUUGCUGCUGCAAAUAGACCUUCCGAACUAGUGGAAUUUGCGAGAAGUUUUUAAGUGCAGCGAGUUCCUGUUUGUUUACAAUCCAAAGACUUUAAUAUGAAUCACAACGCAAAUUCCAACUUGCCUUUUCUAGCUCUGUGAGUUCCAGCGAGUAGGCGUUGGACACACGCGCAGAGAGUUCUUCCGCACGCUGGAUAGCCUCCUUUGCGAGGUUCCCAGUCACCGCAACCAAUCGCCUCGUACCCUUGGCGACUCCCUCUUCCGAGACAAUAGCAAAUGCCUCGGCCUGUCUAGUGUUCGAGAGGUGCGUUCCUGAUAGUCGAAUUUAGCGAGCUUUUUCGUUGCUAAACGAUAUCAACUUACCUCCGCACAGCUCCACUGAAUGGGUCAUGCAAGAUGGAUCAUUAAGUAGCUUGGAGACUGGCUCGCCGAUGGCCACAACCCGAACGGGAUCAGGAUAGAUCUGGCGACAAAAGUUUCUUAUAUAGAGAUGACUUUGAGGAUUCAUAGAUACCUCGCCAACAACAGUCCGGAGUCCCUGUAUCUUUCUUGCCUUCUCAAGGCUUAUUUCGCUCGAAAACACCUCGCAGCCGUCACGCACGAGCACUGACACCAUGUCUUCUAUCUUUUUAAGCUCUUGGAUUUCAAUCCUUUGCCCUGUAAGGGAAACAGUCAAACCAUGAAUAUACAUAGAAAGCACGUAAAACAUAUUUAAAAUGGAUCAGUACCAUGGCUAAAGUCGAACCUCAGCUUGUCAUGGGACACCAAGGAACCUUUCUGCUCGACAUGAUCUCCGAGCACAGCCUGAUUAGCAACACAUCUGCAUCAAAAUCAAGAACAUUGGUUGCGAUACAUACUCUUAAUGCACUGCUCAAAAGAUGAGUGCUUGUAUGAUUUGGUGCUAUCAUCGACCGAAUAGAGUAGUCUACCUGCAAAAUUUCCAUUAGAAAAAGGCAAAAAGAAAGAAAAAAAAAGAAACCUUUGCAAAAACGAUGUCUCCAACAGACAAAGCCCCUCGAGGGACUCCAUAAUGCACAACAUAUCCACCAUAUGAUUGUACAUUGAGCACUUGGAACGAGAAAACACUAGAUUCUAUUGCCCCGACAUCGUAUAUCUGCAAGGCAACAAUGGAAUUUAAAUAUUGAAAGAAAAUUUAUAUAUCACCUGGCCUCCUUGCUCUGCAUAGAAGGUAGUGGACUUAAGUAUCAAACCGACGACUUUGCCAUCGUGGUUUGCUUCAAGGGUUUGUGUCAAGCCAUCGGCAGUAACAAUCGCUGCCACUGUGGUUUGAUGAUCGUCAUAACCUUGGUAUUUACCCCGGUCAUUGGUUGGACUUAUCCCGCACUUUUGAAGCUGGGCUAUCUCCCUAGAUUCCAGUGCGAAGACAUUCCCACGGGCCUGAUCCAUUAAAAUAGUUACAACUUCAGUAAAUCAUGUCAAUAUUACUUGCCUUGGAACGAGCAGUGCGAGCUUUUUGCUUUGCAUUUUCCAAUUCGUGAUGAAAGCCAUGCACGUCCACAUGGAAUCCAUAUUGCUCUUGAGCCAUGAGCUGCAGGCACGUAAACUCAAUAAGUAAUUACUCGAACAAGACGAUUUCGACAAACCUGUGUAAGAUCGAGAGGAAAACCAUAAGUGUCCCAGAGCAAAAAUGCUUCCUGCCCACUAAACAUGCUAUUGUUUACAUCAGCAGCUGCUUUAUGAAAUCGUUCAACACCCUGCCACAUACAAACGAAGAAAAAAAAAAGAUAAACACAUUACAUCCACACUGUCGGCAUUACCUUUGCUAACGUUCUCGAGAAACAAGCUUCUUCCUCUGCAAGAACUCUCUUGACACGAUCACUCGCCGUUCUCAGCUCUGGAUACGCAUCACCCAUAGUUUCUACAACAGCAUCGACCAAGCUGAAACGAAAUAGUUCAAAACACCUCACAGAUUUUUCAAGUGAAAUACCCGCUGAAGAAACCAUCUCCACCUUUCAUGAUGUCAAUGCCAUAUCGAAUUGCCCGUCUGAGAAUACGCCUCAACACAUGACCAGGCCCUUCAUUACCUGUUCAAGCCACUAAAUUCGCUUAGGGAAAAAAAAAAAAAAAAACUUUUAAAAGACCUGGUUGACAGCCAUCAGCAAUAGCAAACGUAAGUGUUCGUACAUGAUCAGCUAUUACUCGGUAAGCAGUGUCAAUGAGAUCAGUAUCAUCCUUUCCCAUUUUACCGGAGUAUGGCCGUGCACCUGUGGCCUGUAUUGCCAUUCGUUAAAGAAAAAGCUUUACGAGGCACAACAUACCUUUUGGAUUGCUUCAAACAGCGGAAGAAACAAAUCAGUGUCGUAGUUGCUUGAUUUGUUUUGAAGCACGGACACGAGACGCUCAAGGCCCAUUCCCGUGUCGAUACUUUGCGUUGGAAGGGGCGUGAGCUUGCCAUCGGUUUCUCUGUUGAACUGCAUUGGAGAUGAAGAUAGUUAGCUUCAGUGUUGUAAGAGAAACCAUAGUCACACCUGUAUGAACACCAAGUUCCAGAUCUCAAUGCACAUAGGAUCGUCACUAUUCACGAGAGAAGCUGCAUCGCGAUCUCCGAUCCUAUCGAAGUGAAUUUCACUGCAGGGACCGCAAGGCCCAACUUCACCCAUCUCCCAAAAAUUAUCCUACAGAGGAGCAAAGUAAAGAAAAAAAGGAAAACGCUUGAAAGAGUGCCUAAAGCUUACCUUGCAACCAAAGGGAAGAACACGGUCAUGAGGUAAAAACUUGAGCCAGAUAUCUCUGGCCUGGAGAUCCGAAGGGAGGCGUAGUUUUUCAUCACCGCCGAAGUAUGUGACAUAGAGGCGAUCUUGAGGCAGCUUGUAAACCUUGACAAACAGUUAUCAAACCAGAAAGGAGGGAAAAGAAAAUGCAAAGCUUACGAAACCAGGAUCGGAGGAGUUUUUACCUGCGUAAGAAGUUCCCAGGCCCAGUUGAUCACCUCCUCUUUGAAAUAGUCACCAAAGGACCAGCUUCCUAGCAUCUCAAAGAAGGUGUGGUGGUAGCUAUCCUUUCCAACGUCGUCCAGAUCGUUGUGCUUGCCUCCAGCGCGAAUGCACUUCUGGCUGUUACACGCACGCCGGAGCGCGCUCAUGGAGCCCCCAUUUCCCAGCAACAGUCGCUUGAAUUGGACAACACCUGGAUAGCAAACAAACAAGAGCGUGAGCGAUCCAGCCUUCGAAUCUCACCCGAGUUCGUGAAGAGGAGCGACGCAUCGUCCGGUGGAGGUAGGACGGGGCUGGAUCGAACGAACUUGUGAUCGCGACGCUCAAAGAAGUCGACAAACGUGUCUCUCGCCUUGGUCCCGGACCACUCCAUGUUUGAUUUAGGGUUUAAGGGUUUUGCCUUUUAAAUGGCAAAACUUUAGGGCAGGCACUAUGCUUAGAAUAUUCUGCUAUCGCGAGAGAGAGAGAGAGAGAGAGAUGAUGCGGCUUCACGAGUUUGGAGCUUUUGGUCAUGGCAGAGUGUCAAUGAAUCUCUUUCAAAGUCCCUUUAUUGGGUGCCUCAUUCAUAUAGAUGCUUGAGAUAGGUGAUCCAAAUAUCUUCGGUUCGUGUUGGCUGGCUAUGUUAGUUAGCAGAAGAUUGCUUGGGUACGCUCAGCCUAGGGUUAUAACAGAGGUCUGCUCAACUAGCUGACUCAAUCCCUGUGCAGCCGAGCAGAAUGAGAGUGCCACGGUCUUAAUGCAGCCAACCCUUCACAUCUACAGGGACAUGAGAUUCUCCAAUCCUUCUUGGAUGUUCUCUGCCUAAUGCUAGUCUUGUUGAAGCUCUUUGUCCGCUGCUGCUGAAUGAAGCUCCAGCUUCAACUACUUACUUCAGCCAAUCUCAGAAUGUUUACUCGCCUCCAGGCUUCAUGGACAGCCUCACCAGCAGCAACACCCGAGGCCAAGCGGCAGAGAAUGCAGUGUGGACUCCCACAAGUUCUCUUCAAGGUAUAGAAUUUUUUUUAGCGAGAGACUUUUACACCAGACUUGAUAAACCGAUCACGAUGGAUGGUUGCUCUAUACGCUCAACAUUUUGAAAUACUGGUGAUGGCUGAGCAGUGACAGUGCUCAGCCAUAGCUAAACCAAUGCAAUGACAAACUUCUUUCUUUUUAUUUGGAUUGCUAGUAAUACUUUCGAGUUUUGAAAGUAAGUCACUUAGUUCAGUCUUCUUAUCUGAUGGAAAGUCCUCUACAGCUGUGUCAGAGCUGUUCUUAUAUCCAAUUUCACCUUAGAUUUGAACUUUCAUUUUACAGCAUAAUUGAAACCCACUCAUACUUACAAGAACUUUCCAUGGUUUGGACCAUGGAACCCGAACCAAAGAUGCAUAAAGCAUCUUCAUCCAUGAUAAGAACGAAAAAGUUACCCAUGAAUGGAAUGCUCUCAAAGUAAAAAGCUUGGAUGACCAUUGAUCCCAGCAAGUGGUGUCCAUCGAAUAUUUCUUCAUCUAGCUCAGGCAUUGGCUCAAUGGUUUUCAAAAGCCACUAGCUAUCCAGUUCCGCGCUACCUGGGGGAAUGGCGAACACAAUCUCGAACACCAUUUGAAUCACAGCACUCUUUGGUCAUUGCUACCUUGAAUGCACUGCUUGAGAUUGGCCAAAGCUUGUUCAGCCAUGUUUCUAAAGGACGGAUCCAUGUCCUUAUGGUGUAGGAAGCGAUCUCCAGUUCUUGCAUAGCCUACCAAUCUGACUGCAGCCUAGCCGAACAGUCACAAAACCCUAAAUCGCAGCCAGCAAGAAUUUACGUAUUUCCUUCAUGUUUUCGUCAAAAGAUUCUGUUAGAUUCCACAGAAUCAAUACAUAUAAUGUACACAAUGACCAUAUUAUCAUUGGUACAAAAAUCCCCUGGGUUUAACACGAGGAUCGUGCGCUUGGCGAAUUCCUCCUCCUGGAGCGGAAACAUCUAGCAAAUGAAGGUGCUCCACCAUGGUGAGGGACGCAUCGAGCUUCAUCCCCACCUUAAACUCCACACCCUGCGGCAGUAUUUCUCCAAGCUCGUCCACGAAUCUCUUCCUGAAGACGAUCCUGGUGAUGUUGUGAAAUGCCACUGCCGAGACAUAGUUCUUUGCGGUCACAGCCACGCCACCAUUGUUCUUCACGUCCUGGAAGAUCAAAUUUAACAUAGCAACCUCGCGGAUCCAUCGCAGGGACUCCGUGUCUCUUGGGCGUGAAGAGCUCCAGACUGCACAGCUUCCUCACCUUCACGAACCCAUCGCCAUUGUCAGAAGACCUCUUGCUCGUGGAUAGCGAGUGGCAUCUCUUUUGUAUUUUUUUUUAAUUUUAAAGGCCUGGCGGGAAGAUAUUUUAGGGCAGCUUCAAUGCGUUGGAGAGGAGAAUGUAAGGUGAUCCAUUCUCCGGCUCUAGAUCAAGAACGCGGCACGCCGCUCGCGUCCCUCGAUUCUCUUCCCCGUGGAUCUCACAGGCAGCGAGCAGCGUCCUCCAUGCGACCGCGUCUUCUUUUCUUGCAAUCCGAGCGAGCUCCUCCGCUUCGUCGAGCCGCUUCACCCGGCCCAGGGCAUCGAUCAGGCAGUGGAGAUGCUCUGGCAGCCGCUCCAGGUGGAAAUCCGUGGCCAUGGAGCUGAAGAGAUUGAUCGCGUCUUGGAUUUUCCCGGCAUGGCCACAUCCGGUGAGCAUCGCGAGGAUCGUCACGGCGUCGGGAUCACUGCCGCGCAGCAGCAUCUCGCGAAAUAUUUCGAUAUUUCGCUCACAGUCCCCGCUCUGCGCGAUCGCGGUGAUCAAGACGUUCCAUGACACGGAGUCCAGCUCCUGCGCCGAAUCGAUGAUGUUCCUGGCGCUGUCGAGCAGGCCAUUGUGCGCGUAAGCGCUCGCCAUCGCAUUCCAGGUGAGAAUAUUUCGCUCUGGAAUCUGUGUGAAGCUGACGAUUGCUUCCUCUACCAGGCCGUUUUGCCCGCACGCGACGAUCAUCAAGUUCCACGACAAUAGGUCUCUCCCAGGAAUUCUCUGAAUCACGGCUCUGGCCUCGUCGAUCGACUGUCCCCGCUGAGCAUACGCCGAGAGCAGCCAGCUCCAAGAUGCCAGAUCUCUGUGGCUCAUCGCAUCAAACUGGAGCUUGACGUCCUCGACCGAUCCAGCUCGCGCGAAGGCUCUCAACAUCAGAUUCUCGGAAACUAGGCUCCUCUGAGGCAUCGCUGCAAAGAUCUCGUGGGCGGCAUGGGCAUCGCACCUCGAGUAGGCGGCAAUCAUCGCGUUCCAGGACACCGCAUUCCUGUGUGGCAUCUGGCGAAAGAAGAUUUUCUGGGUGUUCUUCACAUCGCCGCUCUCGGCAUAGGCCUGGAUCAUCGCGGUGAGCACGACGAGAUCGUGCUGCGGCAUCCUCUCCACAACCUCUCGCGCCAGCAGCAGAUCCCAGCGCGAGCAGGAACUUACCAGCGCGGUCCAGGACACGGCAUCUCGCUGAGGAGCAGCGUCGAAGGUCUGUUUCGAUCGAUCAUCCUGGCUGCUAACCGAGAUCAUCGUGUUCCAGGACACUCGAUCCCACAUUGGCAUCGCCACAAAGAUCGCUCGCGCCUCGUCGCCAUCGCAAUCUCUCGCCGCCAGUAGCAACAGCGCGUUCCAAGAGAAACCAUCUCUUUCAGGCAUCGCCAAGAACAAGCUCCUCGCCUCGCAAAGAUCCCCGCUCUGGGCAUAUGCCUGGAGCAUCAAGUUCCACGUUACUAGGCACCUCUGGGGCAUCUUGUCCAACAGCACCAGAGAUUCCCGAAUACUUCCAGCUUGGCAGUACGCCCCAAUGGUCCUCGUCCACGUGUUGGCAUCUCGCUGUGGCAUCGACUCCAACACAUUUAGAGCACAUUCCAGAUUCCCUGCCUGGGAAUAUGCGUGGAGGACGGUGUUCCAGGCACGCAGGUCCCUGUAUGGCAUCUUCUCAAAAACUUCCAUGGCAUCCCCAAGAUUCCCAAGAGAUACAAAGCCCGCGAUGACGCUCGUCCACGCUACAACGUCUCGGUGGGGCAUAUUCUCAAAGAGUCUAAAGGAUUCCGGCAUAUGCCCAUUCUGGGCAUAUGCCGCGACCGCAAUAUUCCACGAGUGUAGGUUGGGGCAGGGGAUGGAAUCGAAGACGUUCCUGGCCUCGUACAGUCUUCCGAGCUUGCCGUACAUUUCAACCAGUGCGUUGGAGAGGAAUGUGUUGUGUCUGAGCUCUGGAGAGGAGAGAAUCUCUUGGUGAAUCGCCGCUGCCUUGCGGUGGUCUUUGAGAGCGCCACACAGCUUUGCCGAGCUUGCCAAAGAGAGUAUCCUGCGGAGCUCUUCCCGCAUGGAAUUGAGAUGGAGAGGCAAACUUGCCUCAUUGCAGGAGAAAUCUCUAGCUCAAGUGUCUUUCUUUUUGCCUACGAAUGGCUUUUGCCGUUCUUUUCUACGUUGAUAGCGCUCUCGUCUGCAAUUCCACUGUCAAGUCCCUCACGCCAAUGUCAUUGUAGACGCUGUGGGCGUGUUUUAGAAUGGCUUGCUCGUCGCUGCCUUCUUUCACCUGUGGAUUCGACUUGAGACAUUCAAAGCUAGAAAGAAGGAUUUUUAGAAAUUCUUGCCUCGAGGAGAAGCGUCCCCACGACAAAGCCAGGGACGAGUUCCCAGAAACGAGCACGAUAACACUCUAGCACGCCUUCAAGUGAUCCCACCUGGGAAAAAAGUUAAGCUUAAGCUUAGUAGCUGGACGAGAGACUAUACUAUCACGUACUUGUCUCAGGCAUUUGCUAAAAGCCGAUGGAGAUAUCCCUGGAGGAGACAUUUGCAAGAGUAAUCCUCCAGAAGCGUUGAACAGAGGUAGAGCCAGGAAAAACACUGCUACCGAGACAAUGCCCAAGCAAAGAGUUUCUGCGUUUUUCACCCUGGAAAAGAGAAAAACAGAAGACUAUACACAACCGUUUACUUAUAGAUUCCACUUACCCAAGAGCCAAGAGCCAGGAUGCAAGGAUCACACCAGUGCUUCAAACAUAAGAAAGACAAAGCUUAGACAACUUUCGAGUUACGAGCGAUUUAAGCUUUCUUACCUUCGAAUAGAAUCAGAGAGUACGUGGAGACAGAUGGAGUGAUUGUUCAUGUCUUCCGCUUUCCUGUAAACUGAUCAUGCGCAAAAGUGUAAAACCGAAGCGCUCACUCGAUAGAGAGGUACGUUACCAAAACUUAUCCGCGCGUAGUUUCGGAAGAACCAUACUCCCAUGGCAUUCACGCACAGAUUUGCUACGGCUGACACGAUCAAGUAGUGCCUGAGAAAAAGAAAAAGGUGGACCUUGAUAGGACGGACAAAAGAGAGAACAAAGCCUUACUUAUGCUCGGACUCGUCUUGAACGAAAGCAUGCAACGCUUCCACGGCAAGAGAGAAUGCGAGAAAAAGCAAAAAAAGCUGCAAAACAUACGAGAAACAAGAGAUGAGCCGUGGAGAGAAAAGCAAAGAUAAACUGGAAUGCUUUUCUACAGUGUUUGUAAAGGCCGCUAGAACUUCCAAUCUCUUAUGCCUGCGUCGAGAAGGAAGAACACUAAAAUCCCACACAAGAGAAAAGAAAAAGCCGCGAAGCACUGACCCGUAAGUAUAAUCGUCGUCAGCUUUCCGCUUGGCCAUGACCAUCGCAAACAAGGAGAAAGUGAGCAUCCCACAGCCGAAAGUGAGAUGGAAAGCAUCCGACACAAGACCUGAAAGAGGAAAACAAAGAAAGAUUCAUCAUCUCAAACUCUUUUCUCUCUUUUCUAUGCUUACCAAUGCGACCAGUGAGCAAUCCAAUGAAGAGCUCCAGCGAGGAGUAGGCGACAUUGAGGAGGAUGAGAAGGAGCAGCCGCUUCGUCUGCCGGUUGCCAUAGCUGGUGAUCUUCUGCAUGAGCGUGAGAGCCUUGACGGCGCCCCUCACAUUCUUCCACUUGCUGCUCCUGGUCGUCCCCUGGAGAUCGCUCUUCCAUGACGACACAUUUCUAGAGAGGGCGGGACUAAACCUGGAGAGCGAGGGGGGAUUCUUCCAGCUCUCCCGACCGGACGCUGGCGAUGGUAGAUUAUCCAAAGGCGCGGCAGCAGCAGGAGGAUGGCGCUUGUUGCCCGGCGGCUGUGGGCUGAGAGGAACUGAAUCGAAGCGCACAGCGUCCGGCUCCUCCAUGCUAGUUUUAGGGCACGAAAAAUAUGAUUUAGCUCGCAUUUAGUAGCGUAGCAGGAUUUGCUGCUGUUUGUCAUUGGUGUCUGUUCUUCACCAAGAAAAGUGCGACUCUUACUAUCGAGCUAGUGAAAAGAUCUUUUUCUCUUCAUACCUGAGACCAUGAGCCUGCGAUCGGCACGGUUUCGUUCUUUGGAUUCCAGCCGAUUCCAGCCGAUGAGAAAACUCGUGAGUUUUCUCAUGCUAAACAGCGGCGACAGUUUUAUCCACUCUAAUGAGAAAGUAUCCAAAAUAUGCUUUCGAUAUUUCUUAUCACUGUGUUUUUCGCUUUUCAAAUUCCUGUAAUCCAAUCUAUCCUGGCAAAACAUACGAGAAACAUCUUAAAACAGUGUUUGUUUUUAUUUCAGAAAACUAAUUUACAUUUACAGAAUUCUAUAUGGUUUUUUUUCUGCUGGGAUCCCUUAUUUAUUUAUUUAUAGAGAAUUACAAAUUAAAAGUGUGAGGGCCAAGUGUACGGCUACGAUGCCGUAUGCUAAUAUUAGCAUAGUGUGAUUUUGGUAGCCGUCGGAUUGGUUUUAAUCUGGACCACUCGCUCCUGUAUAUAAACUAAGGUUUUUGGGCUAAUUAAUAGACACAUUUCUGUAUUCCUUUUUUAUAUUCCAUGCACUCACAAAAGCAAAUUAAUUAUUUGUAAAAAGACCUCCUCCCACUGUAAGAAGCUAGAAGGAGUAAGAAGCUAGAAGGAGUGAAAAGGAGGGUAUGAUUCACAAAUGUACGCAACAGACUCGUGAGUUUUCUCAUCUUAAACAGUGGCGACAGUUUUAUCCGCUCUAAUGAGGAAGUAUCCAAAAUACGCUUUCGAUAUUUCUUUUCACUGUGUUUUUCGCUUUUCAGAUUCCUGUAUCCAAUCUAUCCCAGCAAAACAUACGAGAAACAUCUUAGAACAGUGUUUGUAAGCUAGACACAACACUAAAAUCUCAAACAAGAAAGCACUGAAACGUAAGUAUAAUCGUGGCAAGCUUUUCUCUUCGCCAUGACCCAAGGAGAAAGCGAGCAUCCCACAGCCGAAAGCUAGAUGGAAAGCAUCCGACACAAGCCCUGGAAGAGAAAACAAACAAAAAACCAUAUCUCUUGUUUCUAUGCUCACCAAUACCUACAACCAGCAAUGAAGAGCUCUAGUGAGGAGUACGGAACAUUGAGGAGGAUGAGAAGGAGCAGCCGCUUCGUCAUAGCUCGUCUGGGACUAAACCUGGGGGGAUUCCCGACCCGUUGUCCGGCGGCUGUGGGCUGAGAGGAACUGGAUCGAAGCUGCUAGUUUUACGACACGAAGAACUAUGUUACUACAUUACGCCACUGCUUAAAUAGAUGCAAAAGACUUGCACCGCAAAACCAAGAACAAGAAGAGAAAAAGUAGAGAAAGAGAUAACUAUGCGAGAAAAAAAGAGGGGGAGAACUCCUGGAAUGACAACGCUCAGUAAGCAACGAGGAAAGAGAAAAACAAAUGGAUAGAACCAGGCUCAGUGCUUCUCUCGAGAUCCAGCUCGGGAAACGCAGGAUAAAAGCGAUGCCGCUGCUGGAGACACGGUCGGAAUUGCCUGCUGCUACAUUCUCGAAUUGCGAAUUGACUCUGAUCAGCCGUCCUCGUAAAUCAAUCGUCAACCUGACUCAACGUUUUGUUCCAUUGCCUCGAGAAUUCGUGCCCGGUGGCUCCUGUUCGGCCUCCUGCAAGUUGAAUUCAAAGAACUUACUUAUAGCACGUGAUGAACGGGCUUUCACCUUUCCUUCUUCUCUGAACUUCCAAAGAAGAAGCGAAGGCAAAAACGAGUUCAUCGCAAGUUGAGGUCUAUUGAGCGAAAAGUUUCCCUUCGAAAGAUCUCAGGGAUGAAAGUUCGCUGCCCAACUUACAUAGUUAUCUAAUAGGAAGCGAAUGUCCAUGCUUGAGAUCUUCACAGAAACUCCAAAA
Molecule: long non-coding RNA, 130628 nt
Filed under: Selaginella moellendorffii
Lineage: Eukaryota; Viridiplantae; Streptophyta; Lycopodiopsida; Selaginellales; Selaginellaceae
Description: long non-coding RNA (SMOE_LNC001413)
Source: RNAcentral